RNAcentral lists this long non-coding RNA (89440 nucleotides) under Solanum tuberosum (potato). RNAcentral describes it as "long non-coding RNA (STUB_LNC006854)". The record is from RNAcentral. Lineage: Eukaryota; Viridiplantae; Streptophyta; Magnoliopsida; Solanales; Solanaceae.
UGUCUUGUAUAUGUACUUUCUUGAAAGUUUUUUUUUUUUUUUUGUUGAUAUGAGAGUGUUUUUGAAUGAAGAAAAAGGAAGUGUCUUUCUUUAUGAGUACUGUGGAAAGAACAGAGAAAAGAUGAGGGUCUUUCUUAUUAACACCUUGUUUGGAUGGUUGUUAGCGUUGUAUUAUAUUUUUAGUUUAAAUAUAAUGUUUGUUGAUUGUUUUUAAAUUUUAUUGUUAUGUUUAAAAAUCAUCAUUAAGUAACGAUGAUUUUUAUUUUUUUUGUGUAAUGAUUGAUUUGAUGUGAAUUUUUUUUAUCUUGUCUUUACUGUAUCUUUUCAUAGUAUUUCUAUUGUAUACUAUUUUUUUUGUUAAUGUGCAACAUUAUAUAAUAACGAAGAUUAAUACAACCUUUCCAAAUAUUAUAUUUAUUAAAAUAAUACUAUACAAUAUAUUAUGAAGUAAUACUUAUCAACUGUACAAACAGAGUGCAAGUGAUGGUAAGCAAAAGGGUAAGUGUGAAGUGAAGUGACAGAAGCACCCUUUUUAUUUGUCAGCAUCCUACCUAGUCCCUGCAUUUGACUUGGUAGAGUUGAGAUGAUGAAUGGAUAAAUUUUUGUGCUGUUUUUUUUUUUUUUGAUAAAUAAAAUAAUAAUUUGUGUUUGUUUAUGAAUUGAAUUAAAGAAAAUAAUUUUUAAAAUUUUUGUGUAAAAAUAGGAUUAUUUUUUUGAAAGAAAAGGAAGAUAUAAAUUAAAACAGUUUCAUACAGAGAUACCGAAAAAAAAAACUCCCAAAAUCUCCCCUUUUCUUAAGAGUGUUACUCUUCUUCAUAAUAAUAAUAAUUAGGGUAAAAAAUGGAGUGAUAUAUGGUAAAAGCUUAGCAUUUUCUUAAAAAUAUUGAUAAAUUGUGUUUCUAAUAACUUAUACUACCAGUUAUGAAAAGUGGCAAAGUGAUAAGUAGUUAUUUCAUCCUUAAUCAAAGACCUCAUGUUCGAGCCGUGAUAUAAAAUUGCCUUUGGUUAAAGAGCAUUUUAAUAAAUAAGACUCCAUAGAACCUCAAGACGGAUACAUGUGAGAAAUAAAAAAUAAUAAUAAAUUUAUAUUUUAAAAAAUGAGAUGGUGAUUUGCUCUUUUUCUUUAUUUUUGGGUUCAAGGGUCAUGAGAGGGUGAUAAAGGUUGUUACAUAGACGUAAUUAGGAUCACUAGGACAGUAUGACGAACAUUUGUCUUUCCCCACACACACCCCAACCAUUAACCAACCCCUUCUGUCAAUAUAUGUAUAAGAUGAUUUAUGGAGAUAUUUGACGUUGUCUUUUUCUUGACCUCAAAGGUUAAAGUGUUUGAUUGAGUGAAGUUAAAUGAUUAUAAUUAAGAUGAUCAAAGACUAAUUGCAUGAUGAUCAAAGUCAAUAAGCCAUUUAUGGUGUCUUUGAUGAACUCUGGCGGAACCGUAUUGGUGAAUUUAGUACAAAGUCUUCUAAUGAAUUAAUUAGUAUUUGAACCUUAAAACUGAUAACUUUAGUUAGAAAUUAAUUAAACUUAUCUCAUGUAUCAAGAAUUAGUAGUUACGUACUUAGUAGCUUUGAAAACAACAGUGCUUGCUAUUAAUUGAUGUCAAAGAGAAUUCAACAUUUCGCCUAUAAGAACAAAACAUUAGUUUUUACUUUAUUUAAGUAACGUAAUUUUCGAACGAGGAGGAGGGUCAAUUAAACCGCCACUUUGCUGAGUCCCAUAUCCAUCCAUUAUGAUAAAGGAAUAGUUUUGUGUAGUUGUUUUUUUUUUUAAUUAAAAAAUGGAAAAGGCAUAAAUUCCCUCCUCAAUUUGUACCGAAAAGUCAGCUACACACUUCAACUAUUAUGACGACCUAUUACACAUCUAUUCUUGUUCAAAGUGUAAUUAAUACCACCUCAAAACUGACGUGAAAAUAAAAUUUAAAAUAAAAUAAAUUAGGCGCGUCUAAGGUUGAAAAUAAAGUCAAAAAAGUAAAUUUUUUUAACCCUCAGCCCCUGUUUUCUCCUUUUUCAUGUUCCUCGUCUCUUAUUUUCCUUCAAAAAAAUUCUUCUUCAUUUUUUUCUUUGCACAAUUUUUCAAUUUGUCACUUUAUUUCAUUUUUUCUUAUCACAUUUCUACAAUUUUUCACUCAAUUUCAUCAUUAUACCUAAAAAAAUAAUUUUUUAAUUUAAAUUUCACAAUAAUUCUAGAAAUUCGAGACUUUGUUCUCCUAAUCUUUCCACUUUCACCUUCAAAUUUUCAGCAAAAUACAAGCAAAGCCUCCAACCUUAAAACCCCCAAAUAUUCUUGUAGCCUGUAUGCAUGCAUAUACAUACACCCACUUGCCCUUUUUUUUAUAGUUAAAAAUGAUUUCUUUUCAUUUGUGUAUUCAUAUAUUUGUAUGUGCAUAUUCACACGCCCACUUACCUUAUUUAUUGGUUGUUCAGAUUUGGAAGCACAAAGCUUACUCAAACGUCAUGGAUCUGAAAAACAAAGCUCAUUGACACGUCAUUAAAUCCAUGGUUGAAGCUUUGAGCUCGCCAAAACACCUGCAAUAAAAACUAAAAGUAAAAAAAUCGAAAAGGGGUAAGGUAAAGGGGUUCGAUUCGGUGUUCAUCAAUGACUGAUUUGGAGUUUUGGGUGGUUUUUUGUGGUGGCUUAGGUAGUUGUUUGGUGGUUGUUCUUUGUCGGAGAUGGAUUGGCUGUUGGGAACAGAGGAGGGGAUGACGUUUUGGAGGUAGGUUUGUGGUGGUGAUAGGUUGAUUGUUCUUCGCCGGAGAAGACAAAGAGAAUUGUGAUAUAACUUCAAAUGAAUAAUUAUUCUAGUCAGAUUAGGGAUAAAAAUGGGUAGGAUUUAGAUUGGAAAUAUAUGAUUAUUAGAGAAUUUUAAUAAUUUGUUAGGGAUUAAUUAGAGUAAAAUAGAGUUAACAAAAAAAAUUUAAUUAAUAAAGAAAAUAAAAUAAAAAGAAUAUAAAAAAUUAUAAUUUAUAAUGUGGAGCUGACGUGGCACUGACAUGGUGCUGACGUGGCGGCGAGUGUAAUACACCACAUACUGUGAGAGUGGUGUUAUGCGUCUCAAAUGUGGUAUUAAAUUCACUUUUAUAUAGGAAGAGUGUAUAAUAGGUCGUCAUAAUAGUUGAAGUGUGAAACUAACUUUUCGGUACAAGUUUGAGGGGAAAUUUAUGCCUUUUCCCUUAAAAAAUUGGAACCAUAUAACAAAUUCCUGAGUUGGCAAUGAGACUUAAAUAUGCAACAAAAAAGAUACGGAGAAAGUGUCAUGCAUGCAAAUUAAAUAUUAACUAUGAGAGCACCUAACCUAAUUAUAAUUAAGCAACUUUCACAUAUAGCAAACACAAAAUUCAUAUUUGUAUGCUAUAGCAAAAUUUACAUAAUUGCGCUCCAUAGCAAACAUAUAUAUGUAUAAUUCGCUUUACAUAUACAAAAAAAACAGUUGUAUAAUUAGCUAUACAUAUACAAAGAAAGCUGUUAUAUACAAAAGAUCAAUUGUAUAAUAUGUGUAUGUAUACAACGAGAAAGAGAGAAAGGCAAAAAAAACUGGGCAGGAAAUAUUUGUAUUAUAUAAUUAUAAGUGUAUAGGACGAAGAUAUAUGUAUUUGCAUGUGUAUAUACAAUUUUCUCUCGCUUUAUACAAACAGAAGUGCAAUUUAUACAUUUCGUUUCUGUUUGUAUAAAGUGAGAGAGGCGAGUGAGCGAGCGAGAUCUGGGAGAGUGGCGAGCGAGAUCUGGGAGAGAGGAGAGAGGGGAACGAAAAUAUAUGUAUAUAUACAAUUUUCUCUCGCUUUAUACAAACACAAAUGCAUUUUAUACAUUUGCGUUUUUGUAUAAAGUGAGAGAGGCUAGCGAGACUGCCACCAAACUAGAGUGGCGAGCGAGAUUCCACCAGGGAGAGUGGCGAAAAUAGCAAUAGUUUGCUAUAGGGUACAAUUAAAUCAAAGUAUAUUUAUAGCAUUUAAUUUGAAUUAAUAGUUUGCUAUUAUAUACAAUUUUCUCAUUAUAAUUUAGCUCUAUCAUAUAUGUUAUCUUAGGCAAUUCAUAUAUUUUCCCUUAGAAAUGACACGGGAUCAUUUAGUUUGCGAACUAAAUUAUUUUAAAAUUAUAUUUUUAAUUGUAAUUCUGCAAUUAACUUACCUCAUCUAUCUUCGCCGGUUUCCUGAGUCCAUAUAUAUCCAUUAUCGCAAAGGACUAGCUUUAAUUUAUGUAGUGGCUUAUCUUUUUUCAUUUAAAAAUUUGAACUAUAUAACAAAUUCCCAAGUUGUUAAUGAGCCUCAAAUAUGCAAUAAAAGAUAUUGCGAAAGUGUCGUGCAUGCAAAUUAAAUAUUAACUAUGACAGCACCUAACGUCCUAACCUAAUUAUAAUUUAGGACUAUCAUCAUCUAGAUAGGUUGUCUUCCUAGUGUAUUCAAAAUUUUCAUAAAAAGGGUUUAAAAAAUCAAAUCAUUUAAUGCAUAAAAUUUGGACUUGAAACUUCAAAAUAAUUAAUUUUGAAUUCAAAAUAGGGAAAAUUGUAUAUAAUAGCAAACUAUUAAUUCAAAUUAAAUGCUAUAAAUAUAGUUUGAUUUAAUUAUACCUCAUAGCAAACUGUUGCUAUUUCACCUCUCUCCUGGUGAAUCUCGCUCGCCACUCUCGUUCUCUCCCUCGCCUCUCUCGUUUUUUAUACAAACGCAAGUGUAUAAAGUGUGUUUGUGUUUGUAUAAAGCGAGAGAAAAUUGUAUAUAUACAUAUAUUUUCGCUCCCUUCUCUCCCUUCUCCCAGAUCUUGCUCGCCACUCUCCCAGAUCUCGCUCGCUCACUCACCUCUCUCACUUUAUACAANNNNNNNNNNNNNNNNNNNNNNNNNNNNNNNNNNNNNNNNNNNNNNNNNNNNNNNNNNNNNNNNNNNNNNNNNNNNNNNNNNNNNNNNNNNNNNNNNNNNNNNNNNNNNNNNNNNNNNNNNNNNNNNNNNNNNNNNNNNNNNNNNNNNNNNNNNNNNNNNNNNNNNNNNNNNNNNNNNNNNNNNNNNNNNNNNNNNNNNNNNNNNNNNNNNNNNNNNNNNNNNNNNNNNNNNNNNNNNNNNNNNNNNNNNNNNNNNNNNNNNNNNNNNNNNNNNNNNNNNNNNNNNNNNNNNNNNNNNNNNNNNNNNNNNNNNNNNNNNNNNNNNNNNNNNNNNNNNNNNNNNNNNNNNNNNNNNNNNNNNNNNNNNNNNNNNNNNNNNNNNNNNNNNNNNNNNNNNNNNNNNNUAAAAUGCGUGAAAAUUGUAUAUAUACAUAUAUUUUCGUUCCCCUCUCUCCCCUCUCCCAGAUCUCGCUCGCCACUCUCCCAGAUCUCGCUCGCUCAUUCGUCUCUCUCACUUUAUACAAUUGAUCUUUUUGUAUAUGUAUACCAAAGCAGAUUAUACAACUGUUUUUUUUUGUAUAUGUAUAGCGAAUUAUACAUAUAUAUGUUUGCUAUGGAGCGCAAAUAUGCAAACUUUGCUAUAGCAUACAAAUAUGAAUUUUGUGUUUGCUAUAUGUGAAAGUUGCUCUUCAAAAUAUCUCUAUCUAUACUGAUUUUUUUUUAAACCUUAUAUAUAACUUCAUUUUUUGUUGAAGAGAUACGGGUGAACACCCCUCUAAACCCGCCCCUGAUUGUCUUUGGCCAUAUCCUUAUUAAGAAAUGACCCUCUUAUAAAGAUACAUGAGAAUUUUUCUUUUCAAAUUUUAAAUUGGUGAAAGUACAUACUACAUAAAUUAAAAUUAGCGAUAAAUAAAUUUGUUAGUAAAUUUAUUAUUAAUUCUAUUUAAUGACAAAUUAGCCAUAUUUUAUCAAAAUAAAUUGUUUGCUGUAAAUAAUUUAGCACGGAGUUCGUACGUAGUGGUGGAAGUGAUUAUUAUAUUUCACACAAUAAAAAAUAUUGAAGGUUUUGCAAAAUACAAAAUGUAAUAUUAUAUUAGCUACGCAUAUAUCCAAGCAUAAUGUCCAUUUAUUUGUAAAAGCUAACACAACGGGGUAGAUAAUUUUUCCAAAUAUCUAUAAAGAUUCAUUUGUUUAUUGGAAGUCGAUGUGGGCUUUAAUAGCUGGAUGGGCCAGAAACGUAAAUGGUACUGCAAUAACCCAUACUUAUGGGCUUGGUCUUAGCCCAAAAAUUAUGUUGGGCCCUGAAACUCCCAAAUCCAGCUAGCAGCUUUUCACUUCCAGUUCCAGUUGAUACUAUUUUCAUCAUUGGUCCUUUUUUAUGUAAAAAUAUUUAUAAAUUUAUAUUUUUUUACAAGUAGUUUUAAGGAUGUAUCAAACAUUUUUACCAAACCUAUUAUUGAUGUUAUCAGGUUCAAUACUUCUAUUUAAAUACACUAUUUGGAUAAAAUCAGUUUCAAGACCUAAAAGUCAUAUUUUUCAGCACUUGAUGUAUAUUGUACUCCUUUAAAUCAAUUUUAAGUGUUUAACCCAUAGUCAGUGAAAGAACAAACAAAGUCAAACUAGACAAAAUUAAAUGACUUUUGUGAUACAAAAUAAAUUAAUUAAGUAUUUGAGAGAUGAUUAAUUAGAUGGAAUAUGACGCAUUUUUAUAUUAACGAAGAAUUGACUUUAGCUAGGAAGGAGUGAAUGUUGCAUAAUAGGGUAGAAUUAAUGCUAGUAGGGGUAGAGUAUCGUCUUGUCUUAUGAAGGUUUAGUGCAUGCCAUAUGACUAGUCAUGCCAUGAUAGCUAAUUCUUUUCAUAUGUUGUUUAUUGCUUUUCAAUUAUUACGUUAUUUCUCUCUCAUAUAUUUGUGCGCACAACAUCCCAGAAUAAACUACACAUUCAACGUCUGACCUUUCACCAAAUUAACUUAUUAGUGUUCAAGAUUGCAACAUUGUUGGAUCAGAAUUCAACUGGGCGGUGGUUUGCUGGAACAUGUUUUCUUCCUACCACAUCAUAAUCAGCAGCUGAGCGGUCUCUGUCUAAUAAAUAGUAAAUAUUAGGAGCAAUGAAUUUGGGCAGAAUUCAAUUAAUUCAUUCUAUCAGGAGAAAAUAUAUGACUGUCCUUCCUAUGUUUUACUAAUGCCUUUUUUGGCGUCUCUAAAAUAUAUAUGCACGUGGAAAUUAUGGAAAAAAAAAAGAAAUACUGAAAGAACAGCUGGAAUAUUAUGCUAUCAACAUGGAAAUUGACAUUUAUAAAAAAUAAAAAAUUAUUUGUACUAUUUUUCGGAUAUUGACAUCGUCAAAUAUUAUACGUCGAAAUUUCUGCCAAAAAAAAAAAGAGAUUGCAAGAUUCAAUUUGGUAUGAUAUAUAUGUGUGUGUGUGUGGUGGGGGGUCCCAGAUCCACACUGAGAUCGAAACAUAAUGUCAAUUUACUAUACUUACUUUUAUGGUAGGUUUAUGUAAAAUCAAUUUAACUUGUCAUGAUUUAAAAAUUUAGGUGUAGCGAAAAACAAUAUAUUAAUUAAUUAGGGUGGUAGAAGUGUAAAUAUAAAUAGAGGCGGAACUAGGUAGAGGUUCAUGGGUUCGGACGAAUCCAAUAGCUUUUUUGUAGACUUCAUAUUUAUACUAGAAAAUUAAUUAAAUAUAUAUGUAUAUUAUUUGUGAACCCCUAACAAAAGUAAUUGACAGUUAUUACAAAAAUUUAGAACUCCCAAACUCUAAAUCCUGAUUUCGCCUAUGAAUAUAGGCACAUAUAUAUAUAUUAUAUCAUCCAUAAUAUAUUUAUUUAUUUGAUGUAAUUACCAAAUAAGAAAAUAUCAAAUGGGAAAUAAUUCUUGACCGACAGUAUAUUAAAUUUGGCCGCAAAAUCUUGGUCGUUUUAGAAUUUACCACAAUAUUAAAAUAUUAUGAUCUUUGUCACGCUGAAAUCUCAGUGUGGAUUUGGUUAGGCAAGAGAAGAGAGAUCUAAAAUCUUAAAAUCUACCCCGAGAUUGGUGCUCAUGCUUCAUUAAAAUUCCAUUGUUUUGCUUAGAAAGAAGAGAAUAAUCCAGCAAAUCUCAUUAAUUAUUCCAUCCUACUCCCAUCGUUACUUUUUUUCUAUUCGUUCACGUUGAACAUAGCUAGACUUCAGUAGACAAACAGAAUUGCUCGAAUAAUAAAUAUCUUUCACAUUUAAUCUUAAAAUUAUGAAUACGAGUCAUAAAUGAAGUAAAAAGGUAGAAGUUUCUAAAAAUGGAUAAUAAUAAUAAUAAUAAUAAUAAUAAUAAUAAUAAUAAUAAUAAUAAUAAUAAUAAUAAUAAUAAUAAUAAUAAUAAUAAUAAUAAUAAUAAUAAUAAUAAUAAUAAUAAUAAUAAUAAUAAUAAUAAUAAUAAUAAUAAUAAUAAUAAUAAUAAUAAUAAUAAUAAUAAUAAUAAUAAUAAUAAUAAUAAUAAUAAUAAUAAUAAUAAUAAUAAUAAUAAUAAUAAUAAUAAUAAUAAUAAUAAUAAUAAUAAUAAUAAUAAUAAUAAUAAUAAUAAUAAUAAUAAUAAUAAUAAUAAUAAUAAUAAUAAUAAUAAUAAUAAUAAUAAUAAUAAUAAUAAUAAUAAUAAUAAUAAUAAUAAUAAUAAUAAUAAUAAUAAUAAUAAUAAUAAUAAUAAUAAUAAUAAUAAUAAUAAUAAUAAUAAUAAUAAUAAUAAUAAUAAUAAUAAUAAUAAUAAUAAUAAUACUCCCUCCGUCCCUAUUUAGUUGUCCAUAUUUCCUCUUUUAGUUGUCCCUAUUUAGUUGUCCAUUUUAACAAAUCAAGAAAGGACAACAAUUUUUUCCUAUUAUACCCUUAUUUAAAUAAAGUUGUCAUAAAUAAAGUAAAUAAACUUAUGAACUUCCCAACAUUGAUUAGUUAUCUUGAGUUAAUUUAUUUUGGAAUUGUAAAUUGUACUAUAAGGGUAAAAUUGUAAUUUCACUAUGCUAAUCAUUGUUGCAUUAAUCUGUGUGUCAUUUCUAAAGUGGACAACUAAAUAGGGACGGAGGGAGUAAUAAUAAAAGCUAGACUUUAGUAUAGUAGACUUGAGGAAUAAUUUGAAACAAUUUAUUUUUAUCUUAAUAUGAAAAUGGAUCAAUACAAAUGAAAAUCUAUUUUUAAUAUAUUGAACAACUAAAAAUAAGCGGACGGAUCAUAAUGUUUCAAAUAUAAAUAAACAAUUGAAUAAGAUCGACCUAAAAAUAAGAAACAAUCAUGAUAGCAUAUCUUGAAAACAAGCUACACAUUUUUUAAUUAAUAAUGUAACAUCAUGUGCAGACAAAAUAUUAUCGUAGUACCCACCAAUCACCAUUAUGAAAGAAUUCAAACUUUAUUAAUCAUCUAUGAAAUAUCGAUGUCUGAUUCUAUGAAUCAAAGUCAUUUUCCUUAAAUAAACCAACAAAAUUCUACAUAUUCACUGGAUGUCUGUCAGUACAAGUAGAUUGAAGAAAAAUAAAUCAACUUUCAUUAAUUAGUUUGUCAAUCCACAAAGAAGACACCUAAAAAAGACAUCCCAAAAAAGAAGAAAAAAAUAGAGAGAGAUGAUUGAAGUGAACCAAAUCUCUUUACACAACUCAAUAUCAUUAAGUUAACCUUCAACUCUAAUCUAAGAACAAAAUUCUUCUGUUUUUGCUUAGCAAACUCCAACCCUGAAAAUAGAGAAAUUCCUAAUAAAAAACGUUUUUUUAUGGAUCUUACUCAGCGUGAGUUCACAUUAAUCACUGGAUCCUGUUCAACGUGAAUCUAAAUUAGUCAGACAGUAUACUACAUGAGAGGGCUAUUGAGAAGUCCAUGCCAAGAAGAUCCACCAACUCCAUUCCACAUUCUCCUAGUUGAAUCAAAAUCAGCCAUAUUAUUUCCUUCUCCAUUAAUUUGCCAUGGAAAUCCCCACAAAACUCUGCUGUGAUCACCUUGAUCUUUAGUCAUGUUGCACAUCUCUUGUUUGACUGUGGUCAUUGUUGUAGAUGUUGUUACACCACUGCUUAUUUCUUGAUCAUAAUUAUGCAUUAAUCCCAUUUCUUGAUCAUUGUUAUUCACCCCUAAUCCACCAUUUUCCACAUUAUGUAAUCCCAUGUCCCCAUUAAUAAUAUUCCCAACUCCAUAGUACAAAUUCUGUUGAUGAAUUAAUCCAUUCAUUGGAUUAUUAUUUUCAAGAAAUCCAGUAUUACCCCUAAGUGCAUCAAGAAAUAUUCCACUUGGAUUUUCAUUGCACAUCAUUGAAAUAUUACCAUGGGUUUCAAAUCCCAAUUGCCCAUUUCCUUGUUUUUGGAGCCUAGCAAAUGCUAGGCUCAAAUCACUAGAAUCAUAGGAAAAUGGAUUAUUAGGAGUGUUGAUAAUGGAAUGUUGAUCUUGGCUACUAAUACUACUACUUCUUGAUGAUGACCUUUUGUUCUUCCUACAGCCUCCUCCAACUGGAACAUUUCUUAAUGUUCCUCCUUUGGUCCAAUAUCUUCUACAUGAUUUGCAAAAGUAUCUAGGUUGAGAGAGACUAUAGUUGUUGUAGUAGCAAAAUUUGGUGUUGGAAGAGUCACAUCUUGGACAAUUUAUUGCUUGCUCUGGUGGCUUUGGCUUCUUUGGAUCUUGUUGUUGUGGCUUUGUACUCACCAACAUGCUUUCUAGGGUUUGAGAAGACAAUUCCUAAACAACACAAUUAACUAUAAAUAUCAGAACUUGAUAUCACACACACAAAAAAACAUUGUUAAGAACUAUUAGCUAUAUAUUUUUGCUUCAUAUAAAUGUCUUGUAUCUUAAUAUAUUGCUUUCCUACUUAUAAUACAUUUCUUUGAACCGAAGAUCUUUUUUACCUCCCAGACUCCACUUAUAAGAAUAUAGUAUUGAUGUAUGAAUGCCUUACUUUUGACAUUCAAAAAUCAAAUCUUUAACUUGAAAAGCAACAUAAUUUUCUUAAAUUUGUAAAGAUCAGCUAGCAUCAAUUUAAUUUGUUCUUGGGCUAUAUAGCAACAGUCGUGAAAGAAAAGAAAUUUACAAAAUUAGCAAAAGUAAUAAGAGUAUACACUACUCUCCUUAGAAGUUAGGCACAUAAAGUAGGUCUUUUUUAGGGGGUAUUUCAAUUCAUAGAAUAAACUCUUUUUUGGGGUAAAAUUAAAGACUCACUCCAUAUCAAGAUUGGUAGUUCUAGCUUUGAAUUUAUUUUUUUAACAAAAUCUCAGAGAAAGGAAAUAGAAAAUGAAAAAAAUAACACACAAGUAAGAAAUUGAAUCAAAAGAGCUCCAAGAAAAUUAAUUGACAUAACAACAAAAGAAAUUAAACCAUCAUUACUACUACUAAUUAAUACAACUUCAUUAAUUUACCUGAAGAUGUUGAUGCUGUGCACUAGAGGGAUCCAUCACUAAGUACAGCUAGAAACAAUACAAAACUUAGAGCUUAAUUAAAACUUAAUUAAUCCUCCAAGAUGGUUUAAUGUUUUUUUUGGUACUUAAUUGAUCUCUUGAAUAAUAAGCACAAGAAAAUAUUUGAAUUUUGCUAAGAAAAGGAGAGAAAAUUAUGAAAAAGCCAAGAGAGAACAACUUGUGAGUGCCUCUUUCUCAAACUCAAUAUAUAUAUAAAUGUAGACAAAGUAGGGGUGGGGAUGGGGUGUGGUGUGUGUGGGGGGGGGGGGUUGUUGCUUAAGUACAAUGUCUUAUUGUGUGUGUGAGAGAGAAAAAUAAAGCAAAAUUUUGAGAAAUAAGAUAAGGAAAUACGUGUAAGGCUUAGGUCUGUUAUAUUUAGGGGACAAAGGAGUGGAAAAUCUAACUGUAUAUGCCCACAAUGGGUCCCUUCUUGCUUCAAGUUUCCUAAUUCUAUCAUUCUAUUUUCCUAUCUUCUUCCUUUUAUUAUAAGUUAUUAAGUUAUAAUCCUUGUGUCCCUAAUUACUUGUCUAUUUUUUCAUUUAUAGUUGUCCCUAAUUACUUGUCCAUUUUUGACAAAUCAAGAAAGAACAAAUUUUUUUACCUAUUUAUACCCUCAAUUAAAUGACUAAUUACUUUGAAAAAUGCAGAACUUUUCAUCCACUUCACAAUUAAUAGGGGUAAAAUGGUAAACUCACUAUGUCAUUAAUUGAUUUCUUAAUAGGUGUGUCAAUUCAAAAGUGGACAAGUAAUUAGGGACAAAGGGAGUACAAUAUAAUAAUAACUAAAUUCAUAAUAAACAAAAUGUGCAAGUAUUUAGUAAAAUUUUGAACAUACAUGGAGGAUUUCAGGAAAUAUUAAUGAGUUCAUGUAAAUCGAUAACAAAGUUUUUAGAUUUUCCUAGGUGUUUCCGUGUUUGGAUAUAAAUUUCAGCAAAAACUAGUACUUUUCAUGAAUUACUCUUCGAACUUAUUUUUCGAAUUUGAAAGUUAAAAGUUGAAAUGAUGAACUAAAUUGAUAAACAAAUACUUGUUUGUAUUAAUCUUUAAAAAUCUGAAAUCAUAUCUAUGGUCAAAGGGUAUUCAUGAAUGGUAAAUAAAUGACAAUAUAUGUUAUUAAUUUAACUAAGACUAAAUAAUGAAAGCGUAUACGUAAAAAAUAUGAUGUCUAAAAAAGUUUUAAUUAGAAAUUAUAUAUUAAAAGAAUUAUAUAAAGAAAAAAUAAAUGAGCAUAUGAUUGAUGUAGAGAUCUCAUUCUUUGUCCCAUUAUGUAAGCUCACUUUGUCCUGUACCUGCUCAUGUCAUUUCGGUUAUACUUAACUUUAUUAUUAAAAUAAAAACAUAAUAAUUGAGGUGCACUUUGUUUUUAAAAGCAACUUAGUUCUAUUAAAAUUGUCUUUUAAUUUUCAUUUUCAUGUACAAAUUAAAUAUGUUUGAAUGAUGAACCUAAGCUUGGCUCCAAUAUCCCCACAAACAAAUGGAAUAAGGUUUUGGUCUCAAAUAAAAAAUGAAAAUAAUUUUAAGAAUAUUUUGGUGUUGGGUGCAUUUAUAUAUAUUUGGACCCAACAACAACAGAAGCCGUGGCUAUAUAUAUGUCGAGUGACUACAAGUUAAAGGCUAUAAUUGAAAUGGACAAGUGAUGAUACAAAGAGGGAAAAGUGGUCACUUGGAUCAGGUACACCUUUAUUUUGCAUGCUUAACCCAAUGUACUCUGCUUGCAUGUGACUUGUCUUUAUCACCCUAAUUAGUUUUCAUGGAAAAUCCAAAUUUGAAGAUUAGUUAGUUUGAAAUAUUGAUACAUAUUUGAUAAAUUUCAAAUAUAAAUAUAAAUUUGUCUAAAUAAUAAAAGUUAUUGUAUUCAUCCGAAUAUCGUUAUUGAGUAGAUUGUUUAAACACAAAGUUUACGUUAUAUGAGUGCCAUGUGUGAUGAGACAGUGGUACUAGAGCUAUAUAGGAGUGAGCUAAUUUGUGCUUGAAGAAAUGUGUUGACAGAAAUAUACUCAUGUGAAAACAAACAUGGAGAAUCUAACACUUGUCCACCUAAAAUCUGAACUUUCUGACAUAUGAGUACAACAUAAUUCUUUUUCUUCAAGAUUGCUUUUCCCCCAUUAAUUCUGAUUAGACUAGUUUAAUUACUUGAGCGAUAUAAAUAGAGUAGUAAUAUUAUAAUUUAAUUUAUUAUCUGAUUUUAAUAAAAUAAUUUGAAUUUUAUAUUUUAAACUAAAGGUCUAUAUCAAAGUAUUACUUUAUCUUUGUGAAAAAAUUUGAAUUGAAGUAUUUCUAAAAAAUAUUAUGAACUAAAAAAGAUACUCUCUCCGUCCCAUUUUAUGUGGCAAUAUUUGAUCGGGCACGGAGUUUAAGAAAUAAAUGAAGACUUUGAAAUAUUUAUCAAAUUGUCCUUUAAAAGUAGACUCACUUUUUUCUCUCCUUAUAAAUGUAUUGGAGUAUUAUUUUAAGAUUAAGUGAGACCAACAGGGGUAAAAGAGGAAUUGUACCUUUAAAUACUUACCAUAUAAGGAAAUGUGACAUUCUUUUUGAAACUGACCAAAAAGAAAAUGGUGUCACAUAAAAUGAGACAGAGGGAGUAUGAAAAUCAAAUCGAAACACAUUAAAUAUUAUUUUGCUAAGAAAAUAAUUGAUGAGCAAUUGUUAUUAUUGUAAUUUCCUCAUGGCCUCUUGAUGAAAAUACUCGGUAAUAUCGUGGAAAAGUAAAAAUGAACGGAGUAAGUAUAUUCUUAAAUUUGUUAGUUGUAAGUAAUAGUAGUAUAUGUCAUCAAAGUAACAGAACAGGAACAUAGAAAUAAUAUUCUAAGGUGUCAUCAUCUGUCAGUAACAUCAUUUACAAUGAAUAAUCAUUUCAUAGAAAAAAAUCAAUCAUUGAUCCUACCACUCAUUGAUUAUCUUCGGAUCCUAUGAACGAUUUGUUUUUUUUCCUUCCUUUUUCAUUUCAAAAUUUUCAUACUCCCUCCUAAUUUUUGUAUAUAUAUUUUGCCUCUAUUUUUUUCAAAAUACUACUCCACUUCCACUAAAGAAAAACUAUAUUUCUUUAUCAUUUAAUAACAAUAUCAUAAAAGGUACUCCCUAUUUAACUAAAAUAUUCCUGUUUUGUCAUGAAUAACUAAUUAAUUUCUACAUAUAUGUUUUCUUGUUUGGAUUAAUAUAAGUGAAUUGUAGAAAGCAAUCAAAUUUAUUUGUUAAUGAUUUAAAUUUGAACCAAAUUUGUAUUUGACAGUAUUGCUAGCGAAGCUAAAAUAAUUUAAAAACAUGUUAUUUCCUCUCAAAUCAUAGUUGUCUAUUAUUGACUUGACACAUUUUAAGAAAUAUUAUCUCCUUAAUUUUUUAAACUGAACAAAUAUUAUUAAAUAAUCGUUCUUAAUAUAAUGGACAAGUAAAAAGGAAUGUGGGAGUAAAAGUUUUUGUAAUUAUCUCAAUUUAGAACCAAUAAUACGUAUGAGAGGCCUCGAUAUAAUAACAAUAAUAUUACUAUUUUUUUUAAUUAAACCAUUCCUCUUUAGUGGUAGGCACAUGGAACAAAUGUGGGACAGGAUGUUUGAUGAUGAAGAAUUGAAUAUGACAUGGGGAUCAGUCAAGUUAGUUGACUGGUCAAAAUUUUGGCUUCAUUCAAAUAAAACACCAACUGACUUAAAAAAAGUGAAAGUAGAGGGAAGUGCUGUUGUGGAAUGUAUAAAAAACAGAGCCUCCAUGUAUAAAAAAGUGAAAUUAGGUGAAUUAUUAAAUUCGUUUCUGACCGUCUUAAAAAUAGUUUUCUAUUUGACUAAAUAAAUUUAGAUAUAUUCAUAAUUUUGCUAUACAAGUAAAGUAUAUCCCUAAAUUCUCGUCAUAUUUAAAGGUGCAUGUUUUCACACUUCUUUCAAUUUCUAUGGUAGAUGGAUGGUGUAUUUAAGUUGAGUUAGUCAAAUCGAUGAGUGUUUUUAAGGUUGUCGAUAUAUAGUUAAAAAAUGAAAUUAAUAAUUAACGUCAAGUUUAUGAGUAUUUUCAAUACUUCUCUUUGCAUUAUAAUGCAUCUACUCUUUGCGAGUAUUACUAUCACUAGUACUACAAUAAUAUUUUUUUCAUUAUAUAUAUGACAUGUUUUAUAUCAUAAAAUUAAAUUAAAAAAUAUUUUAUAUAUUAUUAAUUUAAGAUUAUAAAAUCUAAAAAUUAUUCUUAUUUUUUAAAAAUAUAUAUCACAUUAAAAUCGGACAAAUAAAUUAGCAAGUACUAAUUUAAGGAAGAAAAGAAUGUGCAUGCGUCUGGGAUUUUCACUAUAAUGAUAGAAGUAGUGAAGGAAAUAAUUUUGUUCAGAUUGAAGAGAACGUUCUAAUGAGAUGAGGGAAUCAUACACAAGAUUUGCCUUGUGCUUCGUGCAGGCGCUGCUCAUUGGGAAACGUUCUAUUCACUUUAUCAGUUUCGAGAAAUGCCUUCUUAAAUGUAACUAUAACAUUUCUUUUUGUUUGUAUGAGUACGAUAUUUAUUUUGGAGUCUAAUUAAAUUAAAUUUGUGCUGAAAAUAUUUACGUUAGAGGGUAAAGUAUUACCCCUACAAAAUACGAUAUUAUACUCGGAUAUUGAAUUUGAGAUUUUUACUUACCACAAUUGUUAAAGAAUGACAAAAGUUCCACAUCGGUGGUUAAUGAGAUGGGUGGACUCCUUAUAAGGCUUAGGCAAUCCUCCUUCCUUAGAGCUAGCUUUUGGGGUGUGAGUUAAGCCUAAGACCUAAUUUAACAUGGUAUCAGAGCAGGGCCCGUCUCACCCGAUGUUGGGGCCCCCAAAAUCAAAAUUGCCCAUGCACCAGAUGCUAAGCACUGGGCGUGAGGUGGGGUGUUAAAGAAUGACAAAAGUCCCACAUCGGUGGUUAAUGAGAUGGGUGGACUCCUUAUAAGGCUUGGGCAAUCCUCCUCCCUUUGAGCUAGCUUUUGGGGUGUGAGUUAGGCCUAAGACCUAAUUUAACAACAAUCUUUGGUGGUGUGAGCUUAACAAUGCUUGUACGUAGUACAUAAUAUUAAAACAUGCGCAAUGCGUUCUUUAAGACGUACAGAUAAUUAAUGGGUUAAUCUUACAAAAUCAAGUCUCUAUGAUUGUCUCGAAUCUUUUAAAACACUCUUCAUAUUGCAAUGAGUUGCUUUACCUUUUAAAAUAUUAGACUAAUUAGAUAAGCUUAAGAACACUAAUUCUUGGAAUAAAUCAGUGCUACUAGCUAGCAUAAUUUAACUCUGUGGUCCUAGAUUAUGCAGCUGUUGGCCUGUUUAGUUACUUUAAUUAAUAGUCCAUGCAUAAAUAGAGUAAAAAAAGUUCCCAAUAAUAGAGUCACUUCUUCAUGGAAUAAUCGAGAUAUCCUUCGACUACGCCGAAUUCGCAUAGGAUAGGGCUAUAUUAAAAAAAACAUUUCCUACCAAUUUUUUGUUUGAUAUCCAUGAUUCGAAUUUGAGACAUAUAAUUAAAGAAAGGAAAAAUUAGUCUCAUCCAUUGCAACACAUCCUUUGAUAGUGAAUAACGUCAUAAUUUUGUUUCCGUAAACAUAUUUACCCUUAAGUAAUACUAAUUAAAUAUAUAUCAUACAUCAAUUAGUUUAAUUAAACACAAAUUAGUUUUUAUUUAGUGAUUUAUGCAGUCAAGUUAGUUGAAGGAAGGAGCAAUUUCCGGUGGAUUAAUUCCUUCAACUCGAAGUAUUCACAUUUAUCCCAACCUUAGGUACGAAGAAUAUUGAUUGAAAUUGAUUAGGCAAAGACAAAGCCAAUUAGAUCCCAAGAAUUUUAAUUACAAGUGCCCCAUUCUUCCAACUACACAAUCAUAUCAACUUUAAUUGAUUGAUUACUUAAUUAAAUAAUUAAUUUUAUUACAUUAAAGUAAAACAUACUAAUCCGAAGCAAGUAUGAUUUAAUAAUAUGAUUUCACAUAUGCCAAAAAAAUAAAACUUAACAAGGACAAGUGUAAUCAUUUUAGUUCACACGGAAGUUAAGUUGCACCAACCAUUUGUAUUAAUCAUAGGACAAAUCUAGUGUCCAGCUAGGUCUCUAUGACUUUUUAUUUUUUUGGUCCAGUGAAAUAAUUUCAAAGAAAUUUACAAAUACAUACCAUUCGAACAACUAAUUUAGUUCACAUAGGCGAAAUAUACAAUAUAUUAUAUAUAACAUAUAUGUUGUAAACAAAUUUCCGUAAUAUUUAAGGUGGUAAUAUCCUUAAAAUUAAUUGGUUAUAUGGUCACCUUUUUUUCCUUUUUUGGUCAUAUGCUAUGCUUCAUCGUAAAACAAGCUACUACGUACUUAGAAUAGGAAAAUCGCAUUGUUAGCCGUUUGUUUGACUAAUAACUAGUGGUUAGUAAGUUGUCCAGCUCUAGCCUCACUUAAUUUAGAUUGUGUUUUCUUGAAUAACUUUACCAGUUUACAAUUAAAAUUGUUUUAUAUAAUGAUUAGUUAUCAUUUUACAACUAAAACUGUCAAAUUCAAAAUAUGUCAAACGAAUCAAUGCGACUCGUAGUUCUAGUUAAACUGUUUUAAUUUACAUGCAAAAUAUUUGUCAUUUGAUUUUUUGUAUGACGGUUACAAUUUUAAAUAAUUGAAUAUCAUUAAAUUAAUUAUUUACAUUUUAAACAAACUCCGAUGAUUCAUUUGUUGAGCUAAUUAUCAUGAAUCAAAAAUAACAACCACAACAAAAAUAAUUUAAUCUCAAGCGAUUUAGAUUCAACUAGUUAUAUGAAUCCCAAAAAUGAGUUUGAUGCAGCUAACUGUAUUUUCUAGCAUGAAGUCUUAAAAAAAAUAAAAAAUAUAGAAUUUUUUUGAAUCUUGACACCCUUAAACUAAAAGUAUAUAUUUCUCGAUUUACUUUUACUUGUCUACUUUAAACAUUACACGCCCUUCAAGAAACAAUAAUUAAUAUAAAUACUUUAUCAUAAUACUCAUAUUAAUUGAUUGAUACAUUGUCAUAGGUCUCGUGAAAUGAUUUAAAAAAUGUAUAAUUAAUUUAAAGUAUAUAACACGGAAACAAUAUGCUAAAAAAAAGAAGUAAAAAUAUGAUUUUAAUAUAAUGGACGUAAAAAUAAAUGGAGGAAUGUGUGAGUAACGGAUAUAUAUAUUAUAUAAAUAUUUUCCUAAAAAUAAAAAGAGGGAAAGAUGGGAAAAGAGACAGACAUGGAUGAGUGGGCUUUAGUCGGUGGAGAAAAGGGGCCCAGCAGACAAUUUAGGAGUAUGAACACGCGGCAUGCCUAGCUAACGAAUAUUUCAGUUUCAAGGAACCUGCACAUUAGUGGAUAGAGGACCCCACUAUUACUUCUCCCUCUUCAAGCAAAGAAUAACGCAAUAUUUAUAUGGGUGAAUCGUAAUCAAAUCAAAUAUCAAUCUGCCCAGUCAUCACUAUAACUCAACAGGAAAUAACUAUAGUAUAGUUGUUGAUCGCACUUGAGGCUAACGAUAGAAAUGAAACAACCAAGAAAACUAACAAAUACUAUGCAUUACCCACUGAUAAUUAAUGGCUAACCAGAUUUGAAUUUGCAAGCCAUGGCAACCAUUUUCCCGAAAAAGUACGCUAGUUCAGCUGUUCAGGUACUCAAUCCUAAAGAUGAAACCAGCUGUCAGCUGAAUGCUAUGUAUGGUGCAAGGAAAAUUUACUUCACUCUACCUCCAUAUCAGAAAUAGCUUCAUUUAAGACACUCUGAAGCUCUUUCACUCUGCGUUUUGCCAGUGCGACGCAAUCCUGAAGAAGAAAUUAAUGAACUGUUAACAGGAUUGUUUUAGGAACCAUUGCAGAUCAAUAGGGAAUGGAAUGUAAGUUAACAAACGUCUCCAGAAAAGUGAGUAUGACAUAAGAAAAUACCAUUAUUUUAAUACAAACAACAACAUACCCAGUGAGAUCACACAAGUAGGAUCUGGGAAGGGUGGGUGUACCGCAGACCUUACCCCUACCUUGAUGGGGUAGAGAGGCUGUUUUCGAUAGAUCCUCGGCUCAAGAAAAGUGAUUUUCGAAACAGGUUUGGGAAAUUUUAAUUUCCUUGUUUGUUUUCUUAUGAUUUGUUGAACUACAAAACAGAACUGAUUAAAAAAAUCUUAUUUAUAAUUAUCAUAGCAAUAUAAAACAUAUUAAACAGAAAAAAAAUUAUCUUGACAAAGUUUCUCAAGGGUCAAUUUGGACAACAUAUAACUUUUAAUACAAACCUGAACCAAAACUAGGCAUCCAAAAACAGCAUGCCUGGGUAUUUCUAUAUUGUUCUUUUCUCAAUAGAGAGGGGAGGGAAGACAGUUACAAAACAUGCCCAAAAACAAUUGGAAAUCUUAAUGUCCCAUUAAAUAAGUUUUCCGAUAUCUAGUGACCUCCUUUAGUUACGAUCUAAGAUAAAUAUCAAAUGUGCCUUGUAAAGAAAAGAAGAGAAAAAUAAACCUUCUUGUCCAUUUAGUUAAGCAUUAGGAUUAUGAUGCAAACUAACCUGGAUGACUGAUGUAUGGGCAUGAACUGGUCCCCCUGGUUUAUAAAGUGAAACAAGCUGGUAGGACGAAUCCAAUACCACAGUUACAGCCGUUUCCAUUAUAGAUUCUUCCUCUGCUGUAGGAUCUGCUAGGAUGUAGUUCUUGUGAAGUAAGCACGUUAAGGAGAAUGGUGGAGAGUUCAAUUUUAGUUUUCUUUUCUCUGUAUUGACAGGCUGCUUCUCCAAUUUCAAUUGGAUAUUGUCCUCAGAAACAAGAACUAUUCGCCCAUCUUCAUUCAAAGACACUACUGGAAUGUUCACUGCAAAAAAAUCAUUUCUUAUGUAAAAUUCCAUGCAUAUAAUAAUCAACUUUCCCAGACUGAUACGUACAGCUAUAAAGAACUCAGUGCAUAUAAUAUUGAACACUUCAGAAGAAAACACUCUUCCCACAUAGCAAAAAAAGAGCUAUUGACCUACAGGGAUGGUUGCAACCUUAAGAAAAUUAAAAAUAAAAUCACAUGACUGCACCUAAUAUGUGCACUCUUCUUCAUUCCUUCAUCUCUUUCUCAAUAAUGGCUUCAUAAUUUUAUUGCAUGAUAUUCCUUUUAACAAACCAAAACCAAGUGCAGAAGAUUGCUCUUUUGACCUAUUGCUUAAACUAAGAACAGUUCAUCCCCUCUCUUUUUAUUCUCUUCAAGACUGGCCUUCCCCUAAGGUUUAUUACAUGGCAUAUGCAGGCCAGAUUCUUGCAGAUACUUGCUCCUUGAACAUAUUGCUAAUUGCUCUAAGAACUUGUGCAGACAGCUGGUCCUCUUUUUACCGUCGCCUGUUUGGUAUAAUAAAUAGUUUCUGUAAUCACUAAAACAUCUUCUUUCUUACCCUUUUUCAACUUUGAUAUCGAAAACCUUUCCAAAAUUUUGUUUUAACAUGUGGUCCAUUUCCAAUCUCAAAAUCAGAAACAGGAUAUAAAGUACAAUAUUGUUGUCUCUCAUGGGAAUAGUAAUGAUUACAGGAAUACUUAAGAAAAUCCAAGCAAUAGCAAACUUACAAUGUGAAAAGGCAGCAACUGUAGAUAGUAAUGCAGCGUCAAACAGAGAACCGUCAGCAUCCAAACAGUAUAUGUCCUGUAUUAAUCAUAUGCCAUAGGAAUUAAUACCAACAAGUAGGCCUAUGGUCUAAAAGCGUUUGUAUUAGCAUAAAAUGAAGAAAUAAAGGGGAACAUUCAAAAACCAACGAUGAAUAAAUGAAAAACUAGUCCAAAUCUAUGUGUUGAGGGACGGCCUUACGGGGUAACAUAUUUGAAAAUGGUUACCUAGAUACGCCAAAAAUUUCCAUUGUUUCAUAUUCUGAUGACUUAACUCUUCAAUUAACGUAAAAUUAAGGAACAAACUUUUCCUUCUUCUACCAACAAGGGGAAAAAGCAAGAAAACAAGAUCUUCACAUUCGUUAGCACUUACCAGGUAGGCCAUCCAUGCAGCUUUUCCUCCAACCAAGCACAAUUCUUUCAAGUCAAUCAUGCCAGAACUGCAAACAUUUCAAUUGCUUAUUAAGGAGAUUGUACAGGAAUACUUAUCAGAAAGUCAAGAAAUAAAAUAUUAGAAGAUGAACCAAGAGGAAAGACCUAAAAUAGGAAGGGUAAACAAAGCCAUGAAGAUAGCAAUCGAAGUAAUUCUUUCUUACUUCUACUUUAAAAAAAAAAAGAAGAGAAAAGUUAGACUUGCUCCACAACCAGAGAUACUUCUUGGUAUAAAGCUUUUUGUAGGAGUAGUAUUAACAGAUAUGAUUAAGUUCCAAACAGAGCAAAUGGAGUCAGAUCAUUCAUAUGGCAGACCACCAACGAGUGUGGGACUGAAGCAUGGUUAAUCAAAUGAUGAUUAACAACAACAUACCCGGUGUAAUCCUACAAGUGGGGUCUAGGGAGGGUUGAUCGAAUGAUGAUUAAGUUCCAAGAAUUUCUGGGAAGAACAAGGAUUCAUGCAAAGGUUAUUUUAUCGGAUGUCCCCAAAGGGACAUGCAAAGGUUAUUCUCAUGGGAGAAAGCAGAAGAAGAAUAUUCUCCCUUGUAAGUUGUAACAUAAAGUUCGUCCAGAAGCAGCUGCUUCUGGUUGUCUGGUAAUAUUGUUUGGCACAGUAUGAAAGAUCUUUUAGAUGCACAUAUUCCUCCGGGGGGACAUUGGGCGUGGACAUAAGGGUCUUUAUGACACAAUCAACAAUUUGUUUCAUUUUCAAUUAGGUCUUGCUCUAGCUUCUUUAGGGGUGUGAUCCCAACUUAGUGAGUCCUUUCUUCCGUGAUGAACUGUUGGCACCAGUCUACAUUUUGUCCUGUAGACCGAGGAGAGGAAAUCUUAUUUAAAAAGCAUAAAACUCUUGUGAUGUAAAGUUCGUUCAAAAACUUCUCCAGGUAAUAAUAGCUACUACAAUUUAUUAACAAUAAGUAAUAACCCCUUCGAAGACUAGAAACACGGCCAAGAUGCUUGACGCAGGAGGAUUUUCCCGAUCAGAUUAUUAUGCUUGCUGCAGAUCAUAAGUGGGUCUAGUUGAACCUCAAAUAAAACUUGUGUUGUUGACUUGUUGUAUCAGAUUACCAGACGCUCAAAAAAUUAUAAAAACAAAUUAGUAAUUACCAAAAGGCAUGGUCAAUAUUAAAAUACCUAACAUAAUGAAAUAGAUGAUGACAAUAUUUAGACUCCAAGUGGCAAAAGGUGGAGGAUUUGUGGCUUAGGUCGCAGGUUCAAGCCCCACACCAUGCAAAGCGAAGCCCGGUAUUUAAGUGGAGAAGGGUAGAGGGGCGGGCCCAUUAUCCACCGAGUUUAGAAGGCUGUGAUUGGUCCAAAGGGCGGGUCACAGACGGAUUUCUCGGUUAUCAAAAAAAAUAUAAAAAUAUUUAGACUCCAAGUUCAGAUUAUUUAAAAAAAAAGAUAUUUAGACUCCGAGUUUUGGGCACCUGCAAGCUAUUACUACGUACCUCAAGAUAGUGUCUGACAGCUGCUUUGAAAUUACUGAUGCAACCUCUGCAGGCCUACCAGGCCGAACCAGGGGAGAACAAAUGGGAGGCAUAUGAAAUUCGAUAGCUGCAAUCACAAUAUAAUUAUAUACAUAAGCAGAAACUAUAUGGGUAAUAAGAUAAUAAGAGCUGAGAGAUGAGAGACAUUUUACCUAUGGAUCCCUCAUCUGGACAUUCAACAGUUGGUGUCAUGAUUUCCAUUUUGAUGGCGGCCAGCAUCGUCUGCAAUUGAUUCAAGAUGAUCAAUCAAUUCAGAAGAAAUUCAAGUGAAAAAUGGAAGCUCCUGUACAUUAAAGAAGCAAUUGAUACAUAGGAUACACUUACAGUGGAGCCAAUCUUUGCCAGUGCUGAUCCCUCAGCAGAGGCCACGGCACCUGCAGUGAUAAUAGAAAUGUAUAUUUGGACAAAUCCUGAGAAAAUAUAAUAUAAUAACAACUAAUAAGUUGAAAUGAUGAUUAGACAAACCAAGUGCAAGUGUUGUAUCUCUAGCGCUUCCGAGCUUUCGAGCAUCAGGUCGGACUGAUUUAAGAAGGUGCUGCUCAUGAUAGCGCAAAGGGAAAAGACGUCUAAAUGCGUCCACCUCCAUCUCUGAAUACAAGUCACUUGAGCCAUUGGCAGCAGCCAUUCUAUAGAAAUCAGAUGUCUUAGCAAUAGCCUUAUCAACUAGAGAUUAUGCAAUCAUAGGAAUACAAGAAAAUCUCAUAUUCAAAUAAAAUGCAUGACCCUAGUAUCCUGCUGUUCAAUGAGAAUGAAGGUUUUGAACUUCGAAAUUAUAAUAAAACAAGAAAGACAUGCAGAAAUGGUUGGUCAAUAUAUAAAGAAAAUGGGAAAGAGGAAGUACUGUCAAAAUCUCAACCCAACCUUGUGAAAUUAUCUUAAUUCUUAUUUUGCUUAUAGUUGAUUUGUUCUUCUUUCCCAUAGAGAAAUCAAAAGGAAAAAAAGUUACAGAAUAUAAAAGUCCCUUCUGUAACUCGGUUGAAUUUUUUUUGUUUUGGGCUACUUGCUUUUCCACUUUGUGGUACUACACUGGGUUUGUUGUUGUUGUUGGUCUAUCUGUUUUCAGUUAUCAGAUUCAUUACUUAACCUUCAAAAACUUAAACAGGACAUGUCGCACUGUCAUCACCCGUUUUGUAACACAAUAAUAAUGUUUAUCUACUUGACAAAUUUGAAGUCUGAAAUUUAUGGACUUAUAAGAAGAUAUUAACAGACUAUUAAUGGCAAAAUAAUAAAGGAGAUUUUUCAGGCCAAUGACAAGACUCAUUAGAUUAUUAUCCUGCCAUAACAGAAAACAAUUGAUAAUCUAACUUUAGUAACGGAAGCGGUAUAAUUGACCUGAUAGAGAUUCAUAUAUCAACUUAUCCUUAAACAUCAGUAACAUGGAAUAUUUUCUAAUUCUAUGUUCAGAUUGUAAUCACAGUAAUUCCUUUGGGCCUUCUUAAUUCAGAAUCUUAAUCUUUCAAGUUCCCAACCUUAGAUACAUGUCUAGAUUCAUCUCUGAGUUGCUCGGCUAAGAUACAUGCAGUUUAUAGUACAUGCUUCUGUGCAGAUGAAUCUAGACAACUACAUACGUAAGAUAAACAAUAUUUUUUCCAACUGCUGUGAUCACACACACAUAUCAGUUCAGACAUCAGACAGAGUUGUAAGGACAUUCUCACAUCACCCAGUAACAAUUUGGCAGUCUAAUAGGGGCCUAUAAUGUUAAGCCAAUCAACAUCCGGAUAAAAGAGGAAUCUUUCCAUUAAAUAGUAUAACUACAUAAAGAUUGAUAUGUCCAAACUCAACUAGUUUGGAAUUGACGCAUAGUUAACUAACUAAUUAACAGAGCUUGAUAUAAGAAAUAAGUAUUUCCAAUUAGUUCUCUGAAAGAUAGUUUCAUAGGCACAAGGUAAAAGCAAAUCUUUUUCAAAAUAAAGUUUGAAAAUUUCAGCAAAUACACAAGCAUAAUUUCAGCAUAACAAAACUGUUGGACAACAAUCAAGCCAUGAAUGGAAGCUCAGAUAAUAACUAGAUGACAUGGAGAGCACCUUUUAGCACCACAUUUCAUGAAAAUACUCUAAAAAUAAAUAAAUACAAAUUAUGUAUUGAAGUUAGUGAAUUACUGAAAUUUUACAGCCAAAAGUGCAUUACUCCAUACAUUAUUUUAUUUUAUAUGUCAAUUUCACUAGCUCUGCUAACAGAUACAGAGGUUUUUACAAAAUCUUCACUAUACAAAUGGCCACAGACAGUAAGUUUUGGGACAAAGUUAGAUAUUUGCAAGGAAGAAAGUAUUUUCCAUCAGUAGUUUUACUUCUUCCAGAAAAUUAAAGAAAAUGUAAAAACUAACUCUUGGUGGAACCCGAGAAACUUACAGAAAUUUGCGGCUGAAGACACGGCAAGAGUUGCUGGCGGAGUGAAGCGAGGGAGGGUUUUACUCGAAUCGGAAAAGAAGAAUAAGGAGUGUGACUUGGGGACAUAUCAUGAGAAAAAGCUUAAAAUAGUACCUAAUCUUUCCAUUUAGACUUUAAAGUCAUCAUUAUUCUCCACAAAAAGCAUUAAUAGUCCUUUAUAUAUAUUUAUGAUACACAAAGCAUUAAUAGUCCAUUAUAUUUAUGAUGUUAGUGUAGUUUUGGUGCACCACUGAACUUUUUUUGUUUUUGGAGAUUGAAAGGUUCAUCACAUCAAAAAUUUCAAAUGUAACAAUAUAAGAAGAUAUAAAGGUCGCAAAUUAGAAUAAAAAAAUGGGUAUAAAUUGACUUGUUUUUUCGCUUAGUAAGUUUGGUGGGUAGUUGAUAUUAAUAUUAAUCCUAUAGUUUUUUAUUCUUCAAUUACUACUACUAUAUGAUGUUUGUUGUGCUUCAUUUGUCAUAUUGUUAUACUCUAUGAUUCAUUACGUUUACUCUAUUAUUUGUUAUGUGUUAUUUGCUAUAUCUUAUAUUAUUUUGGUAUGUCUUUUUCAAAAGUGUUACUUGAUCCGAGAGUCUUACAAAAAAUAAUUUAUCUAUCUCCAUAAGAUAGAAGCAGAUUUAUGUAAAUUCUACUCUUUCCAACCCCUUUAUGAAAAUACAAUAUAGUAUUAAUAAAUAAAAUUAUUUUUCUAAUAAGAUAAACUUUUAGUCUAAUUUUCUUUUUAUAAUGGUGUUCCUAUAAAAAUAACAUAAACUCGAUUUGGCAAUUUCAUAAUUCCUUUUCAAAUUAUUUUAGAUCGAUACAUUCACAAUGAGCAACAAAAGUCAGCGUGUAUUUUAAUUACUUUAAGUCAGCGCGCACUAGAAUUUUAUGCGUAUACCUUUUUAUCUUUAUCCCAAAUGAAUGAAAAGUAAAGUAGGAAAAACUGCGAAAUAUGCGAGAUGCCGACCGAAUUCAUUUCCAUGGCAGUUACCUUUACCCACUGUUAACGAAACCGCAGUUUAACUAAAUUUGCAGUGCGAGGACUGUGAGAGACGAGCGUGGUGUCCCUUUCUCAGAGAGUAGAUCUGAAUAUAGAUCUCUCUCUGUCUACUAGGUGAAUUGUUACCUUUCGGAAAAAAAUGGAGUACAUAGACAACAUGCCGCUAAUGGAUCUGAUGCGCUCGGAGAAGAUGACUUUCGUUCAGCUUAUCAUUCCUGCUGAAUCCGCUCAUCGUGCCAUCACUUACCUUGGCCAACUCGGACUUCUCCAAUUCCGUGAUGUACUCAUCUCUUUACCUGUGAAUUUUUGUUUUUGAAGGAUUUUGAAGUUUGUUUGUUGAUUCAGGAUUGAUACUGUGGUUUUAUGAUUUUGAGGUGUCACUCACUAUAUGUGCCUGAUUAAUUGGCCUGAUUUUUACUCGAAUAGUCAGUCUUCGAGAGUGAUUUUGGUUAUGUGGAAUGCAAUGUAACAGGAAAGUGUUGUUUUUGACUAAGUAACGAUUCUGUAGUUUUAGUAGUCUAUGUUGUGAAGGAUUUGGAAGUUAAUUAAUGAAUUCGAAUAAGACUCGUUUACUUAAUCACUUUUUAAGUGCCAAAGAGUAUCAAAAUUUCAGGGAAGCUUAAUUUCAUUCUUCUAAUAUAGUUGUUCUAACAAUCCCAUGUGUUACUUGUGUAAAUUGAGGUGAGGUUUCAAAGGCAUCAAAUUACCGUGCUGGUUCUUUCUUUUGGGUUGGAGUAAGGCCAGAGAGAACUAUCCACACUCUUGAAGAUGAGAUGCAGUCAAUUUUUUUCAUUAUUAUAAUGUUGUUGUCCCUUUCAAUAUUUUGUAUGAUAUUUGUAACUAGUUUGUCAUCUUCAAGGGGAUGUGGCAAACUUUUAAAUAUUAUUAUAUUUUUAUGAUCUAGCUAUCCUGACUUUUAUCUCCAGUUAAGCUGCUUUAUUUUCAUUAUCCAGCAAAUAAACUGAUUACCUAACUUCUUUUGUGCAGCUAAAUGCCAAAAAGAGUCCUUUCCAGAGAACAUUUGUAAACCAGGUAUCUACGAAUUUCUGUGAAUUCAGUAAAUUCAUCUUCAAAAUUCUACAUGCUUGUUACUAAAGUGGAAUUGUGACUAUAAUCAGCUUAAACUGUUGACAAGUUUCAAUGUGCUUGUAUUGUUGACAAACUGCUAUCUCUGCUAACUUUUGCUGGAACUUUGCUAAAGAGAAGAUCACUUCCUUUUACUCAAAUUUUAGUCCAUAAUUUUGUGAAAUUAAGUCGAGCUGCUUAGAAUUGCUCUUUCUCGCCUUUAUUGAACCUAGAAAUGAGUACAUAUUGAUUUGUUAUUCCUUUUAUUAAUUCAAUCUUGGGUGACGUUUGUAGGUAAAAAGAUGCGUGGAGAUGGGAAGAAAACUACGAUAUUUCAAAGAUCAGAUACACAAAGCCGGUCUAUUGCUGCCUCCUCUUCCUGCUUCCCAACCUGAUACUGAAUUAGAAGAAAUAGAGGUCUCUUUCUGGUUGCUACUUGCUGAUAAAUGAGUUUUCCUCUGUUUUCAAUUUCAAUUAUGGAUUUAUUCAGUAGCUUUUCCAAUUCAACAAAAGCUCAUAUGGACAAUUUGAUUCUUCAAAAUUUCAGAUACAACUUGCAGAGCAUGAACAUGAAUUGAUUGAAAUGAAUGCUAAUAGUGAGAAAUUGCGGCAAUCAUAUAAUGAGCUGCUAGAAUUUAAGAUGGUACUGCAGAAGGUACAUUUCUGCCUUGAUAUCUAGUCAUUCUGUUAAUGUGCAAGCAUUUGAAGUAAGAAAUGAAUUUUGCAUUAAUGAUGUGGAUUCUGAGUUGUUUGAGGCAUUUAAUUUUUGCCAGAAACUUGGAAUUCUUAAAUAGCUGCUUUAAAGAGAGCAAAGAUAUUGAUUUUUUUUUUUGUAAUCAUUAAUGUGGUUGCAUACACGAGUGUCUAUUGGAAACAAUCUCUUGACCUCUGAGGUAGGGUAAGGUCUGCGUGCACUCUACCCUCCCCAGACCUCACUUUGUGGGACUACACUGUCUAUGUUGUAGUUGUUUAUGCUUACCUAUCAUUUUCUCUUCUAAGUUUGAACUUGUGAGCUGACAUUCAAAGCUUCUCAGAUCACCUCUUUAUCAGAAUUACCUGAAGGACCAAAUUUAUGCUUUUUUGGGUUUAAAAUGUAAUCAUUCCUUUCAGAGAUACUUAUUUUUUGGUCACUAUCACUCCAGGCUAGUGGCUUCCUUGUUUCAAGUAGUAGUCAUACAACUGACCGGGAAAUAGAAUUGGAUGAAAAUGUAUACUCCAAUGAUAACCAUGGAGAUACAGCAUCAUUAAUUGAGCAGGUAACUGCACAAAUAACAGUUUUUUCUUUUGAGUAGCUUAUAUCAUUAAUUCAUUGAUGAUUAAGUUCCUUAAAACUUUUUCAGCAAAGUUAUUUUCAAUCUUCAGGAGAUGCAUUCAGAACUGUCAAAUCAAUCCGGAGUGAGAUUUAUUAGUGGCAUUAUCUGCAAUUCCAAGGUUCUUCAAUUUGAAAGAAUGUUAUUUCGUGCAACAAGGGGUAAUAUGCUUUUCAAUCAGGCAGUUGCUGAUGAUGAAAUACUGGAUCCUUCGUCAAACGAAAUGGUCAUCCUCUUUCUUUAGAACUUCUAAUAUAAUUGAACCCUUCUAAUUGGACAUUUGCACUGCCAUCUUUCUAAACGUGGGUCAGCACAAAAGGAAUUUGUUCACUAAGAAAAGUUCCAAAUAAAGGAAAAUUCUAAAAUGCGUAAGAUUUACUCAUGACUCAUGAGUCAUGAAUAAAUAAGGAAAGAGUAGAAGCAUUUCUCUCCAUUUGAAAUGGCCAAACUCUAACUCUCUCUGUCUAUGCAAUGUGGUUUCUUUAAUUAUCUAUAUGUUUUUAUCUAUUAUUAUUAUUACUCCCUCCUUUUCAAUUUUUUUUUUGUCCUGUUUUGACUUUGACUUGACACGUAGUUUAAGAAAGUAGAGAAGACUGCUAAAUCUUGUGUUCUUAAAUGAAAGACAUGUCAAAUGCCCUUUAAUCUUGUGGUCUUAAACAUAUUAUGUGGAAAGCUGGAAUUAAAGAGUUGCUAAAAAAAAAAGAAAGAGGCGUUCUUUUUGAAAUGGACUAAAAAGGAAAGUAGGACAAACAAAUUGAAAUGGAGGGAGUAUUAUUACUGUUGUUGUUAUUAUUAUUUCUUUGUUGGAUCCUUGCUGCAAGGAAACAACCUGAUUAUAAAGGUUAUCUUAUGGUUAACAUAGAUUUUGCUUCUGCAGGUUGAGAAAAUAGUCUUUGUAGUAUUCUUUUCAGGUGAGCAGGCGAGAACAAAAAUACUGAAAAUUUGUGAGGCAUUCAGUGCAAAUUGCUAUCCUGUUCCUGAAGACACGACAAAGAGGAGGCAGAUAACUCAAGAAGUAUGUUUCUAAUGGAAAGGAGUUUCAUCGGCAUUACAAUUGAACCUUUUUGUGUAUUAAUUAUCUUUGCAUAAUUUGUUGAAAAAUUGUAAGUAGGAAAUGGAUAAUUUUAUGGUAUUUCUGCCUAAUGUAAGCAAGCUAAGUUUUAGUUGCCCUCAAUUUAUGUGUCGAUUGACAUUCAACGUCAUAAUAUACAUCAAGAAUGGGCCAAUGUUCUGUUAUCUCCCUACUAGCACUCGUGCUAUGUCUGAUUGCCUUCACAUUUAUUCCACAAUCACCUCAGCAUGAUUUGCCGCAUUUGCACUUCAAUGAGUCCCAACCCCAAAUCUGUUUAGACAUACUGUGAUGUACAUAGCAUAUAUAAUUUGUGAUUGUUCAUUCUUGAAUGCUCUAAAGUAAGAUAUCUGAAUGAGAUAAACUUCUUGAUUAUAGGUGUUGUCUCGGCUGUCUGAAUUAGAAACCACUCUGGAUGCUGGCCUGCGACAUAGAGAUAAAGCUUUGACCUCUAUCGGAUAUCACCUUACAAAAUGGAUAAACAUGGUAAGAGAUUAAGAGUGAAUAGAAUAGUUGUAUAAUCUUUCAGUUUCAAAAAGGAGUGAAUAGAAUAGUUGGAGUUAUUUCUUUAUACUCUAGUUUAUUAUUGUCUGGUGGGAGCAAGUGCACCUUGUGGUUUUGACAAAUGAGUUAAUUGCUCCAACUUCAUUUUCUAGGUUAAAACACAAAAGGCUGUGUAUGACACUUUAAAUAUGCUGAAUUUCGAUGUUACUAAGAAGUGUCUAGUGGGUGAGGGCUGGUGCCCAAUAUUUGCAAAGACCAAGGUAAAUUUCUUUUUUGAUUCUUUUUGUAGCAGUUAAUAAAUGGAGCUUCAACAUGCACAAUUUUAUAACAUUAAUACCAAGUAAUGACUCGUGAAAAUUUUAGAUACAAGAGGCUUUGCAACGUGCGACAUUUGAUAGCAGUUCACAAGUGGGCAUUAUAUUUCAUGUGAUGGAUGCCGUGGAGUCACCUCCAACAUACUUUAGGACAAACAGAUUCACAAAUGCAUUUCAAGAAAUUGUUGAUGCGUAUGGGUAAGUUAAACAUGCAGUAGCAUUUCAUUAUUUGAAGAAAAUGAUGUAGACAUAAUAGUUUUGUCUUGAUUUAGUUGAUGCAAUUAGGUCAUGGGGAUAAAAUGUUUGUUGACAGCAUUAGUUCUAUUCCAUCAUUUUUGCUGAUUCUACUGAUAGCAGCAUGUCCAUCUGAAAUUACUUCAACAUAAUUCAAGUUGGUAUUCUAUGAAGAUGUAAAGGGGAGAUGAUGUUAAUGUCAUGACCCGAAAUAGACAUGUUUGUUGAUGAUGUUUUAGAUGGUACAUUAAAACUUUAUUGCAUUUGUUGUUUUAUCUUACGCUUCACUCAUUUUUGCAGUAAAACCUUUACUUGUUUCAAGAAUGUUUUUCAUAUGCCUGAAGCUUGGCAAAAUAAAAUUUUAAUAGAAAAGAUUCUACUUUUCAACAUAAUGCAUGCCAUGAUUUUUGGUUGUAGUUGUACAUAAUGCUUCAGCUCUUCAGAUAAAUUUCAAUUUCAUUUGUUUCUCAAAAGAAUAUAUGAAUAUGAAUAUCCAUAUGUUGUGCACUUAGGCUGGUCCAAACAGAAAACACUUAUAGUGCUGUUUUUCUUGACAGUGUUGCCAAAUACCAGGAAGCAAAUCCAGCUGUUUAUACCAUUGUUACAUUUCCUUUCCUUUUCGCUGUGAUGUUUGGGGACUGGGGUCAUGGAAUCUGCUUGCUCUUGGGAGCAUUAGUUCUUAUCGCAAGGGAAAGCAAACUUAGUUCUCAGGUUAAUACUCCUAUUGAUUUAAGAUUCUUCUUUGGAGGGCUGAAUUAGAGCAAUCAUAUAAUUAUAUGCUCCUUUUGUGAAUCAAAUAACUUUUCCUGGCAGAAACUAGGCAGCUUCAUGGAGAUGCUCUUUGGUGGUCGCUAUGUACUCCUGUUGAUGUCAAUAUUUUCAAUUUACUGUGGCUUGAUAUAUAAUGAAUUCUUCUCAGUUCCCUUUCACAUAUUUGGUGAUUCGGCGUACAAAUGCCGAGAUGCUACAUGCAGGUAUACAAUAAUUACCAUGCUACAUUUUCUAAAUAGAAAUUGACUACAAUUUCUGAUUAUGAGGAAAUAACGUAUUCACUUUGUAUCAAGUGUAUCAACGAAUACAAUUGUAUCAAGUGCAUACAUAUGUAUCAUGUGUUGUAUACUCUUACAUAAUACGAUUGAUACGAUAUUGUAUCUUGACAUUACUGUGUGUACAUUACAGUGAUGCACAGACAGUUGGUUUAAUAAAAUACAAGGAUCCGUAUCCAUUUGGCGUGGAUCCAAGCUGGAGAGGCAGCCGUUCAGAGCUUCCUUUUUUGAAUUCUCUGAAGAUGAAGAUGUCUAUUUUGUUGGGUGUGGCCCAGAUGAAUCUUGGAAUCAUUUUAAGUUAUUUCAAUGCACGUUUCUUCAGCAGCUCACUUGAUAUUAAGUGUGUAAUCAUUUUCUCUUCUCUCUUUUUUCAUGGUUUGCCUGUAUGUUGUCAUUUAUUCUGUGAUUGGUUGUUGUCAGGUAUCAGUUUAUACCACAAAUAAUCUUUCUCAACAGCCUCUUUGGAUACCUUUCUCUUCUCGUUGUUGUCAAAUGGUGUACUGGUUCUCAAGCAGAUCUAUAUCAUGUUAUGAUUUAUAUGUUCUUAAGUCCUUUUGAGGCUCUUGGUGAAAAUAGGUUGUUUUGGGGCCAGAGUGUGCUUCAGGUAUGAGGUACCCUUCUAUUUCCGGAACAUGUGCUCUUAGAGGUUGUUUGGUUCUUAAAUGGGGUAUGGUAGAAUUGUACUAGCACAAAAUUAUUGUGAGAAUAUUGUCAAUUAGUGAAUUAUUAAUGGGUUUCUAAUACAUGCAUCCCAUAUUUGGGAUUUUUGGAGUGGGGUUUAAAUUCUUUUAAUAAAAAUGCCUCUUGCAUAAUUUUUAUAAAUAACUUGUAAUGAGUAGUUAAAUAUAUAUGUAUGUAUGCAUUAAAGGUGCCAUAUGCAACUAAUAGAAAGAACAAGUAACAAACAAAGAAAUAUGAAAAACAAAACCAUUAAUGAAGUUCUUUUUUCUCCCUUGUCCGUCACACAAUUCGAUACCAAACAACCCCUAAGAAUAUGUCUGCGUCCUUGUACCCCUCUGUUAACAAUUACUGUUGCAGGUAAUAUUGCUGCUUUUGGCACUAAUUGCAGUUCCAUGGAUGCUCUUCCCAAAACCUUUUAUUUUGAAGAGACUUCACAUGGAGGUACUGUGUUGACUUUUCUGAUUCAGAGAAAAGAUGAAAGUAGUGAACCUUGGAACCCUUUCCAGAAAUAACUUUUGUUUUCUUUGAGAGACAUUUUAGUGGCAUAGAAUGGAGAAACCUUUAAAAAGGAAAUUCUAAUUUCUAUUUUGAUUUUUUUUUUCUUGGAGAGAGAGGGGUCCUGUUGGCAUGCCAUAAAAUCUAGUAAUAGUCAAGUAGGCUCCUAUUGAGUACCUUACUUUAUUGAAGAUAUACUUUCCUUUUUAAGUAUGACUUCACUCUUGAUAUGUUGCCAGAAUGAACUUCUAAAUGUACCCUUCCAUGAUUGUCUGGUUAAAUUAAUUAGCCUGACAAGUUUUGAGUGUAUGGUUUUUAUCUAAAAAUAGUGGUAAGAAGGGAAUAACCAAAAAUAUAAGUUUGAUAUACUAGUGAAGGCAUUAAUGCUUUCAGUUGUUAAGUAAUAUCUGCCAAGAGACAUUAGGCUUUCGAAAAUGGAGAUUUUUGUCCAUGAGCUUCUCAUAUCCUAAGAUUAUUCUGCUUCAUGGGAAAUUUCAGCAUGGCAUAUGCUGUGUAGGUAGGGUGAUUACACUAUUAGAGCUACUUGUGCCACUAGGUGACUGUCUGAGAUUGUAAUCCAUAUUCCAAUUGUUUUUUUUCUCUUCCUUUGUUCGGAAAUUGUGAGAAAAGGUGGGAUACCUUUGCUUGUUUUUCAGAAAAGCCCUUUCUAGUGUACCUUUUAGCAGCCUCCUUCCCUGUUCUCACUCUAGCAGAUCCGUUCCAGUCAGACUUUCCAUUUUUCCUUUUAUUUUCUCUGUUUUAACCAAAUAUGAGAAUGCAACAAAGUUCUUAUUCGGUCGAGAUCCCACCUAAAAUGAACAGGAAUUUUAUUCUGUACACCAAAUGGUUGCAUCUGUUCCUGUAUAGAUGUUGUUUAGGUGUCCAUUGAUGUUACUGAAUUAGCAAAUAUGGUUUUAUAUAUUGACAGGAUCUGAGGGUAGGACGGAGAGCCUUAUUUACUUUUGUAUUUAAUUUCGCACAAUUUCAUGUACUGCCUAUCGCUACUACUUAGUAUCUUGAAGGCUUUAUUUCUCUUGCACCUUUGAUGAUUCUCAGAGAUUUCAAGGUCGGACAUAUGGAAUGCUUGGAACCUCUGAGAUGGGUAGUGAUGAUCAACCAGAUUCUGCCAGAGAGCGUGCCGAGGAGUUCAACUUUAGUGAGGUUUUUGUGCACCAAAUGAUACACUCUAUUGAAUUUGUACUUGGUGCUGUUUCUAACACUGCAUCGUACCUUCGGCUUUGGGCUUUGAGGUAAAUCCAUCAAUUACUUAUUUUUUGUCAUCAACUUGAAUUUUGUAUAUUUCUUGAAAAUUCGCUGUAUAUACCACACGUUUAUGUUGAUGCAGUUUGGCUCACUCUGAAUUAUCUACUGUGUUCUAUGAGAAAGUUCUCCUCCUAGCUUGGGGGUAAGUUUUCAUUUGACAUUUAGCUAUUUCAUUUUCUUCUCACUGGCUGUUCAAGUUUCUCCAGUUUAUAGCUAUGGCUUUCCUUUCAAAGGAAAAACCUAAAUAGGAGCUAUGAUUUGAUGUAGAAUGGUUAAUUUUCUUCAUAAUUUACUCUUGGUAUUCGCGGUGUUGAAUUUAUCUGUCUAUUAUCAUUCUAAGUUCAGGUAUGAAAACAUCAUCAUACGACUAGUGGGGCUGGCAGUUUUUGCCUUUGCGACAGCUUUUAUACUACUCAUGAUGGAGACUCUUAGUGCAUUCCUUCAUGCAUUGCGUCUUCACUGGGUUGAAUUCCAAAACAAGUUUUAUCAUGGGGAUGGUUAUAAGUUCAUGCCGUUCUCCUUUGCCUUAUUAGCAGAUGAUGAAGAUUAGUACAUAGCGUUUCUUUCUCUCUUUUCUUCCUUUGGGGAAUUCCGUGGAGAAGAAGAGUUCCCAAUCUAGAGAAGAAGUCUGACAAGAAUUUCGGAAGGACCCAAUUUUGACUGACUGGUACAUUUGACACACUUUAUUUGGAUGAAAGCAGCUGGAUUAUGUAGGAUAGAAUUGUAAAGUUGCAGCACAUAAUCUUUUGGUAUAGCAGUAUGAAAAGGACCCCGAGGGUCGUAGUUAGCUGUUGAGGAAGAGAUGUGUAAAUUUUUCUCAUUUCUUAUAUCCUCAUCCCAUUCUCUCAAACAGUCAGUAUAAUUUGUGAAGAGGGAAUCUCUUAUACCACCUGCAUCUUCUGAGUUUCACAUCUUUUUGUGGAGGAAAAACUUGCUUAUUCUAAAAUUAUACCUGCGAGUUGUAUUCAUUCAUUUUGAUGGGGGAAGUUUUCCUUCCCGUUUUGUAACAAUAAAUCCAGUCUCACUUACGGUGUUAUGCUUCAGAAAGAAGAAUGUUUCCGAGUGUAUAUCAAAUGUGUGAAACAGAUAAACAAACUAGAUGAGCACACCGUGCGUACCAGCACGAACAUCCCUGAAAUCACUAUAUAGAAGUUUGCACAAACAUAUGGCGAAUGGCUUUUGUAGGAAAAGAAAAAGGAGGAAAAACUCUCUCCGUAGAGAGUUAUUGUUUCACUACAAUUUAAGAUUUUCCAACAUAUGAAUUGUCAUCUUCGGAUGCAAUGACAUUCAUUGCGUAAAACUGUCAUUCUACAUUGAAUCUUCAAAUGGUCCAAUAGUUAACUAAGGAAAGCAUUUCCAAAUCUCGAAUAAUUCAAGCUAUAAUCUUGUUGAAAAGUCAUAUCUAUUUUAAUUUGAAUAUCAAUAGUUAAAUCUUUUAAAAUGAAGUUUACAUACUCCAAAAUCAUAUAAGAAGAAUACUAGUAGGAAAUAUUUGCCAUCCAAAUAAUAAUAGUGGUAACAAAGACUUCCAAUACAAUUUCUUAUGACCUUCGGGUAGAUCUUAAUACUUUAUCAUGAUUAAGUGAUACUUACUAGGUGAUAAAAAAGUGUAAACACUACCUCCUGCUGCUCAUUUUUUUUUAAAAAAAUUUAAAACUUGAUUCUAGUAUCGUAGGAAGUCAGGACUUUGUAGUCAAUUUUUGAAUCAAAGAAAGGAAGGGGCAAAUAAAUUUGGCAUUGGAGUGAACAAGGCACGUGUGAUUUGUCCUACGUUAGGGACCGGCCCUUUCCCGCUUGCCCCCAUUUCAAAACCAACAAAUAAAUCCUCAUUUCCGCUUAACCAAACAAACUACUCCUACUUCUUUGAUGAUUUCUUCAACAAUUUCAAGUAUCAGAGAAAAAUGGAAUCAGAUCUACGCCUCCUUGAAAUCUCCGGCGAAGAAGAUUCUCUACUCACGCCACUCCCUGAUAUGGACACCAAUCCCAACGAUUUCGCUUCAAUUUCAAAUUUCAUUUCCCCAAUGAGUCAGUUCUUCUACUUUUCUUCUCUUCUAUUUUUGUUUCUUUCAAGUUUCACAUUGCCAUUUUCCAAUUUCUAUGGCUUGCUCCGUUUUUUUUUAUUUUGUUUCAAUUCGUUAAUUCCCGCAUUCAUUACCUUGAGGGAUUUGUAGCGGUAAGCAGUCAAGGAAGUGCUCAGAUGCUGUAAAAUGUUUUUUUUUUCGAGAAGUUUUGGAGGUUUCAUCUCGUUUAGAUAAAUCUAGAUUUUUGUUUUAUAUGGAAAUGAGUCGUAAUGAGUUUGUAGGGUUAAUUAGGUUAUGCAGUUUUUGCCUACUUUCAGCAGUUAUUCAAUUCACUGUGUUACUUCAAUCAAGUAUAUUAGGUUCCUGAUAAAGGAGGAGAUUAGCUAUGCGUUGGCAACUAGUGUCUGUAGUCAUACUUUGGUGAAUACUAUGAAACGAGACUAAGUAGAGGUGUAAUUGAUGCAUAAGACCCUAACUAUAGGCUUUGAGGUGAAUUUGAUUGAUUGAUUUGUAUUAUCAAGUCCGUCAGUAGAAAUUUGAUCGUUUCUUCUUUACAUUUGGUAUUCUGUGGCUCUUCUAUUUUGUUGGUUGUAUCAUACAUUUUUAUUCAAAACUUCUGCUUUUCUGUUGGAGAUGUUAUGCAUUAUGUUCUUCUUGAUGGUUCUCAUUUGCCUAUGUUCCAGCUUGAAGCUGUUUAGUUUUCUGUUUGAAAUUGAAACAGUUGGUGCCUUGAAGUAGAGGGCGUAGUUAUUUACAGAUUUCAUCAUGUUGCAGGAGGGCUGGAGGUUCGGGUAGAUCAUGUAAAAUCCGGAUGUUCAUCUCGUAGAGUUUCCAGCAAUAAAGAAAAUAUCAAUUCAGACAAAGCAGAAAUGCCUAAACUGAGUGUGGAGCCACUGCACAUGAAGAGGAAGAAGAGGAGCGGUGGUUGCAAUUUGCGGAAAAGUUUAGCAUGGGAUAGAGCCUUUUCAACUGAAGAAGGUAAUUUUUAACAGUACAGUAUCUCUAGUAUCAAUGCAGAAAAAAUUGUUAGAUACUUCAGGAGAUUGAUAUCAGGAAAAACCUACAUUCUUUCUGUUAGGUGUUUUGGAUCCAUUAGAACUUUCUCUGCUUAGUGGUUCAUUGGUUAAAACAUGCGGAGAGGCCUUGUUCACCAUCAAUGAAGAAGAGCGAAAUCCAACUUCAAAUGACUCUCUACAUGAUGCUAGUUCAGUUUAUUUGAGCUCGAACAAAAAAAGUACGUUCAAAGGAAUUCGAGCUGUAGCUUUAAAAGAAGAAAAUCGGAAGGUCAGAUCUCAGCUUAAGACUAGCAGUGAUUCAGCUCAUAAAAUAUGGCCAUGACUUCUGAUGAUGCUCAUCUUAUUUUAAUUUGUUGUUUACUUGGUCUUUUGCGUGGUUUCAGGCCUCAACUAAAAUACCAGUGUCUCACAAUGGUAGAACUAUCUCCAAAUCUAGUAGCUGUUCACAACCUUUGUCUUCAGCUUCAUAUCCUUGCACAUGUUAGAUAUAUUUGAAAUUCAACUAUUUCCAAGUUGUUAGUUUUUUAUUUUGCUAUAUUUGGAGUUUGUACAGAUGAAGAGCCUUAAUAUUAUUUUAGACUGAAAAGGCCUGCAAACAUGAAUCAUGGAAAAUCUGCGACCAAGGAUUCCAAGUUACCAAAAUGUCAAGUUUCAAAGCCAAAUUCUUGUUCGUUGCCUACAAACUCUAAGAGUAGCAUACCAAGAGCAAGUCAUUUUAAGCAUCAAGUAACUGAUUCUGGUAAUCUCUUCAUUAGCUAUUCAUCUGGCUUCUGCUGAGCGUGAUUGUUUCCAUUUCUAUCAUGGAAUGUAUUCAAAAUGUGCUGUAAUAUUAUAUUUUGCGAAAGUAACUUCCUUAUUUGGGUCACAGAUUAAAAGAGUACGUCAUUUAUAUUCUAAUUUCCUUUCUCGUGCAGCUUUUGGUAUUCAGAAAAAUCUGGGAUUAAUGAGCUCCUCUAGAAAGUUGAGAAAUAGCAAAGAGAAAGCAAAAGCUGAUGCUGCACCUUUAAAGGAUAAAUCUUCAUCAUGCAUUUUGAGAGGAAAUGAUGUAAGCUUCAGUUCAAGUUUAAGAUCAAUAUUUUAGAAAAAAAACUGUGUGGUUAAGAACUUAAAAGUACUUUCAAAUUCCAAAGAUAAAUUUUUAUCAUGUAUUUUAAUUUUAAGGAGAAAUGACAUAAGGGUUAGUUCAAGUUUUGAGCUCAAUAUUUUAGAAAAAUUCGGUGUGAUUAAGAAUUGUUCAAAUUUCAAGAACACAACACUAAAGAAUUUAGCUUACAUUCAGUACAUAUGGUAGUUAACCAACAAUAUCAAAUCCCCUCCUUUUUGCUGAAUUCUAAUUUGUGCAGGAGAAAUCACCAUCAAAAUUACAGACAUCAAUUGAAUCUUCUCCAGUUAAUAAUUCUAGCAAUAUUGGCGUGGAGAUGAAUUCAGAUGCCACACUUCCAUCUACCCGAGCACAUUCAUCUGAAAGUCAUGAUGUAUGUUUACCAUCUGUACUCCCUCUUCCUCACAGUACUCGUACUGCUGUUAGCAGUAUGCCAUACCUGCCCGCACAAGCCAUGAAACCAUCAGGUCUGCGGAGGCCCUCACCUUCCUUGGGAUUUUUUCGUCAGGUAUUACCAGCAACCCAGCACUAUUCUGGCAAAGCAUUAGGUUCUUUUGUUUUAGGUGAAUAGGAUGCUUGAUGCUCAUGCUGUAGCAUUUCAUUUUAAAGACAUGACAACCAAUAUGGUGAUUGCAGACAAAAGCUUCAGAUACACAUCGCUUGUUGAAAGUCGAGUCUAGUAUGUGCCCAUUGCAAAGGUCUGGUGAUCUGAGGCCACCAGAGACACUAGCAAGGCAAGAAGGCAAGGACGACUUAGCAAAUUUAAACUGUAAGGUACUAGGAUCUGAAUCGGAAAGCUCAACAUCAUCCUACAAAGUAAUUAAAACAGGCUUGGAAGGAAACAGUGUAGAAAGAGUGAAUAUUCCAAGUAGUGUUAUUAAGAAGCUUGAUAUAGUCAGUGAUAAUUUCAGAGAUCAUGUUGGUAAUUUUGAUGAGCAAGUAUUGGAUCACAUCAAGCACGAAGAAAAGAAGCCUCAGGAUACAGAAUUGCUGAUGAACGGCAAGCAACAUCCACCACAAAUGGGAAAACUUGAAUAUAUAAACAAAGAUGGUAAUCUCAUGAACUUCAUCCCUGGUUUUAUAGAAAAUAAAGGCUCUGCUGGAUCAGGUUUUAGAGAUUCUCAGUUUCCACAAGCUAGCUACAAUUCAGAAUCUCUAGUUCUACAUAGACUGGAAGAUGGCAAUCCAAAUGAAAGAGAAGAAUCUGCCAUUUCUUCAGUAAUUGAUGGUUUGAUUUGUAACUCGCAGUAUGGGAAUAUGAUUAAUUUAAGCGGGGAGGUGAUGAAGGAAGGUUUCAUGGGCGGCUGCAAUAAUUUAACUGGUGGAGAAUUUGAAAAGGUCAAGUCCUUUGCAGUUGAAGAUGACGGGAUCUUUGAUAAUGAUAAGUACAUUAUGAAGAUUAAGAGUAAUUUGAGCAAAGUCCAGAGAGAACUAAGGAAUAUUGGAUGUGGGAACUGUGAACCCUUGAAUCUCGCAGGUUCAAACUUUAGUGAAGUAAAGAUGGAACUGUCAGAAGUUGCAUAUCAGCAUUCUCAUAAUCUGAAAGAAGCUUUUACCAGCAAGCAGAUCACAGAUAGAGCACAAACAGGAGGUUUAGUAGCAGAUAUCUCAAGUGAAACUUUAUCUGGUGAAAAUUGCGAGACUAAUCCUGGUGGGCUUUCAAUUAACUCAGAACAUAAGUCCCAGGCUGGUAGCGUAUUGCAUUCAAGUGGUCAGUCCCUUAGUAAACAUGUUUGCAUAGAUCAAAACCAAGAUGGACAGAUUGAUGAAACUGGUUUAUCCGCUCUUCCAUAUCGAUCAGAUGAAAGUGGUUUUGAUAGGUUUGAUGUAACAAGUGCACAGACAGUGGUUGGAGAAGAUCCUGCGGAUAUCAUGUGUUCUAGCCCUGUCAAAAUUACUCUUCCAGGAAAUUGCAAUCAUUCAACAGAUAAAGAAUUCAAUCAUGAUAAGAUUCUUGCAAAUUCAACUACCUGUCGGGAAUUUGGUUCAUCGUCUAGUAGAACAAGAGAUAAAAUGGUAUCAGAUGUACCUGGUUCGAUUGGCGAAUGUAGGAAACCAAUUAUAGAGUCUGUAUUGGAAGUGGUGAAUGAAACUGAAAUACACAAUUCAUUGAACUGUCACAAUGAGGGCAAUUUAACUUCCUCUAUGGAAUUUGGUUCAUCUUCUGGGGGAACACAAAAUGUAAUUGGAUCUGGUAUACUUGGUCCAGUGGGUGAAGGUAACCAAUUGAUCAACAGUGUGCUCCUCUCCAAAGGAAUGGAUGAAUUUGAAAUUCAAGAUUCAUCAAACAAGCCUAAUGAUGGUAAUCAGACCAUCACAUUGAAGCUUGGUAUGCUGUCUCCGGAAAGCUUGAAAGUUGAAGAGUCACACAUGUGCAGCCAUGCAGACUUCAUCCCUUCCAGUCCAACAGAACUGGGGUGUCAUACAGUUGUAUUAGAGAGUCUUCAUACUCCUCCAAAACUCAGAGAUGCAAGACAAGCAAAUGAAGUUGGAAAGACAACAAAUGCCCUCACAAAUAUUAUACAGAUAGAAGAUGCACACGUGGAGACAUAUAACAAUGAUGCUCAGUUGUUGCCUAAAAAAGCCCCUAUCACUGUGGUGGAAGAAUGUGAAAGCAGCAAUUCCUUUGAGAAUUUUCGAGAAGCUUUUCCAUCACGAAAAAGUGUUGAUGCAGGUGGAUUAGAAACCCCAAGUUUUCUGAACCAGGAGUCACCUCUGAUUCAUGGGAGUGAUAAUGAUGCUGAUGAUCUGGAUGCUAUCCACUGUGUUGCGGGUAGACUAUCAUAUCCGGCGGCAAUUGAAUCUUUAUCUUUGGAAUCUGAUUUAUCUGAGGGGACAAGUAAAAACCAUACAGCAAGUGUGCCAACUGAUUGCAUAGAACUUGUUGCAGGGGAUCAGACCUCAUCAAGAAUCAGAAUGAAGGUAGAUGAAAUGUUGAAUGAAGAUAUUCUGGUGAAGGAAUCUGAAACUGGUAAACUUAGUGGAAGUGAGAGUUCUCAAAAUGAAAUUUGCCACGGGCUGGAAGAUACCGAGCAAUGCACAAAUGACGACACCAUUUUUCCAGUGUAAGUAUUGCAUAAACUUUUCUCAUUCCAAAGAACUCCUUCAUUUUUUGUGGACAUAGCCUUUCACAAAUUUCAAUUCUUUUGUAGAAUUGCUAAAAUGCCUUUUGUUGAUGGCAGCAAAAAUGCUGAGAGCUGUCUGAAGAAAGGCAAUCUUUUGAUAUUACCACCACGGGAUGCAGUUCCUUUUUCUGAUGAAUGGUUGGCAGCAAUGGAAGCUGCAGGGGAGGUAAUUUUAUUUUUUUGGAAAAUGAGCUGUAUUCUGUGAUUUAUUGAAGCCAAACAUAAUUAACUUUGAAGCAUAUUUUAUUAAUUCCACUCAUCUUCAGUUUCCUCAAGAGCAGUUUGCUUCCACACCUUUAUCCAAAUCCUUCACUUAUAGCAGGUGGUAUUAAAGGAAAAACUGAUGAGACAUUAGCUGUUCAUCAUAUUUCCUUUAGUAAAAUGAUAGAAGCUAUCAUCCAGUUAUAGGUCCAGAACAAUCGGCAAGCUUGACAUCCUUAAAUGUUGUGUUCUGAACCUUAGGUUAGGCAGUGACACAAAUUUGGAUUGAGUGUUAAGCUCGACUGCUCUAAAUCUGUUGUUGGAGCAUGAUUUAGCAGAAAAGUAACCGAGUAACUGACUCUUGUGUUCUGAUUCUACAGGAAAUAUUAACGAUGAAAGGUGGUGCUGUACAAAACUCACCCCAAGAGAAAUCCUUGCCUGAGCCAAGCCCAUGGUCUCCGGUAUGUCACUAUCUAUACAUGCUUCUUUUCUUGUUUGAGGUAGCCUAUGCAGUAUCUAAAUGUAUGUCACAAGCUAGAAUGAGAGUGCAUUCAACUUUAUUCUUACUUAUAGUUAAACAGGUUCUAUGGCAUAUGCUACCAAUUAAGUGAGAAUUGAUUCACUUUUGGUUAUACGACUUACAAGAUAUUCUAUGUUCCGAGAACCUCACGCUUAACUGGAGCUUAGUGUACCAUUUUGUUCCACAUAGAUACAUUUUGGUACUUGCUUAGAGGGGAUUUUACCUCACUUGUCUCUUUAGCUAGAAAUCUUGAUAAAAAAGUGAUGAAUAAUGAAGUGGAAAAUAGCGUGCUGUUGCAUAUAUUUAUAUUGACUGGUUCUGCCGAUUUCAUAUUAGUUUUAUUAAACUGUUAUUUUUCUUUGACUUACAGGUGAAGAAGAAAAACAAUCAACUUGGACCUUAUGACUGUACAAAGUUCCACCACAAUGGGCCUCGCGAGUCCUGAUUCGUAUUGACUAAACUUGGUCUCUUUCAAAUUCUUUUAUUCACCACCUAACAUGUUCCUGGUGUAGACUAGAUUGACACUGCUUUGCUAGAAAAGCUGCUAACUGAUACAUUUCUCCAUAGACACACGAUUUAUCCUUUUUAUAUGUAAUUCUUUUACAUCCACUUUAAAGGAUUCCUUUUUGUUUCUUUCAUGUAAAGAGCAGUAUCUCAUUCAUGGAAACUUGUAUCUUUAUUCCAAACAGUAAGCAAAGCCUGGAAAUCUCUUGCGGAACUUAUGGUAUCCAUGCUUCUUGAAUUGUACUAGUAAGUAGAAUUUGCCAUUCACUGGGUGCAUCGGUUGAUUUUCAUCUAUAUUCUUAUACUUGUGGAAGGAGGUAAACGCAAGGUAACACAUGAAUUUUGCUGAUCCCAAGAAACAACAGAGCCAGAAGACGGUAUCCAUUCCUUCCAUCAUUGAUAUUGUCUGGCAACCAAGUUGUCGUUCUCUGAACUAGAUCACAGUAAAAAUCAAAUCUAUACAUACAUAAUUAUCAAUUUAUCAAUUUAUCAUACAUAUCUGUAAAAAUCUAACUUCACCACAUACUGGAAGAGUACACUAGUCAUUUCACAUUUUUAUAGAAAAACAAACCAAACUUCACUAGCAUUUACUGUCAAGCAACUUUAGCUUAGAGAAAAUAUAUGAGACUGUAUAGCAUUUGCAGUUAAGGAAAUACAUCUCUGACAGUUGACGUGCUUCCAGAAAUUAAAAGAAAAACAAAGCAGCAUAUAGAGCUCAAACAUGUAAAAAGUUCAGUGUCAAUUGCUUUGUUCCAACCUGAAAUAAUAAUAUGUACUGUAAUUCCAAAAUCAGAAAGGGAAAAAAGAAUAUCACACAAAUAUGAAUUAGCAUUUUGUAAAGUACAAUGUGUAUCUUUCUGCAUUUUGAUCAGCAUGAGUAGGCUAUCAAUGUCAGCAUUUCUGUCAGCCUGUUGAUCUACAUCUUCAUUUGUUUCAUUGGCCGCGAUCCAUCUUGAUCAUUAUUCAUUAGGACCUUGUUCAUUAGCGGUUUCAUCUUGAUCAUGAUUCUCUUCUUUGCAUCUCUAUCUUGAUCAGCAUUAGCACCUGCAUCUUGAUCAGCAUUAGCGCCUACAUCUUGAACAUGAUCCUGUCGAUUUGCACCUCCAAAGAGAGAAUCAUGCAACGUUACACGACUCUUGUACAUGAGCAUGUCCCUGCCACACUUGAAUUAACACCUUCCACAAAAUAUAUAUACAGACAAUCUCAAUUUGCAAAUUCAUAAUUAGAAACUUACAAUCUCAUAAAGAAUCUUCCUCUUAUGAAAUACUUGGACGGUAGGGUGGCUUCCCUCUGAAAUAAAAUCAUGAACUCUGUAUUUAAGAGAGAUAACAAAAGAGCAAUGUUAUCAUGAAAACGAAAUGAUCUUUAAUAUUAGUAUCUUACAAGUCUCCACCCGAGCAGCAUAUUACAUUGGGUACAGUAAAUAUUGAGUGAGGUUAGGGUAUUUCCAUCUUCUUGUUGAUGAAAUUUCGGUUGGUCUAGUAUAACAACAUUAAACCUGAAUAUAAUACACACAACUCAGACAAAAGCUUAAUCAAAUCACAAUAUUUCCGAAUUAUCGAAAUCAUGAGACUUACACUCUCUUAAAGUAGCCUCUAUAAUCUAAGUCCUGCACCUGGACAAGAAAAUGAACAUAAUAAGUUGUUCUGUUCAUAAGUCAAGAAAAGGCAACAGUACAAAAUGAUGCAGAGAGAAUCUUUACAUUAGGAAUGUAAUACUGGACACGUGCAAUUCGAGCUUCACAAUUACUGCAAUAGAUGUAAUCACGAUGACCGAAAACUAGUGGAUCAUAUACAGAAUCUUCUUGCAUUGUAUCAAAUUUGUGAAUCAACCUGUUUCUUCAACUAAGAACAAAGUGGAAGAGGAAUUAUCAAUGGAAAAAAGACUUAACUGAUUGGGAAUGUAACAAGAACAGAGCUAAUGGAAAAUGAGAAUUCAACAAAGUAAGAUAAAAAUUGAAAUUAAUGGGAUUGAGAAGAGAGUGUUAGUAUAGAAAAGUGAGUUCUUGAUUCUUGAAUCCAAAUUGACCAAGAGCUUUGUGUUGACAGUUAAUUCAAAAAAGGAGGGAAAUUCAACUCUUCUUUUUCUUGACAGGAUUUUACAAUUUACCCCUAAAAACUUGUCAAAUUGACAUUCAUAUGCACCGGCUUAAAAAUGUGUCAAGAAUAAAAUACCUUAUGUUUUAUUUUCUUUUGCUAAUGAGAAAUACAGUUAUGUUUCAAUAAUUCUACCGUGGGAUGAUUUUGAUCUCAAAAAUCAGAAACAGAUUGGGAGACGGGAGUUGUAUAUUAUUGUAUUUAUGUAUGAACCCAUUACGAAUUUAGUUGAAUUUAAUAAUUUUAAUUCACAUUUGAUAUUUGUCUUGAGAAAUUCAUUGAAUAUGUACAAAUUAUUAAAUUAGAACACAAUAAUGUAUUAAGGACAAAUAUUCUGAAUACAUAAGCUUUAAAUUCAGACUCAAUCCCUAAUCAUAAGUUCAUCGAAAAAAGGUAAAAAAUUAGACUAAUGUGUCGAAAUUGGUAAAAUUUCCCUCAUCCACCUAUUGAUCCGCAAUUGCCCUUAAUAUCAAUUUUUGAGUUAAAAAUGUCUCUCCUUCCAUUUAUUAAAACACGAUUUCUCUUUACGGUUUAAAAUAUCCUUUCUAACAAAAUAAUAAAGUGUGGUUUCAAUUAACUAUGUAUAUCCCUACUUAUUGUUUUUGCCUGUCUACUUGCCAAUUUGCUAUCUCUACUCGUAGCUUUGCACAAAAAACAAACAGACAGUGGGAUGUGAUAAUAUAAACAGUUAAUCUCCAAAAACGUUUGCUCAAAAAUUCACCUCCCAAAUAUACCGGGGAACAAAAAGGAUGAUUUGUCUCUUUUUGGGGGGAACAGAAUGGACUGUUACCCUAAAUGCAUUGGCCUGUACAUUAACUAAUGGGAAAAUAAACAUGUUUGUCUCUUGCUAAAAGUCAACAAAUAAAAAGCCAAAAAAACCAAUGUCAGCAAUUUUAUCUUUUCAUGAAUUGAGAUUCAUUGCUUGUUCAAUGUUUACAUAAUGAAUCCAGGACUAUUUCAUUUGGACUAUUUGUCGAUAGAAUCAUUCACUUCCUUGUCAACAUUUUUAUACUCGUACAAUGAAGCACAUACAACAUAAUACACAAAGUUUAAAGCUCCUAAAACACUAAUCACCCAGAAAACAUUAUCCAACCUACCAUUAUUUAUAUUCUCAGGCAACCAUCCUGUCACUUUUUGAACCAAAUCCAUCACCCCAUUCCCUAGAUAAAAUGCCACUCCCAUAAAAACCGCCACAACCGCGGUAGACGUGCUUUUCAACGACCCUGGAAAUUCUUGGUAAUAAAAUCCGACGUAUCCUGGAGAAUGAAAAGCUAGCCCGAUACCUGAAAUAGCUAGUUGUGGUGCCAGCCAGAAGACUGACAUUGGCACCACAACACUAUUUUGGUGGUGGGAUUUGUCCAAUUUUAUCCUCUUUGACUCUACCAGGGCGGAUAGGACCAUGCUGACGACCGUCAACACGUGUCCUAUCCCAACCCGUUGGAGCGGUGUCAGAGAAGUACGGAUGCGUUUAGUCAACAAGGGGGAUAGGACUCGGUCCAUGAAUGUUAUUGUUAUGCACGUGGAGAUCAUCGUGAAGACUAUAACAGAACCAGCUGGGAUUUUGAAAUUCGAUCCUAAAUGCCGGUCCAUUUUCAGGGCCUGGAGGAUUGCUAAACUGGUUUGUAUGACUAGUGGGGUGCAUAGAAGCAAACCAGUAGUCCAUAUUGGAAAAAGCUUUAUCAGGAUUUUGAGAUCUUCUACUUGUUGCACUGUACAUAGUCUCCAUGGCUCAGCAGCAACUCUCUCCGGUUUCUUAUCUCCUUCUGUGAUCAAAGCUGCUCUGUUCAGGAACCUAUUAAAACACACAACACAUUCAUUUUUCGACGUUUGGACUAUAAAUCACCUAAAACAACAGGAAUUAGGUGUAUCGACGGUCUCUAAUCCUAUUUAAUGAGGUAUUAACAAAAAAAAUCUUAGCUACAGACCAUUUAGCGAUGGGCAUUUAAAAAUUUUGAUAAAGGAAUUCAAGAAAAUGCAAAGAGGGAAUCCUAGUAAUUCAGUUGGUUGGCUAUCUGAACUUUCACCUAGUUCGAUUCCCCGCCUUGUAAUGCCUUCCCCCAUUUCCCCUGCUACUAAAAACUAUAUAUACUUUGAACCAUUAUUUAGUGUAGGGAGAGUGUUGUUAUACCUGAAGAAUUUGCUAGGAUUUGUGAGGUCAUGAGCACUUGUUGCACUGUCCUGUUUUGUCAUGCCAUGAUAAUAAUCUUCACCUCCUAAUGACAACGGUUCUCUAUGCUUCCUGAUAGCAGCAACGGCAACUCGAGCCAAACUCAUGAAAGGGCUUUCUUGUUGUGCCUCAAUAUGGCGAUAGAAACAGCGUCCAGACAAGAAAAUAGCCAAGCCAAGUAUGUUGAAGGCGACACAGAUGGCGAACCCAAGUACCCAACUAACGUUGUCCUCAAUAUACAAAAGGACUGUGCUACCAAUGACAUUAGAUGUGUAGAGCGCAAAAGUAUACCAAUUGAAGAAAAUCGCUUGAUGAUUUGGCUUAUGAAAUUGAUUCGCUCCCAUUGAUCCAAUGGUGAAACGUGUUCCUCCGUUUCCCAAAUAUGCUAGAGCUAAAGCUGCAUAUAAGAUUGUAAGAUGGAAUGUUGAUGCAUUUCUGCACUCAUUUGAACCAUCAAAGCAUUUUGGAGGUCUCAAUGUGUCAAUGACUGCUGUGAAGGUGAGAAGCAACACUCCCUACAAGCCAAUUUGAGAAAACAAAACAGUAUAUUGUACAUUAGAUUAGUUUAAUUUCUAUGCAUGAUCAGACUGUCUAAAGAUAACUACAAGUAACGGGCGUAUAAUAUAUAAGUAGAAAAAUAAAGCAAACAAGUUCUGACAAGCUAUAUUUUGUAUAACGACUACGAUACAACAAAUUUCCUCAGUAAUAAAGCAAGCAACCUGCUACAACCCGCUAAAUUCUACUCAUUAAAAGAUGUUGAGCUGAGCCUGUUAUACAAAGUUCUAUGAAAUUAAUGCAGAACAAGAUAUUUUGCAGAAAUUAAAAUAUCCAUGACUGAAAAAGGGCAGUUCAGUGCAUUAUACUUUUGCUAUGUCCAUUCUUUCAGUAUAGUAACUAGUAAGCCAUAUCUCUAUGUAGUCCGGGGCGGAGCCAGAUUGGGCGCAGGGGUUCAUCCAAAUCUCUGAGGCGGAAAUUGUACUAUUAUAUGAUUAACAUUGUUUUUAUGUAUAUCUAAGAGAUGUUGUACGUUUAUUUUUUAGUAUUUUGAACCGUCUUAACUAGAAAUUCUGCUACGUCACUGCAUGUAGUAACAUGACUUAGCCGAAACUAAUGUUUCUUUGCACCUAUAGAAGAACUACUGUUCACAAAAUUUGACGGGUAUAAAAGUUAAAACUAUGAGAAUAUUUGGUUCAAUUUGUUCCAACUCAACUCACCACAGGUAAAAUUCCAACUAUCAAAUUAAUGAUUCGUUAAUUUAUUAACUCAACUUAUUUUAAUUCGGUUCGAUAUGCUUAUUGAACUCUCAUUUUGAGACCGACUAAAAGUUCCAACUCCAAUCUAGUGCAUAUUCUAUAAAGUAUGUCCUACAGGAGAAAUAUUAUUAUUGUGGUAGUACUAAUUUGUCAUAUAUUUAUUAUUAAAGAUAGGUAUAAGUGCUUGAAUAAUAUUGGUCGUGAAAUCAUUUUUCUGUUGAAUUUUGUGUCAGUUUUUGUUGUAACAAAUUGCUCUACUCCAUAUAUAUACACAUCAACAUGGAUAUUGUGCUACUCAUGUAGGGCCAGCCCUCAUCUAAGCAAAAAAAAAAGAUGGAUAACUCUGUUGGAAAGCAUUAUUAUUAUUAUUAUUAUUAUUAUUAUUAAUUAAUAAUAAGUGAGAAAUACUCUAACUUACAUAGCAAUGGCCUAAAAAGCCGCAAACAAAGGAAGUAUGAGUCAGAGAAAAAUAAAUGAUGACGUGGCGCAUGUUGAGUGAAAAGAGGCUACUCCAGACAGUCUCUUUCUUAUGAAUAUGUGGUGCAAAAGUAAUUUAAAAUUCCACCAGGAACUUAAGUUUAUCUACAAUGUUACUAAUAUUUAAAAUUUUAAAUAGAAUAUUACAUCUCUAUGAGCUUUUUUUCCUGAAUAAAUGUGAAUCAAUAUGAGUAAAUGUUAUUAAAUAUAUGUCAAAUAAAAAAUAUGUCAAUUUUUUUAGAUUUACUAGAAAAAAAUGUAUAUAGAAAAUUCAAAUUAUAUGUAAUGUAUUUCGAUUAACUGUCUGAAUACAUGUUAAAUUGCUUCUAUCAAAAAGUUUUGACUCUUAUUUUGAACGAAAAAAAAUGUGAAUCUUCACAAACAACCAUUACGAAAAUGAGUUAAUAGCCUAAAAUAUAUCUCCUUUUAAUUAUAUAUCAAUAUUAAUUGAAAUAUAUAUGAAGUUUUACGAGUUAUUAAUUUAAUUUAAAAUAUAACAAAUGAUAAACUUGUCUAUGCUAUGGUGUUACAUUUGAGAACAUGGAAGAUUUCUUUUUAAUAACUUGAUAAAAAUACAUUACAUAUAUUCAAAUGUUCAAUCAAAACAAAUUAUAAUUCAAAUAUUUUUAACAAAUUUUACUCACAAAUUUAAAGAAUUGUCCACAUUUGCGGCUUAUAAGUAAACAACAACUAUCUUAGCAAUAUAAUGAUGAGAUAAUAGUGGCUUUCUGUUACUCAUGAACUGACGUCUUUUGGCAUCAAAGCUACCACACGAUUUUAUUUUUAAAAAAAAAUAGAAUUUGAUUUUAAUUUGCAAUAAUAGAUUAGUUUUUUCCUUCGUUUUUAUUUUUAACUAUUUUCUUUUAAAAUCACAAAUUUUAACUAAUUUGUAUCUCUUAAAUUCUGUGUCCAAGACUCUAAUCAAAUCCUACUACCUAAAUUAAGACGGAAUGUGUCAGUCACCAUUACGAAUUAAUUUACUUAUAAUCACCUUAAUAAAUAUACCUAAUCGUAUAACAAAUAUUUACACAGCCGAUGCAUAUAUAACUAAAUAAAAUCCCCAAAACUAAGUAUUCCCUCUGUCCCACCGCUGUCCCAAUAUACGUAACAUUCCUUUUUUAAUAUGUUCAAAUUUUCUUUAAAAAUUAUGUUUUUAUUAUAAAUAAAUAAUUUAUAAUUAUGUACAAAAUGAAAAAAAAUUAAACCACAAAUUUAAAAAAUAUUCCUUUUCUUCUUAAAUCUAAUAUCACGUCACUGUCAACUAAAUUAAAACGGUGAAAAUAGUAAAAUUCAAAAUCAAUAAGCCGACUUCCCACAAAAACGAUCAUAACAUAAGAUAGAAGCUACCUAUUUCUUGGGAAAGGAAAUGACAAAGACUUCAUCGUUUCAACUUCCGUUUUACAAAAAUAUACUUUUUCACAUAUUAGUAAUUUUUUAAUUUAGUAGAUAUUUUGAUACAUUUGAUAUAUUGUUAAUUUAAUAUCAUAAAAUUAAAAUUUUAUAUCAAAUUAAAAUAAGUCAAGCAAAUUGAAACAAACGCACGAAGUAUCUUUGAAUGAAUUUCACAAACAAAAAAAAAGAAGAGGAGAAAGUCGUUACCAGCAAAGAGAUGAAAGAAGAAAUCCAUAUGACGGAGAAACAGCCCAGAAAAGAAUCAGCGACCACAGCCCCCAAAAUAGGAAAAAUAGUGCUGCACCCAUUAGCCAUGUUGUACACUUUAGCAGCACUCACACUAUUCAUGUUGAAUUCUUCUAUCAAAUACACUAUUAAGUUGUUAUUCCAUCCUGCUGCUGCCAAUGAUAAUCCUGCCAUACUCCCUAAUCAAAUUUCAACACCACCGUUAGCGCGCAGAAUCAGAAUUUUCACUAUACAUAUAAUAAUAAUGAUUUAAAUAUAUAAAAAAAUAAACACAAAAAAAGUUAAUCUUAUAUAUACAGUAUAAUUUUCAUUCAGAUAGAUGAGGGAAGAAAGAAGACCUAUGAUGAAGGGAAAUGAAAUCCAACCGCCAUUGUUGUUGGUGUUGGUAGAAGAGUGGAGAUGAUUUGGUGGUGCUUCAUUUACAAACGUCUGGACUGAUUUUUCCAUUGCUGCAUUAAUUAUUAACUCAGCUACCUCUUUAUAUAUCCUCUCUUUUUAGUUUCUCUAGGACAACUUGGAUAUAUACUAGUAGUACUAAUUAUAUAUAUACUUUUUUUUUAUUUGUGUUGUGCUUGUUGCCUUGGGAUAUAUAGUAGCAAAAUUAAUACUUAGUAGUGUAUUCUGUUUCCAAAGUUUGGGGUAAAUUAAAUUUUAUAAGUUGAAGACACUAUCUUAUCACUAUGUCUUUUGGAUGCAUACGACAAAAGAUGCCACUAUGUUUAAUUUCCUCCUCCCUGUCAAAUCAAGUAGUAUUUGUAUUUCAACUGUUAAAUAAAAAGAGGAAAGCGUAUCUUUUAUAUUUGGUAAGUUUUAAAAUUUUAAUAUUUAGUCAAAAAGUUUAAGAUUACAAACAUAAAAAUUAUUUAUUUUUUAAAUUUAAUUUUUUUUGAGAUUCAAAAAAUCUCUCUUUUUAUUUUAAACUUAAUAUCUAAUUAAUUAAAGUAAGAUAUUUAAAUGGUGACAAAAAAUAUUUUUAAAAGUUGAAUAAAAAAAAUACUUUUAUAAAGAUUUUUAUUUAUAAUUUCUUAUGUAAGUUUUACCAACUUUAUAUAAAAAGAAUUGAACUUAUAGAUAAAGUCACACAAUUAUUCAGUACUUCAUUAUAUUAAAGUCAUUAAAUAAUAUAUUGUAAGAAAAAACUAUUCAACUAAAAUCUAGAUGAAAAUUUAUCUUUAAAUAACUACUAUUUAAUUAUUAAUGGUAGAGCAAAUUAAGGGCCAAAAUUAUAGGGAUAAAGACCUACUGGCUAUUAAGGUCUAAGAGUCGAUUUGAAUUGACUUAAAAGUUGAUCAAACAUACUUUCAAGUUAUUUUUAGCUUUUGAGAGAGCUGACAAAGUUUAAAAUAACUUAAAAUAAAUUUUAAAUGACUUAAACAAAUAUUAAAAAGUCAAAAACUACUUUUUAACUUAAAAGUUACUAAAGUUUGACUUUUUAAAAAUUGUUUUUAAAAAUAAAAUAAAAAAACCAAACGCGUUCUAGCAUGAUUUCAAAUAAUUGGAUUGAAUGAAGUUGAAUUUUAUUUGGACAUAAUUUGUUUUUUUCAUGUAGUAUUUCACUAAAAGCCUCAUAAAUUUGAGAAAACUAUAAAAACUUUUCCAACUCUUAUAUAAUUUUAUUGAAUGAGCAAAUUAUAGUUCAUAAAUAAUGUAAUUAGCUCUUGACACUAUAUGAUUUAUGUAAAUUAUACAUCAAAAUAUCAUAAGAUGUGCCGAAUUAAUAAAUCGUAUGUCUUUAUGUUCAUUUAAUAAAUAAAUAUUUGUGAUUACAUUUUAUUGCAAACUUUUAAUUACACAUAAUUUUACAAAAAAAAAUGAAUUUAAUAAAUCAAUAAUAGUAGUAUCUAGCUAUUCCUUAACAAAUUCAUCCACGUGAGUCAUGAGUCUCAUUCAAAAAUAUAAAUUUAUGAGUUAAGUUUUAGAAUUUAAAAAAUUAAAAUGACAAUUUGAAAUUCCAAUUUUUAAAAAGAAUUUGAGAUUAAAGUUGAGGUUGAAUUUUUUAAAUAACUUUUAUAAAUAAAUGCAAAUUUAAAAUCAUAAUUUAAAAUCGCACGAACAGUUAAGAAGAGGAAUUGCAAGAGACAUGUUAUAUGGUAUUUAAAUAAAUUAAAGCUAAAUGACUUUGAUUAGGAAAAAAAUGUUCAGCCACGCUGUGAACAGUAGUGUUGUUGCAAAAAAUACUUUUAUGAUUUUUUUGUGAGAUGUGAGUAAGGUGAGUGAUUUUAUAUUGCAAAUAGUGAUUUAGUAAUUUUGGUACAGUAAAAUAAAAAUUAAAUUACUAACUAUAAAAUGAACUUCUUGUAACAAAUAACAUUGGUAAUGGAAUAACAGCCCUACCUUAUGAUUUUCUAAUUUAAUUUUAUUUUAUCUCGAUCGUUUAUAAUUAUGAGGAACGCUUCCCGAGGCAAAAAUUCGUUGCUCGGCCUUCCCUGAUAAAGAUGUUAAUUUUUAAUUUGUUUUAACAAAAAAGUUGUAUAUGUGCCUUUUUCAAUCAGCUGCUUAUUGUUAAUUAAGUUUACCACUCAAAAAACUUUUCAAUAUUAACAUCUGAGUAGCAAUAAAAUUGAAAGGGUACCUUCUUUACUCCAUAAAUUCAACUAUAUAUAUAUAUAUCCUCUUGUAAAAACAUUUUGUCGAUAUCUUUGAAUGGAGUUAAUAUCUCAAAAGGUCACUCAACUUUCAGAAUUUAUCUAUUAAAGUCAUUGAACUUUCUUCUGUAUCAUUAAAAUCACUAAACUUAGACAUUUGUAUCAUUAAAAUCACUAAACUUAGACAUUUCUAUCAAUAAAAUCACUCAAUCAAAUUUAUCACUAAAAAAAGUAUUGGCAUAGCAAAAUAAAUUAUUAUUUUUAUAUCAUGUAAAUAUGAAUCCCACAAAUAAAUAAAAUUAAAGAAAUCUCAUUAAGAACUUUUCACUUCCUCUCACAAUUUUUUUUAAAAAGAAAAACAACUAAAAUGUAUGUCCGAAAAUGAUUUCAAAACUUAUUUAUCAACAAUUUUGAAAAUUAAUUUAUUCAAGCUCAAACGAAUCUAACGUUAGCAAACAGUGGAAUUACGAAGGAAAAAUAGAUCUUUACCUAUUAUAUAUAGCAAGAAACAUUAAUAAAUUACACGUCGAAGAACUUAAUUAAUAAUAAUACUUACCUGUUCUAUUUUGACAUUUGUUUAUUGUUUUUCUUCCUGUUUUGGAUUUAAUUUGUUGUUUUGCUGAAGUACUUGUACUCAUUUUUUUUUAUUAAGGAGGCAAACUAAAUAUUAUGGUAUUACAGUAAUAUCAAAAUAUGUUUCACUUAAGAAUUUCUUUUCAUUUAUUUAUUAAAUCAAGACAUAAACUAUACAACAAUAUCAUAAAAAAAAAAUUUGUUUCCGUGAUUAAGUUUGUCCGAAUUUUUUUAAUAAGUUUUCUUUAAUUUUAUCUAUUUGUGGGUUCGUGUUUACCUGAUAUAAAAAUAUACAAGUAAUUUAUUUUGCUAUAUCAAUAUUUUAUUUAAUAAUAAAUUUGAUUGAGUGAUUUAUUGAUAGAAAUGUCUAAGUGUAGUGAUUUUAUUGAUACAAAACAAAGUUAAACGACUUUACUAGAUAAAUUCUCAAAGUUGAAUGAUCUUUUGAGAUAUUAACUCCUAAGGCAUAAAAUCAGUAGUAGCACAUUCUUUUUUCCUUCCACCAGUCGCAAAUUAAUUAAAAUUAUAAUGGGACAUGCUAUCCGAUGGAUAUCGCUUGAUAUGACAUUUUGCAUGCUAUCGAUGACAAGAUGCUCCACAAUCAACCAAUCGAUUAGUGACAGAGUUCAAUUUUUUAUAAGAUUUUAAAAUAUAUAUAUAUAAAAGAAGUCAGAGGAGUUUAUAUUAAUUUUAAUAUUAUACAUAUAAUAUAAUUAUUCGUUUGAAAUAGAUUCAAAUGAAACUCCUUAACCUUAUUUGCUCCACCUUUGCAAUCAACAAACUAAGUUUAGAGUCUGAGCCUAUGUAAUAAUAUAAAAUUUACAUAAAAAUUAUUGAAAUAACGUAAAUUCACGAAUCUAAGCGCUCUAGAUCUGCCCCGAAAAGGUUUUGUCGUUCUCAUAAAUGGGAUAAACUCACCACUCACUAAUUUCCUAUAUAUUGCGGUGUGUGUGUGUAAUCCGACAUGUUAUCUGAUCUGACACUUGCACUCUUCUUUUCGGCACAAAGCAAUAAUCCAUGUAUUUAUUUUGUUUUCUUAAUUAUUUAUAUAAAAAAAAUAUAAUCUUGCCGUGAGAUAUUCCAAAAAUAAAUACAUUUAAGCAUUUAACUAAAAGAAUUAUGUCAUUUAUUAAUAUAUUUUUAUAUAAUGAACGUAGCUUUUAUUUGUUAAUCAAUGCGAUUAUUCAUCUUUAUUGCAAAAAAAAAAAAAAAACUACUAUCUUGUUGUUGCUUGUUUGUCAACAACAUAUUCAACGUAAUCUGAAGAUGAUAUAUAGUAUGUAUGCAGAUCUAAUUUCUAUCUUUGUCGAGAUAGAGAGGUUAUGACAUGGGCUAAAUGAGUGAUUCAUGAGAGUGGCGUGGUUGUUUAAGGAGAUGGGGAAUUAUUAGAGGAGCUAAAUGAGCAUUAGCUAGUUUGGUUGUUGUGGACUUAUCAGGAAAAUGACAAAACGAACAAUGUUUGUUGCUACAGUACAUAAUGAGGCACAACAUACACUGACAAUUGACAUUAUCUAUCUUCUAUAUAUAGGAAAAUACAGCUCUAUGGGCUUACACACCACUACUGUAUGCUUUGCUCGCACGUCUCCAUAAAUCAUGUUUUGUAUCUGAAAUCAUUCAAAGGGCCCUAGCUUUCAUAACUUAUGGAUUCAUAAAGUAUUUUGAACAAAUUUCACAUGGCUAUUUUUUUAAAGAUACAAGGGCAAAUGUCUUUUAACUUAUUUGAAGAAUUAUUUUCUCUAAAAUAUCAAAUUUUGGAGCCUCUUAGACCUUAGUUUGUGGUUUAAAAUAUUAAAUUUACGAGUAAGCAUUUUGGAACUUCCUUAAAUUCCGCUUCAACCGAGCAUAUAUGUUGAAAGGAUAUUAUAAAAAUUAGUAACUUCUAUGUUGAAGUCUUCCCUUUAGAAAGCUGGGCGCCUUGAAUUUGGGAGUUUUAGAACGUCCAAAAAGGUUUAUAUUUUGUAUCAUCGCCUUAAUUAAGGUGCACGACUCAUAUAUAGUUCUGGUAUUUGGGCCCAAUUUAGGUCAAGAUUCAUGAGACAGAAAAAGAAAAAGUACGUAAUUAGACAUAUUUCACUAUCAUAUAUACUAUUAUUACCUAUACUUUUAAAAUAUUACGUAUCUUACCAUUAAUUUAGAGUUCCCUACGUAUCUUACACUUAGAUACAUGUAAUUUUGCUACCAGAUACACAAAAUAGGUAGAGAGGCGAGCGAGAUUGGGGAAGGAGGCGAGCGAGAUUCGUAAGUAUCCCAAAUACAUGUGAAUCACACUAGAUAUAUGUAUUUGUAUAUAGCUGGAGAGAUUCACAUGUACCCAGGAUACCAGAUACAUAGGAGAGCGACGAGCGAGAUUUGCUAUGUAUCCCAGAUACCUUCGAAUCCACUUGAAUACAAUGUAUCUAGAACAAAAUACACCUAAACUUGACCUCAUGUAACCGAUAUACAUGUAUCUGGAUGUAUAUGGAGGCACCAAAAUUUGGUAAGAUACGUAAUAUUGCAAACAAGAGUGUAUCUAAGUAAUUAAUUCAUUAACUAGUGCAAUUUAAUUUAUGUAAGUCCUAGAAAAUUCACAAUAACAUGGUUCUGGUCAAAUUAUUACGGAUUCACACCCAAACUUAUAUUGCUCCUCUCAUUUAUUACAAAAAAAAAACAAAAACACAUAGGUUUAUGGUAAUGUUUUAAAUUCUUAGAUCCUAAAUUAUUACGGUAUAGACUUCUUUUCAAUUGAUUCCAUUUAUUUGACAAGUGUUUGAUAUGUUGGACUAUAACGCAUUGUUUAGACUACUAUUAGCCAACAAUCCAUUUAAGCGCAAGUAACUCUACUUGAACAGAGUUAAGCAAUGACUCAUUGUUAAUUGAAUGAUUUUUGCUAAGCUCCAACUCAACUCGACUUAUCCCUCCCUAUAAACCAACGUAAUCAAGCAUACUGAAGUAAUUAAGCAUAAAAUAACUGAGAAAAUUAUCAAAAUGGUCCUUGAUGUAUUGGGGUUGCUUUAUAUUAAUCCUUAAUAUACUUUAGGUGAUUGAAAUAGCUUUUCAUGUAUGACAAAAUGUGUUCAAUUUAGUCUUUUACCCUAAACUUAACAAUUUACCCCCAAAAACUAUUAAAUAUAACGGUGGGGUCCACAUAACUUGCAAAAUCCACCAUUUUUAUCUUCUUUAUUAGCUCAAAGAAAGAGUUUCAUGAAUUCUAAAACACAAUUUUCUCUAACAUCUAACCACACAAUUACAAAAUAAUUAUGUAAAAAGAUUGAAUGAAAUGGAUCGUCAAGAAUUUGAUGGUCAAUAAGAGUGGAGAUGGAUCUAAAGACAACAACACUAAACCGACCCAAGUAAGAAUCAACAACAAUUGCCCCAACAAUGGCCAAUCCAUUUGAAAGUGCAGCGCAUAAUCCAAGAAUACUCUUACCAGUAGCAGCACUCAAGUUAUAAUAUGAGUGGUUAGAUAAUUAUUCUUGAGAAGCACUAGUAAUAUCCAAGAAUACUAGUACCAGUAGCAGCACUCAUGUUAUCAAUAGCAGCAUACGUUCUACCGACAAAUUAAAUUCUUGAUGAUCCAUUUCAUUCAACCUUUUUACAAUAAUUAUUUUAUAAUUGUGUAGUUAGAUGUUAGAGAAAUGGUGUUUUAGAAUUCAUGAAACUCUUUCUUUGAGCUAAUAAAGAUGGUAAAAAUGGUGAAUUUUGUAAGUUAUGUGCGCCCCACCGUUAUAUUUAACAGUUUUUAGGGUAUAUUGUUAAGUUUAGGGUAAAAGACUAAAUUGAACACAUUUUGUCAUACAUGAAGGACUAUUUCAAUCACCUAGAAUAUAUUAAGGACCAAAAUAAAGCAACCCCAAUACAUUAAGGACCAUUUUGAUCGUUUUCUAAUGAUCAAAGUUUAAAAACAGGUCUUUCACACGAUUCAAUCGUCCUAAAAUUGGAUAAAAACAAAUCUUAAGUCUAAUUUAAUCCAAAAAUUAUCUGUCCAAAGUUUUAUUGCUCUUCAAUAGUCAAUACUGUCCAUCAAUAAAAUAGCUUUAUUAUGUAAGUCAAUAAAAGAUCCUGAGUGGGGGAAAACCACACCCUGAUACCUGAGUGGGCGUGCAAUCUAGAAUUAUUUUAAAAAAAAAUCACAGACAAAACUAAAUGUCAAGAUCUAAUAGCAAAUAUUCAUGACAUACACUAAAAAAAAAAAAAACUUGUUGAUGGAUAUUUUAGGAACUUUGUAAAACCAAGCACAUAUUACAAAAAAAAAUCACAGACAAAACUAAAUGUCAAGAUCUAAUAGUAACUUUCUUCAUAUUUUUGGAACUUGUUAAUGGAUAUUUUUAGCCUUUUACUAAAAAAAGAAUUACUAAUUUUGUAAUCGCAACAUACAGUAAAAAGAUACAUAUUUUCAUAGACAAUAAUCAUGACCACCAAUUUUCUUUUCUUUUUGAGCGGUGAAUCACUCAUGAGAAGGAGAAUCACUAUGAUCCACUACUGCCUUGAUGUUUUUAUACUUGUAAAACCAAGCACAUAUUACAUAGUAACCAAAAUUCAAUACUCCCCCUACAACCAAUAGCCCAUACACUUUGUCCAAUCUUCCAUUAUUUAUGUUACCUGGUAACCAUGUAGUUGUCCUUCUAACAACAUCAAUUAGAGUAGUGGUCAAGUAAAAUGAUAUACCAAUAAGCACGGAUAUCAUCGCGGUCGCCAAGUUCUUUAAGGUUAUUGGGAACUCUUGGUAGUACAAUGAUACUUGUCCAGGAAGAUGAAAUGCCUCUGCGAUACCAACAAGUGCUAAUUGUGGCACAAGCCAUAAAGCUGACAUUGGCACAAUAAUGGAACCUUGAUUGGAUUUUGCUACAUUUAGCCUCUUUGACUCGACUAUGGCUGAGACACCCAUACACAAAAAAUUGAGCACGUGCCCAACCCCAAUUCUCUGGAGAGGUGUAAGUGAUUUGCCAGACAAAUUUUUCCACGUAGGAAAUAGAAAUUUGUCGAACAGGGCGAGGAAUAUAGCAGUAGAGAGCAUGACAAAAACGAGCAUGGAGCCAGCUGGGAUUUGGAAAUUGGGUCCUAAAUGACGGUCCAUUGUUAAGGCUUGAAGGAUUGACAAACUUCCUUGUACGCCAAUUGUUGUGCCAAGAAAAAAACUACUUGACCAUAGUGGUAAAAUUUUAAUUAAGGUUUUGAAAUCUUCAAUUUCUUGGACUGAACAAAGUCUCCAUGACUUAGCUGUUGACCCAUCUGGUUUAACAUCACCUUCACUUUUAAUGGCUGCACGGUUCAAAAACCUGCAUCAUAAUAAAACAAACAAAUUACAACUUGAUAAUUAAGAGUUUGAUGAAUUGGGCUAUGGUCUCUUGAUUCAGUUUAUCUCAGCUCAAGUGACUUUGAGUUGAACAAUGACAUAUUUAUUAUUAAUUCAGCCAAUUUUGAUCCGUUCAAACUCAACUCAAAUUGGUAGGUUGAGAGUACAUGUCAGGUCAGGGCCUUUUGGGAAUCGGAUGGGGCGAGGAAAAAAUAAAAUAAUUCACACUUUUACUAAAUGAUAUGAUUACACAAUUAAAUCAUCAAAUCUCACAAACAUCGUGUUACGUUAUUGAAUUGAUCAUAAAAUGUAAAGUUUGCAUAUAUUAUUGAUGGAUCAUAUAGCUAGUUAAAGCACGUUGGAUAUAUUACCUGUAGGUUUUUGAAGGCUCAACAAGCAUUAGUCCGUGGUAGAAAUCUUCACUAGUCGAUGGGAGUGACAACUUUCUUUUCCUAAUACUUGCAACCACAACGCGAGCCAAACUGGUGAAAGGACUCCCUUCUGGCUUAGAAUUGUUGUAAAAUCUGGUCCCCAAUAGAAAAAUGGCUGUACCAAGUACAUUAGCUGCUACACAAAUGAUAUAUCCAGCUUUCCAGCUCACGUUAUCUUCAACAUACACAAUAGCUGUGGAUGCUACAAUAGUAGAACCAGAAAAGAAGAAAAAAAACCAAUUGAAGAAAAUCCCUUGAUCUUUUGGUUUAUCAAAUUGGUUGGCUCCCAUUGUUGAAAGGGUUGAUCGGAGACUAGCAUUACCCAGAGUCGCCAAAACUAUGGCUGCAUAGAGUACUACAUAUUGAACUUUUGGUUUAGGGGUACAUGAGGUUGAACCAACUUCACACGGUGUAGGCCUCAAUGAAUCAACUGUCGUUGUUAGAGUUAAAAGGAUUGUGCCCUACACGUACAAAUUAAACAACAAAACAAAUCUUAGGAAUUAAUGUAUAUCAAAUUAUACUUGGAUAACAAAACAAAAUUAGCUAGUUUUUACCAAUAAUGAGAUGAUGGAUGAAAUCCAAAUGAUAGAGAAGCAACCAAGAAAAGAGUCGGCAACAAUUGCAGCAAGGACAGGAGUUAAGCCUCCAGCACCAUUAACCAAAUUUGUUAUUUGAGCAGCAUCAAUACUCUCCACACCAAAUUCCUUAAUCAGAUACACAAUAAGAUUGCUCGUCAAACCUCCAAAUGCUAGGGUCAACCCUACUAAGCUCGCUGUUUUUGUCAAAAUCAAAUUAUGGAUCGGAUUUAGCUUCAAGUAUUUUGUUAUAACAUGCAUGUUAAAUUACUGUAACAACAAUGUGCAAGUACAUGGAUAACAUCAUAGCAUUAGAGCUUUUGAUUACUCCAUUUUUAUUCAACAUUGUAAUAAAUUUGAACAAUAAAAUAAACGACAAGUGCCUGAUCAAAUCGUGUAGGAACAUGGUUCAGGUCUACCGAAAAAGAGAGAGAGAGGAGAGACCUAUGAUGAAGGGGAAGGUGAUCCAUCCUCCGGUUCUUCUUGAUAUCUGUGCCUUCGAUGGAUCUUCCAUAGUUGAAAAAAAACAAGGGAUAAAUAAUAACUUGAAACUCCUAGGAGUGCACUUAUAUAUAUUAUCACCUCAAAAUGUAUGGAUUGGAAAGAUAUAUUUUGAUCAAAAGAAAACUCAACAAAUAAAGUAUGAACCCAUGCGUUUAGUAGUUGUUUUUAAAAGGAUUUUAGUUUCCUUCAGGAUAUUAAACAAAUAAUAUACUAUUCUCUUUGUUCUAAUUCAUGUGUUAUGAUUCAGAUUUCCAAAAACAAAUCUCUUAAUUUUAACCAUAAAAUCUUUAAAAAUAAAAAAUAUGACAAUACAAUAAUUUAUAAUUCAAACAAUAUUUAAAACGACAUACAAAAAAAUGGCAAAUAAAUAAUGUUAUUUGACUCUCAAUCGAAUGUCGCCAAAUCAAUAUGGAUGGGGAGUGCUAUUGUAUGUUAUCAUCUGCGGAUCUACAAUAUUUGCCACCAACGCUAAGGACAACACACUUUCUUGUUUAGGAAAUUAAAUCAAAUAGUUGUAUUAUUCUCCCUGCAACAAUUUUGACAAUAAGGGUGUGUUUGGUACGAAGGAAAAUGUUUUCCUGGAAAACAAGUAGAUUUUUGACUUAUUUUUUCAUGUUUGGUUGAUGAGUAGAAAAUAUUCUCCGGAAAAGAUUUUUAAUGUUUGGUUUUUGAAUGAAAUAUGUUUUUGAGAAAUAUCGUUUAUUUUAACUAGAGUAAAAAAUAUUUUUUGAAAUUGAAAAUACUUUUUGAAAAUAAACUUAAAUUUUUUUUUGGGUGGGGGGUGAGGGUGGGGGGUNNNNNNNNNNNNNNNNNNNNNNNNNNNNNNNNNNNNNNNNNNNNNNNNNNNNNNNNNNNNNNNNNNNNNNNNNNNNNNNNNNNNNNNNNNNNNNNNNNNNNNNNNNNNNNNNNNNNNNNNNNNNNNNNNNNNNNNNNNNNNNNNNNNNNNNNNNNNNNNNNNNNNNNNNNNNNNNNNNNNNNNNNNNNNNNNNNNNNNNNNNNNNNNNNNNNNNNNNNNNNNNNNNNNNNNNNNNNNNNNNNNNNNNNNNNNNNNNNNNNNNNNNNNNNNNNNNNNNNNNNNNNNNNNNNNNNNNNNNNNNNNNNNNNNNNNNNNNNNNNNNNNNNNNNNNNNNNNNNNNNNNNNNNNNNNNNNNNNNNNNNNNNNNNNNNNNNNNNNNNNNNNNNNNNNNNNNNNNNNNNNNNNNNNNNNNNNNNNNNNNNNNNNNNNNNNNNNNNNNNNNNNNNNNNNNNNNNNNNNNNNNNNNNNNNNNNNNNNNNNNNNNNNNNNNNNNNNNNNNNNNNNNNNNNNNNNNNNNNNNNNNNNNNNNNNNNNNNNNNNNNNNNNNNNNNNNNNNNNNNNNNNNNNNNNNNNNNNNNNNNNNNNNNNNNNNNNNNNNNNNNNNNNNNNNNNNNNNNNNNNNNNNNNNNNNNNNNNNNNNNNNNNNNNNNNNNNNNNNNNNNNNNNNNNNNNNNNNNNNNNNNNNNNNNNNNNNNNNNNNNNNNNNNNNNNNNNNNNNNNNNNNNNNNNNNNNNNNNNNNNNNNNNNNNNNNNNNNNNNNNNNNNNNNNNNNNNNNNNNNNNNNNNNNNNNNNNNNNNNNNNNNNNNNNNNNNNNNNNNNNNNNNNNNNNNNNNNNNNNNNNNNNNNNNNNNNNNNNNNNNNNNNNNNNNNNNNNNNNNNNNNNNNNNNNNNNNNNNNNNNNNNNNNNNNNNNNNNNNNNNNNNNNNNNNNNNNNNNNNNNNNNNNNNNNNNNNNNNNNNNNNNNNNNNNNNNNNNNNNNNNNNNNNNNNNNNNNNNNNNNNNNNNNNNNNNNNNNNNNNNNNNNNNNNNNNNNNNNNNNNNNNNNNNNNNNGGGGGGGUCAGAAGAGAGUUUUGGAAAAUGUUUUCCUACAUUUUCCAAAACAUUUAACCCAACCAAACAUGAAGAUAUUGAAAAAACAUUUUCCAAAAAAUGUUUUCCUUCCUACCAAACACACCCUAAAUAUAUGCACUUUCUCUCAAUUUUGACCAUAAAUAUCUUUACUUUCUCAUUCAAAUUUUGACCAAAAAUUUAACCAUAAAAUAUCUAAAAGUAAAAUUUAUAGAUUUGAAAUAAAAAAUAUUACUCCCUGUAUGUGUCUCAUUUUAUGUGAUCUUAUUUAAUCUGUUUAAAAAAGAAUGUCAACUUACUAUUAUUAGAAAUAAUUUAACUUUAAAAUACCCCUUUUACCCUUAAUGAAGUGAUUAUCAAACACAUAAAUAUCUAAAAAUUAUUUUAGGCCACAAAUUUCAAAAGUCUUCAUUUUUUCUUUAACAUCGUACCAAGCCAAAUGAUGCUACAUAAAAUGAGACGGAGGGAGUAUAACAUAAUAAUUAAUAAUUCAAAAUAUUAUAAAUGUAUAUAUGAAAAAUUGUUAUAUAUAUAAAAUCUUCUGGUUUACAUGACAACUUCUUCCUUUUAAUAUUGGAUGUCACUAGAGCUGUCAAAAAGGGUCGGCCCAACCGCACCCGGUCCAAGCCUCGCUGGCCAAUGAAUUUGAAGGGUUAGGACGGGCCGGCCCUCAUUUGGUAGGGCCUAAAAAUUCUCAACCCAGCCCAACCCUAGAAGGGCCAAGGGCUGGGGUGGGCUAACCUUUUUUUUUCUUACCAAACUUAUAAUUUUAUAACAUCAAGAAAAUGAGAAGAUUUUCAAAUCAAAUAUGACAAAUAAUAACAUUAGCAAAAAAUCUAGUGUAAUUAGCAUGUAUCUCGCAUACCAGAUACGCGAGCGAGAUAAGAGAGUGACAAGCAAGAUGGGAGAGAGGUGAGGGGCGCGAAAUUUGUCUAUGUAUCCUAGAUACAUGCGAAUCUACUUGGAUAGAGUGUAUCUAGAACAAAUUAACCUAAUUUUGAAUCUAUAUAUUUUGAGAUACAUGUAUCUGGACGUACCAAAAUUUGGUAAGAUUCAUAAUAUUACAACAUAGCGUGUAUUUAAGUAACUAGAUUAUAUACUAGUGAGAUUAUUGUAAGUUACCAUUAAAUAAAAACUUUUGACCCAUGGGCCGACCCCGGCCCGACUCCGAUCAAGCCUCAAGGGCUAACGACUUAUAUGAGCCGGGCUUAUAAGCCCUAGUUUUAAAUGGGCUUAAAAAAUUCUAUCCCAACCCUACCUCAAUAAUGGAUUGGAUUGGACCGUUCCCAUGAGCUAAGCACGUUUUAACGACUCUAGAUGUCACAAUUGGCAUUCCGAUAAAAUAACUCAACUUGCAUAUACUAAAUAAUCAUAAUUAUUUAGACUCCCACUUUAAAAUUAGAUAUUCCAAUAUCCCCUAAGUCAAUAUUAUAAGAAGGAAAAUCAAUAUCUUUUGCUGUCAUACCGCGUACGUUGUCCAAACUGUUGAACACAUGAGUUAUAAAUACAUUUCAUAAAUUAAAAAUUACUUAUGUCUUUUCCUAUUUGACCAACUUCAAAAUAUGCAUCAAUAGUGGGAUUAUCUUUUCAUUAUUUAUCUGACCGAAUCAAUCAUUUCAGAUGUAAUUAUUGGUAUCAUCGUUCUAAUAAAAUAAAUUCUUAAUGUCUAAAGUAAUCAAAGGCAAUUAAUUAAGACUGAUUCUCCUAAUAAUUUAGAGUUUUGGAUUAACUUUAAUUUUCUUGAAAAGUAUUUUACGUAGUCGUAGCAAACAUGUAUGUACAUGUGAUAGAGGAAGAGCACUCAUAACUUAAAUUAUACCCUUAAUUAUUUAUGUAUAUCUACUACUAAUAUAUACGCCGUGAUAACCACACAGCUCACAGUCAACAUGCCUGUAUCAGCUGUGUGGUUUCCAUACUUAUCUACUACUAACUAGACAUUGGAGCCCGUGAUAGCACGGGCCCAAUGUAUGUUACUUUUUCAGUCUCAAUUUAACAUAGUUAAAAUUUGGAAAAUCAUUUAAAAAAGGCAAAAUGGUCUAGUGGACCCUUGUACUUGUAUGUGUUUGUAUUGUGAACCCUUAUACUUGUUCCUUUGUCAUAUGAACCCCUGAACUCAUCAAAACGCAAUAUUUUAAACACGUUUUUUACCACUCAACUGUAUGUGUAUCACAAACGCCUGCCACGUAAUUUUAAAAAUAAUUAUAAAAUGACACGUAUGAUUAUAAAAUGACACAUGUAUAUAUGGUCACUCCAUGUCAUUUUUCCUUUUAUUAUAUUUGAUUAAUAUACCUACACUUUCUCUUUCCAAUUUUUAUUUCUCUUUGCCAUUGCCAUCUGCAUCUCCAUCCCCAUCUCAUUUCAACUUUUUCUUAUCUUCCUUACCCUUUUCCUUUUUCCAACCUCUUCUACUCUUUCCAUUGAAGUAAAAAAUGUUGGCACGAUUUCUGGUUGUUCACAAUCUCGUUGGAGUUCGGAGUUGAUUUUGGGUUAUGUUGGAUUGGGGUUUUGGUGGUGACCGGUGGCGCUAAGGAAAAGUGGGGGUCUAUUGGGUGGUCUGAUUGUUUCUAGUUGUUCACAANNNNNNNNNNNNNNNNNNNNNNNNNNNNNNNNNNNNNNNNNNNNNNNNNNNNNNNNNNNNNNNNNNNNNNNNNNNNNNNNNNNNNNNNNNNNNNNNNNNNNNNNNNNNNNNNNNNNNNNNNNNNNNNNNNNNNNNNNNNNNNNNNNNNNNNNNNNNNNNNNNNNNNNNNNNNNNNNNNNNNNNNNNNNNNNNNNNNNNNNNNNNNNNNNNNNNNNNNNNNNNNNNNNNNNAAUAACAAGAAACGAUAGAGAAGAAAUUUUUGCGAAGAAGAUCGGAAAAGAGGCCAAGAAAAUCUCAAAUUUUGUCCAACAAUGGUGUUAGAUGCAAAUAGGAAGAUGAUGGCUUUACAAAGCCCUAAUGUGACUGUCAGACCCUUUUCCAAGGGUCUCACGCUCCUAAUAGGUGUGUGUCACACACUCUUUAGUAGUAACUGCCACAUAGGAUGCCAAGUCAAAAAAUAUGUUUAAAAUAUUGCGUUUUGAUGAAUUCAAGGGUUUAGAUGACAAAUGAGUAAGUAGAAGGGUUCACAAUACAAACACAUACAAGUACAAGGGUCCACCAGACCAUUUCGCCUUUAAAAAGUUAUGCUUUUUAAAUAAUUAAAGUUAUUAAUUAUUAUGAUUUCUAGUAAAUUUCUUUACGUAAUUUCAACAUAAUUUAUAUUAUUCUCCAUGUCCCAAUUACGUGGCGCAGAUAGAAUUUUAACUAUCACCAAUUUUUUAAAAUAUUUUUUCAAAUAUUCCAAGUUAUUAAUUAUUGUGAUUUAUAAUAUUUUUACGUCAUUUUUAAAUAAUGUUUGUUCCUUCUUUUAUUUCAAUUUAUGUGGCACCGACAAAAUUUUGAGAGUCAAUCGAUCAUCAAUAUAUGUUACUCUUUUUUUUUAUCUCAAUCAUGAACUCAAUAUAUUUUUUUUAAUCUCAAUUUAUGUAAUACAAAUAGAAUUUGAAGAAUCAAUCAAUUCUUUUUAUAUGUUUUUUAAAAAAAUAUUUGAAGUUAUUAAUUUGUUGUGAAUUAUAGUAUCUUUUCUGUAAUUUAUUAAUAAUAUAUGUUAAUCCUAUUCCAGUUCACGUGAAUAAUUAUAAAUAUUUUUGGUUGUUAAUUUAUUGUGAAUUUUAGAACUUUUGAUGUCAUUUUUAAAUAAUUAUAUUUUCAGUUAUUAAUUAUUGUGAUUUAUAGUAUCUUUUACGUAAUUUUUUUAUAAUAUAUAUUAUUCCAUCGGUUCAAAUUCAUGUGACAAUAACAAAAUUUAAAGAUUCAAUAAUUUUUUUAAAAAAGAAUUAAUCUUUUAAAAUGUUGUACCUCUAAUAUAUUUUAUAGCUAAAAUAUAUUUACGGAGUUAUUAAAUUUUGAAAAAGUUAAUUGCCAAAAAAAAUGGUGAACCGAUGAGAAUAAAGACAGAGAUUAGAAUUGUUGAAGUGGGGUCCAUAUGUUAAAAGGAAGUUGGAUAGUGAAAGGAAAACUGAAAAAAUGAGGAAUAGACAGAAACAAGGGCCCACAUUUUUCGGCUUAUGUAAAGAAAAGAGGGAAAUAUGGGUGGGCUUUUAUGUCCAAUAAAUGAAAAAGUGCAAUUGUAAAACAGUUGAGUACCAUAUAUUUCUACAUAACACUAAAAGUAAAUUCCUAUAUUAACCCUGGCUAGGGAAGCAGGCAUGUUGACGAACAGCUGCUUCCCCAACCUCUUCUAAAUAGUAUAUUUCUUUUCUAUUAUAUAGAAAGGUGAAGAGGAGGACGACUAAGGUUAUUUUGGUAAUUUCACGCUCUAUAUCGGUGCUUCUAGAAUCAUCGGUCAUCAGUUUUUUUUUAGUCCAAGCGUAGGAUUUCAACCCACUUUAUGCACAAACACAGGAACAUAAUUGUAGAAGUUCUCUCUUUCUUUAUUCUCCUUUGUGCUCAAACCGGGUAUAUUCACUUCUAAUUGUUGGUGCCUACCAGCUAUUGCUGAAGCAUUCAAGAUGAUGAAACCCAAUCGUUGAAGAUGGAUGGCAUACUUAUGAGGUGUUUAACAGAAAAUCCAAAAAGAAAGGCAGCCGGCAGAUUUCAUCAUGAUCAAUCUUCUUGCUCCGUAAGCUUUAAAUCUUCUUUCAUUAUAUUUUAUUUAUUAAUUUCGUUUUAUUAUCAUUUUCAUCCCUUUGAUGAACUGAAUUUCAUUCUCUGAAAAAAAGUGUAUUUAUUUCUUCUGUUUCAAUACUUUGUUUUUCUUUUGGUAUAUGUAUGUGUUUGUUAAUAUAAGUUAUUACUUGCUUUCGGUUUUUCUUUUGAAAAAACUUAAGAAGCUAUUUUCUUUUGUUCCAAAAACUGAACAACAUAUUACUUUUGAAUGGUUCAGUGAAGUUAAAAAACACCAUAGGUAAUUUCUAUCUAUCUGCUUAAGAUUGGUGGGUAGAGUUAACAAAUACUUGUGUGGAUAUGCAUUGUCGAGGUUAGUGUUAGAUGCUUAGAUACUGGCUUGAACUCCACUUUUGGUGGAGUAAUGUGUCUCAUCCUAUCUAGGAUGGUGUCACGUAGACAAGAUGCUUAUGCCAAGGUAGCAAUGGUGGUCGAAAAAACAAUUGGCUCCUGUCAUAUGUUUAAAUUAGUAUGAUGCCCAUGAUCUGAUGAAAUUUAUAUUGGGAGCAAAACAAUCUUUGUUUCACUUUCUUUUCAGAAAAUAAUCACCAGUAGACGAUAUGUACCUUGUUUCCUCCUCGUGCUGCAUCUUUUUCAGGGGAGAAGCAAGUUGUGAAAAAUUCUUAUAAGCAUUUUAAAAGACUAAGCUAUUUUCAUUUUGCUAUUAUGUACUCCAGCUAUGCUUUGGCUAUCUGGUAUGGUGCAAGGUUCAUCUUGGGAAAAGGAUAUACUGGUGGUCAAGUUUUCAAUGUUUUCGACGUCAAGCUUCUCCAUUCAGUAGCAAGCGAUUUACUUUUUAAGGUACACCAAUUUAACUAUGCAUAAGUUUGAGAGUGAUUACACAUUUACACUAGAUGCACUUAAUAUUCUUAUAAUAAACUAAUAAUAGUAUAAGUGUACUAAUUUGACGGGAAUUCUCAAAGCUUGUAGCUGUAAUGUGUUGGUCACAGGAAAUGGCAGGGAGGGUCCCAAAUAGGCAGCAGGAAGGAGUGCUAAAGCAGAGAUAUAUCGGAUGACAUGACUUGUUGGUUCAUUACACUGUUGGAUAAUUUCUUACCGCUCCAUUGCCUAAUAUUUUUUUCAAAUAUCUACGCAAAGUCAAAAUUUCACAUAAAUAUAACUUGUCAAAAAUAUUUGGGAAUUGUGGCCAAAUGCUAUUUAAUAUUAAUGAUGCGUGUAUCAACAUUCAUUUAAUUAAUUAAACUAUUACUUCUUCAUUCAUAUUUACUUUAUCUAUGGUUGACUUGACAUGCCUCUUAAAAAAUAAAUAAAAUGAUAUAUUUAUUAUAUCAUGUCUAAUUAUAAUAAAAAAAUUAAAUAUUAGAAAAUAAAUAGAAUUUAAUAAGAAAAAUUAAAUAAAUAUAAAAUAAUAAAUAUCUUUUCAUUUUUAAAUUAUCUGAAUAAAAUAAAUAUAUAUUUUUAAUAUAAUAAACCAAAAAAAAAAAAAAACAUUAUAUAAAGAUAAUGAGAAUUUAAGAUCUACUUUGGCAACAUGAUUUUUAGUGGAAAAUGGAAGCCACACAAACCAAAAUACUUUUUUGUUCUUUUGUAGUGCAAUACAUUAAAAAAAAAAAAACAAAAAACUUUGCCGGGUCAAGGAGAAGCAGUGCAUGAUCAACAAAAAUGCUUCCAUUUAUAUUAAACUAAUUAAAUUGCCAGCGCAUCGUGGGGUGUGAAAUUAGUGUAUUUGUAAACAUUUUUGUUUAAAAAUAAUAAUCGAGAUUAUAAUCAUAACUUUCAUAAGGCAUACAUGUAAAAGUUAUGUAAGCAAAUGCAAGGAAAAUAUUUAUUUAUAUACGAAAAUAAGAUUUAAAAAUUAUUCCAAGAUAUAAUUCUAGUUUUAUUACACUCCAUAGUAUGAUUAAAAUAUGUAACGCAAGUCCUCACACCUUGGCUCUUGUUUAAAUGUUAUUCAGGAAAAUUUGUCCGCACUUAGCGGUCAUAGAAUUAAUCAUAGACAAUGUGUAAAGGAAAAUAUCCUUAUGAAAACGCAAGACACUUGAAUAUUUUCUGAAGUUCAAAUAUUCGUAUUGAAGUGUGAAUUUGAGAACCAAGCAAGCCUAGAAAUCCAAAAAACUUGAGAUGUUUUUGUUUGAAAUUCGGCCUAAUAAUUUCAAAACUUCAUAUAUUUUUGUCUGAAGUUGAAAUAUGGAGAUUGGUUAAAAAGAAAGUACGACAAGUAAUUUGAAAAUGUUUUUCUACUAAUUGCAUGAUUGAUGAUAGUUAUUGCUCUCUCUAAAUACCCACAAGUAUGAGGAUACUAGAAUUGAUUUCACUCAUCAGAAGGAGAAUCAAUAUGAUCCACUUCGUUGAGGUUUUGAUACUUGUAAUACCAAGCACAUGUUACAUAGUAACCAAAGUUCACUACUCCCCCUAUAACUAAUAUCCAGUACACAUUAUCCAGCCUUCCAUUAUUUAUGUUACCUGGUAACCAUGUACUUGUCUUUCUAACAACAUCAAUUAGAGCAGUGGCCAAGUAAAAUGAUAUACCAACAAGAACCGAAAUCAUCGCGGUCGCCAUGUUCUUUAAGGUUAUUGGAAACUCUUGGUAGUACAAUGAUACUUGUCCAGGAAAAUGAAAUGCCUCCGCAAUACCAACGAUGACUAAUUGUGGCACAAGCCAUAACACUGACAUUGCCACAAUAUUGGAACCUUCAUUUGAUUUUGCUACAUUUAGUCUCUUUGACUCGACUAAGGCUGAUACACCCAUGCUCAAAAAAUUGAGCACGUGUCCAGUACCAAUUCUCUGGAGAGGUGUAAGUGAUUUUCCAGUCAAAUUCUUCCACGUAGGUAAGAGAAAUUUAUCGAACGGGGCGAGGAAUAGAGCAGUAGAUAGGAGGACAAAAACGAGUAUGGAUCCAGCUGGGAUUUGGAAAUUGGGUCCUACGUAGCGGUUCAUUGCUAAGGCUUGAAGGAUUGACAAACUUGCUUGUACGCCAAUUGUUGUGCCAAGAAAAAAACUAGUUGACCAAAGUGGUAAGAUUUUAAUUAAGGGUUUGAAAUCUUCUACUUCUUGCACUGAACAAAGUCUCCAUCGAUUAGUUGUUAAACCAUCUGGUUUUACGUCACCUUCACUUAUAAUGGCAGCACGGUUCAAAAAUCUGCAUCAUAUAUAUUAUAUAAGAAACUUCAAUAUUCUACAAAAGUUAAAAGAUACAUUCAAGCUGAUUAGAUAACAUUAUUAUCACACAAAAGAUACUCUAUGUAAAGCAAGAGCACGUGUGCCCAACUUAAUUAAUGUAUCACUAAAUAGUCACAAAUAUGGAACUUAAUUGCUAUUUAUUUGUAAAACUUAAUACACAAAAAUGUCCGUUCCCUGAUAAUUUAAGCUUAUUUAAAUUUAAAAAUAAAUAAAAAUAACAUCUUUCACAAGUCAAUAGCUUAAAUUUAUAAUAGAAAACCAAGCAUACAAAUAUUUUUGUCUCAUGUGAGUAUAUUAUCAACAACAAAAUAUAGUGGUUUUACUUGUUUGAAGUAACCAAAUAAAUCAACUUGCCCGUGACGUGUGGGAGUACGUCUCUAUCCAAAUUAAUUAACAAUAAAGUAUUCAAUCUCCAAUAGUUUAGAGAUAACAUCCCGCCAUAAAAAGAAAAAGGUGCUUCAUAUAAUUGUCGAAAAAGUCUGUUUAUAAGAAAUCUUUCAACAUAAAGAUAUGCUGAAAUCUUCACAUCCACCUCCACUGAAAAAAUAAAUCACCCCACGAUCAUAAAACACCCCUCAUUUUAUGUGUGUUAAAUUUUACAAGACCCCACAUUUAAAAGAUAAAAAAGACUUUUAUAUCUGUUGUCUCUAUAUGUAAUCAUUUAUAUUCCCUCUAUUUUUUAUUUUUAAUUUGACACGAAGUUUAAGAGAAUAGAUACUUUUGAAUCUUGUUUCUUAUGAUAAAAAAUAUAUAGAAUAUAUAAAAUUUUCUUUUAAUCUAGUGGUCUUAAACAUGACAUGAUUUGAAAAAUUGAAAUGAAAGUGUUGCUAUAAAAAAGAAGAGAGUGUACCCUUUUCUUGAAAAGGACUUAGAAGAAUAGUAGGACAAAGAGCAUGUGUUACCUGAAGGUAUUAGAAGGUACAACAGCUAAUGCUUUAGGUACUACAUUACAUCCCUGGAAGAAAUCCUCAGCAGUCGAUGGAAGUGAAACUUGUCUGUUGGUAAUACUAGCAACAAUAACACGAGCCAAACUGGUAAAUGGACUCCCUUUUGGCUUAAACUUAGCGUAAAAUCUGCUUCCCAUUAGGAAAAUGGCUGAACCAAGUACAUUAGCUGCUACACAAAUGAAAAAUCCAGAUUUCCAACUCACGUUAUCUUCAACAUAGACAAUAGCUGUUAAUGCUAUAACAGAAGCAGAAUACCAAAAGAAGAAGAACCAAUUGAAGAAAAUCCCUUGAUCCUUUGGUUUAUCAGCUAGCUGACCGGCUCCGAUCGUCGCUAGGGUUGAUCUGGUACCACCACUACCCAAUGUUGAUAGAACUAUGGCUGCGUAGAGUACUACAGAUUGAACUUUUGGUUUAGGGGUACAUGAGGUUGAACCAACUUCACACGAUUUAGGCCUCAAAGAAUCAACUGUAGCUGUUAAAGCUAAAAGGAUUGUGCCCUACAAGUAUUCAAAAAAAAAAACUGGUUCUAUAAAUAUACAAUUAUGUCAUACAAUGAUUGAAGAGAAAUGUUGAAUAUGAGGAGUAAUAAGUAAUUCAUGAAAAAAAGAAGAAGUUAAAAGUCAAAAGUUAGGUAAAAAAAAAACAGUGGUAGUUACCAAUAAUGAGAUGAUGGAUGAAAUCCAAAUGGUAGAGAAGCAACCAAGAUAAGAGUCGGCAACGAUUGCAGCAACGACAGGAAUUAAGCUUCCAGCACUGUUAAAUUAGGUCUUAGGCCUAACUCACACCCCAAAAGCUAGCUCAAAGGGAGGAGGAUUGCCCAAGCCUUAUAAGGAGUCCACCCAUCUCAUUAACCACCGAUGUGGGACUUUUGUCAUUCUUUAACACCCCACCUCACGCCCAGUGCUUAGCAUCUGGUGCGUGGGCAAUUUUGAUUUUGGGGGCCCCAACAUCGGGUGAGACGGGCCCUGCUCUGAUACCAUGUUAAAUUAGGUCUUAGGCCUAACUGAUUUAACAAGCACCAUUAACCAAAUUUGAUAUUUGAGCAGCAUCAAUACUCUCCACAUCAAAUUCCUUAAUCAGAUACACAAUAAGAUUGCUUGUCCAACCCACAAAUGCUAGGGCCAACCCUACUGAGCUCGCUGUUUUUGCCAAAAUUGAGUUACGCGUCAAUAUAUAUACGUAACUUGUUAUAACAUGUUAACUUACUAGUAAUAGAUAUUUAAUUUAGGCUAUGUGCAACAAACAAAGUAACAUAGAUAGCAUCCUAGCACUAAAACUUUUGAGUUUUUUUAUGUUGUUAAAAAUAACGAUAAAAAUAAAUAACGAAUGCCUGAUCAAAAAUCGUGUAGGAACAAGGUAGAGACCUAUGAUAAAGGGGAAGGUGAUCCAGCCUCCAGUUCUUCUUGGUAAUUGUGCCUCUGAUGGAGCUUCCAUGGUUCAAAAACUCAAUGGAUAAAUAAUUACUUCAAACUUUUGGGAGAGAACUUAUAUAUAUAAUAUCAGCUAAAAAAUAUCUCAAUUAGGAUAAGGACAGCACAUUGUCUUGUUCAUGAGAAUUUAAUAAAAUGGGAGGAAAUUACAUAUUGCAUAAAAAAAAUUCAAAGAUUUAAUUAAAGGCCCUCAACUUUAUAGUAUUAAAUUGUUAAUUUGACUAAUGACUACAAUUUAGUAUUGUUCAUUUAAUUUGAUAUGUCUUCUGGUUUACAUGACAAUUGUCAGCUUCUUCCCUUUAAUUAAUAUUCGUAAUCACAAUUAAAUAUCUAUUAAAUGACUUGUUUUGCAGAUACUAAAUUGUAAUCAUAAUUAAUUAGACUCUCACUUUCAAAAUAGAUAUUAUUCCAAUAUCACCUAGCUCGAAGGAAAAUAAUAUCUUUUGCUGGAGUAUUCCAAACUACUGUUGAACACACAAAUUACAUUUGAUUAAUUAAAAAUUACUACUCUAUGUCUUUUCCUACUUGACCAUUUCAGAAGUAAAUAUUGGUAUCAUAGACUCUUAAUUAAUAUCUAAUGUAAUCAAAGUCAAUUAAGACUACUAAUCCUAAUAAUUUAGAUGAUGACUGAUUUUUGGAGAAAUUUUUCUCAUUGACUUUUACGUCGUCGUAGCAAACAUGUACAUGGAAGAUAUAUAAACAGACAUGGAUUGCAUGUCAAAGCACUCGUAACUUUAAUUAUUCUUUUUUAUGCUAUUAUAAGUUACAAUCCAAUAUUUAUAUUCACAUCAUAAUUAUUAACAUUUUUAUUGUAAAUAUAAAUGUAAAAAACAAAACUUUGUAAGACAAAAUAUUUGGAUUAAAGUUUUUCCUUCUGGUUUUUUUCUUUUUUUGUUGUUCACGUUCACGUUCGGUCUGUAAUGGAAAAAAUCAUUUUUAUAAAGAAGGGUUGGGAAGUUGACUAGUUACAUGGUAACUAUUCCCUCUUCUUUUUCAAAUAAGAAAUAAUUAGUUCAUCUCUUUUCAGAUAACUUCUUGGAUCGAGUUAGAUCGAUCCAUGACCCAAAACUAUGUAGUUAUGUAAGCAAAUGCAAGGAAAAAAUUGAUAUACAAAAAUAAGAUUUAAAAAUUACACCAACAUAUAAUUAUAAUUUUAUUAUAUACCAGAGUAUGUUUAAAAUAUGUAAUGCAAGACCUCACACCUUCAUUCUUGUUUAAAUGCUAUUCAUGAAAAUUUAUCCACGCACUUGGCGAUCAUAAAAUGAAUCAUCAAAUGAUAGACAAUGUAUAAGGAGAAAAUCCUUAUGAAAACGUAAAACACAUGAAUAUAUUGUCUGAAGUGUGAAUAUGAAAAUUAAAGCAAGCUCUCCAGCUGAGCUGGGCGCCGGGGCCCUGGAUGCGCUAGCGAUUGGCACAUAGGGGAAUGGUUGCCCGGGUUUCUCGGCCUGGUAUCCUGCACCUCGCGUUCAUGAUAUCUACAUUCAACUGUGCCCCGGAGACACGGUCGAAGCACGCCCGAGUCCAGCAAUUCAAAAACUUAAGACGUUUUUAUUUGAAAUUCGGCUAAAGUGUAAUGACCCUAAAGGUCAUUUUUGGAAAUUUUCAUAAAAUGACCGUUUUAUCCCUCCCGAUAGUUGCCCCGAGUCCUAAUUGUUGUAUUUUCGAAGUUGGUUUGAAGGAAAAUUGAUGAAAAGUUGAGUUUUUGGAAAGUUGAGUUUUUAAGAGUUAAAGUUUGGUUAAAAGUGCUAUUUCGGGUCAUUUGGAGUUUCGAGACUCGAAUCGGAUUUUCGUCGAUUCCAGCUGUUUUAAAAUGUCGAAACGGGUCUAUGUGAAUUUACGGAGUCAAAUUUGGAGUUAAAACGAAAAUUUGAGGUCCUAAGUUGCAAAAAUUGUGAAAUUUUGAUCAAGAGUUGACUUUGGUCAACAAACAAGGUUCCGGUGCUCGAAAUGGAAUUCCGAGGGCACCGUUGGAUUCAGGGGGUGAUUCUAAGUCUAGAAUGAGUCUUGGUUGAACUUUUAGAGGCCCCGAGUGCGUUUCGAGUUUUUGAGCCUAAAGUUAGUUUCUUGACGCCUUAUCGGAUACCGGGUCAAGGAGACCUCGAAUUCAAAUUCCGACGAUUUCAUUGAGUCCGAAAUGUCAUUUUCAAGCUAGUAGCAUAUUUGGUUUGUGUUCGGGAAGUGCCAAAUGAGUUUUGGGUGAGCUUUUAAGCUUCUUGGAUGCUUUGACACUAUUUCAGCAAAUUGUGGCAACUAAAGGGUUCAUUAUUAGUUUUAAAGGUCGAAAAAUUAUUCCGAAGGUUCUGAAAUUUUGAGCAUGAAUUAUAGGACUUAUCUGCAAAUUUUGGUGCAUUUUCGCUAACCCGAGAUUGGACUUUUAUCGCAAAUAAGAAAUAAUUGUUUACCGAGUAGAAAUGAUAUUUGACUGGGCAAACGAGCAUGAAAUUGAGCUCCGAUUGAACGAGCAGGUCCGUAUCAUUAUUUAAGACAUUUACAAAAAAAGAAUCGGGUCAUUUCACUAUCGUAUGAGGAAAUUACGGCCUUUUUAGUGAAGGAUUUAACUGCUGUUUUUCUGGUGCAUAACAGUCAUGUACUGUUAUAAAAAUCUCAGACUGUGUUCAUUUGGUAUUUUGAGCAUAUCGGGAGUUCUAGAGAUCGGAAUGGAGUGAUUCUUACGGGUUUCUUCUUGAAUUAAUAUGAGGGUUAGUAUUCAAUCUUCAAUUCGACAUUUUCUCAUAAUUUCUUUAUCUGAUUUUUUUUCCCUAUCUGUAAACCUCUUGGGAAAAAUUGGGGUUUUAUCGAUUUGGACUCCCUUUUUGAUGAAAAAGGUAUAUUUACGAUCCUUAUGUUAUGGGUAAACUGAUUUUAACAUAAAAUUAUUGAUUCAUCGAUUAUUUUCAUCAUAUUAACCGCGUACAAUUUGGACUUUCCCGGUAAAGUUAAAGUUUGAUAAAUUGAGAAUUUCAAGGUCGAUCUUAACUCCGUUUUUGAUGAAAUUUCAUAUUUGAACUUAUCUAAGCAUGGGUAAGAUGUUUUUCAAGAGAUAUUUCAUUUUCGAGUCGGGGUUUCGGAUCCGAAUAUUUUAGGCUUCUUCAAGAACGUGGAUUUUCCUUCAAAUUGAGUUUGUGAACUCAUUUCAACUCCUUUUUCGAAACGGUUUUCACUAUUGGAUUCUAAAUUUCUUGGGGAACAUUUUUCACUAAAAAUUUCCAGAUUUCGAGAAUAUUUUCCGGAACGAGAUUUUUGACCAUUUUACCCUUGUUCUCCAAAUUUCACGAUAUUGGUGUUGUUAGAUUCGUAUUUAUUGUGGGAUUCCAUUUAUGAAUAGAUUGUGGUGAUUUGGAGCGUGCUCGGAAGGGUAAAACUCAAAUUUGAGUUACUAGUUGAAGUGUUUUGAGGCAAGUGACUUCUAAACUUUGUUAAACUCUUAGACUACGCAUGACUACUUUCCUAAUUGUGUUGGGGAGUAAUGGGAAUUGAGGAUGGAUUUUAUUUGUUGAUUGAAAUUGUUGUAAAUGAAAGAUGGGGAAUAAAACAAGCUAAAUGUGUUAUGGUUUACAUGACAAUUGUCAGCUUCUUCCCUUUAAUUAAUAUUCAUAAUCGCAAUUGAAUAUCGAUUAAAUGACUCGAGUACUAAAUAAUCAUUAAUUAAUUAGACUCUCACUUUCAAAAUAGAUAUUAUUCCAAUAUCACCUAGCUCGAAGGAAAAUAAUAUCUUUUGCUGGAGUAUUCCAAACUACUGUUGAACACACAAAUUACAUUUGAUUAAUUAAAAAUUACUACUCUAUGUCUUUUCCUACUUGACCAUUUCAGAAGUAAUUAUUGGUAUCAUAGACUCUUAAUUAAUAUCUAAUGUAAUCAAAGUCAAUUAAGACUACUAAUCCUAAUAAUUUGGAUAAUGACUGAUUUUUGGAGAAAUUUUUCUCAUUUGACUUUUACGUCGUCGUAGCAAACAUGUACAUGGAAGAUAUAUAAACGACAUGGAUUGCAUGUCAAAGCACUCGUAACUUUAAUUAUUCUUAUUUAUGCUAUUAUAAGUUGCAAUCCAAUAUUUAUAUUCACAUCAUAAUUAUUAACAUUUUUAUUGUAAAUAUAAAUGUAAAAAACAGAACUUUGUAAGACAAAAUAUUUGGAUUAAAGUUAUUCCUUCUGGGAAAUCAUUUUUAUAAAGAAGGGUUGGGAAGUUUACCAGUUACAUGGUAACUAUUCCCCCUUCUUUUUCAUAUAAGAGAUAAUUAGUUCAUCUCUUUUCAGACAACUUUUUGGAUCAGGUUAGAUCGAUCCAUAUGGACGGUUUACGACCCAAAACUUAGACAUAUAUGUAGUUACAAUUUCUUGGAUCAGGUUAGAUCCAUUCACAUGGACGAUCCACGACCCAAAACUUAGACAUACAUGUAGUUAUGUAAGCAAAUGCAAGGAAAAAAUUGAUAUACAAAAAUAAGAUUUAAAAAUUACACCAACAUAUAAUUAUAAUUUUAUUAUAUAUCAGAGUAUGUUUAAAAUAUGUAAUGCAAGACCUCACACCUUCAUUCUUGUUUAAAUGUUAUCCAUGAAAAUUUGUCCACAAACUUGGCGAUCAUAAAAUGAAUCAUCAUAUGAUAGACAAUGUAUAAGGAGAAAAUCCUUAUGAAAACGUAAAACGCAUGAAUAUAUUGUCCUGAAGUUCGGAUAAUCGUAUUGAAGUGUGAAUAUGAAAAUUAAAGCAAGCAAGUCUAGCAAUCCAAAAACUUAAGACGUUUUUGUUUGAAAUUCGGCUAAAGAGUUUCAAAACUUCAUAUAUCUUUGUCUGAAGUUGACAUUACAACAUGUUUUUUCAGUAAUUGCAGAUUGAUGAUAAAUUAAUUAUUGCUCACUCACAAGUCUGAGGAUAUUAAAAUUGAUCUCAUCCUCAAAUCACUCAUCAGAAGGAGUCUCAUUAUGAUCCACUUCGUUGAGGUUUUGAUACUUGUAAUACCAAGCACAUGUUACAUAGUAACCAAAGUUCACUACUCCCCCUACAACCAAUAUCCAGUACACAUUAUCCAAUCUUCCAUUAUUUAUGUUACCUGGUAACCAUGUAGUUGUCCUUCUAACAACAUCAAUUAGAGCGGUAGUCAAAUAAAAUGCUAUACCAAUAAGCAUAGAAUUCAUCGCCGUCGCCAUGUUCUUUAAGGUUAUUGGGAACUCUUGGUAGUACAAAGAUACUUGUCCAGGAUAAUGAAAUGCCUCCGCGAUACCAUUAAGUGCUAAUUGUGGCACAAGCCAUAAAACUGACAUUGCCACAAUAUUGGAACCUUCAUUUGAUUUUGCUACAUUUAGUCUCUUUGACUCGACUAAGGCUGAUACACCCAUGCUCACAAAAUUGAGCACGUGUCCAAUCCCAAUUCUCUGGAGAGGCGUAAGUGAUUUGCCUGUCAAAUUCUUCCACGUAGGUAAAACAAUUCUAUCGAACAGGGCGAGGAAUAGAGCAGUAGAUAUGAGGACAAAAACGAGUACGGAUCCAGCUGGGAUUUGGAAAUUGGGUCCUAUGUGGCGGUCCAUUGCUAAGGCUUGAAGGACUGAAAAACUUAAUUGCACCCCAAUUGUGGUGCCAAGAAAAAAACUACUUGACCAAAGUGGUAAGAUUUUAAUUAAGGUUUUGAAAUCUUCUACUUGUUGUACUGAACAAAGUCUCCAUCGAUUACUUGUUGAACCAUCUGAUUUUACGUCACCUUCACUUAUAAUAGCAGCACGAUUCAAAAACCUGCAUUAUUAUAAUCUACGGAAGUUCAAAAUUUUUGUCUCAUGUGAUUAUAUUAUCAACAACAAAAUAUAGUGGUUUUACUAAUUGUUUGAACCAAAUAAAUCAACUUGCCUGUGACGUGUGAGAGUACAUCUCCUCUAAAAUUAAUUAACAAAUCUCCAAAAGUGUAGAGAUAACAUCAAUCCAUAAAAACAAAAAAGUGCUUCAUAUCAUUGUCGACACAGAUUAUUUAUAAAAAAGAUCUUCCAACAUAAAGAUAUACUGACAUCUUCACAUGCACUUCCACUGCAAAAUUUAAUCAUGCCACGAUCAUAUAAUCCCCUCAUUUCGUUUGUGUUACUUUGACGAGACAACAUAUUAAAGUAUAAAAAGGACUUUUAUAUUUACUCCCUCUAUCUUAAUUUGUUUUGACAUAGAGGUUAAGAAAGUAAAUAAGAUUUUUGAAUCUUAUAUAUCGUCUUAAACUAAUAAAGAUAUGUAGAAUGUAUCAAAAUAUUCUUUAAUAUUGUGAUCUCAAACAUGUAUAAAAAGUUGAAAUUAAAUAGUUGUUAAAAAAUGAAGGGAAAAAGGACAAAUAUACCCCUAAACUAUCGUAAAUGGUAUACAGAUACCCUCCGUCAUACUUUUGGGCCAUUGGUGCCCCUGCCGUCCCAAAAGUAUGACGGAGGGUAUAUGCAUACCAUUUUCAAUAGUUCGAGGGUAUAUUUGUCUUUUUUCCCAUUAAUGAAAAGAGACAAUCUUUUCAAAACAGACUAAAAAAAAAAAAAGUUAAAGAGAAACAGAUUAAAACGAAUGAAAUAGGUAUUACCUGAAGGUGUUGGAAGGUACAACAGCUAGUGAUUUGGGUGCUACGUUACAUCCCUGGAAGAAAUCCUGAGCAGUAGAUGGGAGUGGAACUUGUCUUUUGGUAAUACUAGCAACAACAACACGAGCCAAACUGGUGAAUGGACUCCCUUCUGGCUUAAAUUUAGUGUAAAAUCUACUUCCCAUUAGGAAAAUGAGUAAAGCAACAAUAUUGGACGCAGCACAAAUGAAAAAUCCAGCUUUCCAACUCACGUUAUCUUCAACAUAGACAAUAGCUGUGGACGAUACUACAGAAGCAGAAUACCAAAAGAAGAAGAACCAAUUGAAGAAAAUUCCUUGAUCUUUUGGUUUAUCAGCUAGUUGAUCCGCUCCAAUCGUCGAAAGGGUUGAUCGGGUACCACCACUACCCAGAGUAGCCAGAACUAUUGCUGCAUAGAGAACUACAUAUUGAACUUUCGGUUUAGGGGUACAUGAGGUUGAAUCAACUUCACACGGUUUAGGCCUUAAAGAAUCAACUGUAGCUGUUAAAGCUAAAAGGAUAGUGCCCUACAACGUAUUCACAAAAGAAAAAUAUUAAGCUUAAUCAAACACCCUAAAGAACCAAUUUCAAAUGGUCAAACAAAUUAAGUUAGGUACACACAAAAUAGUGGAGUAGUAAUUACCAAUAAUGAGAUGAUGGAUGAAAUCCAAAUGGUAGAGAAGCAACCAAGAAAUGAGUCGGCAAUAAUUGCAGCAACAACAGGAAUUAAGCUUCCAGCACCAUUAACCAAAUUUGAUAUUUGAGCAGCAUCAAUACUCUCCACAUCAAAUUCCUUAAUCAGAUACACAAUAAGAUUGUUUGUCCAACCUCCAAAUGCUAAGGUCAACCCUACUGAGCUCGCUGUUUUUGUCAAAAUCCAGUUACGUGUCAAUAUUUAUAUGUAACCUGUUAUAACAUGUUAAAUUACCUGUAACAAAUAUUUAGGCUAUGUGCAACAAAAAAAGUAACAUGGAUAACAUUGUAGCACUUGAGAUUUUGAGUUUUUUCAUGCUAUUAAAAAUAACAAUAAAAAUAAAUAACGAAUGCUUGAUCAAAAAUCGUGUAGGAACAAGGUUCAGGGUCUACAAAAGAGAAAGGAGAGGAGAGACCUAUGAUGAAGGGGAAGGUGAUCCAGCCUCCGGUUCUUCUAGGUAAUUGUGCCUCUGAUAUUGGAGCUUCCAUGGUUGAAAAACACAAAGGGUAAAUAAUUACUUCAAACUUUUGGGAGAGCACUUAUUUAUAUAUGAUCAGCUCAAAAAAUGUCUAUAAAUAUAGGCCUUCUAGUGGGACUUUGGAAAGAUAAGUUUCAUAAAAAGAAAACCCACAAUGAGCACUAAGAAAUAAAGUAUGAACUCAUAUAUACGUUGAAGUUUUCCCUUUAGAAAUUAAGUUCUAUGUUGCAUCUGAAAUUAUUCACAUGGCCUUAAGGUGCACGACGUAAUGGUAUUUGGGCCCAAUUCAUGAGCUCAUCUGAACGUCAGGCUGAUAUGAACUAAUAUAUAAUCCAACUGAAAUAAUUCAUGAGAAAUAUUAUUCAAAUAUUUUGUUUUUGUUUGAUAUAUCAUAUAUAAUCAUUAUAAGAAAAAAUAUCAUGUAAUUAAGAAAAUUAUAAAAAUGUAAGCAAGAAAUUAAAACUUGAUAAAAAAUGAGGUGAGUUGAGUUCUGAUUCAUUAUUUAACUCGUUUUAACACAAAUUAUCCCAAUCAUAUCCAUAAAAGAUCAUGAGUGGGGGUGAAAAGCACACCCCAACACCUUAGUGGGCAUGCAAUCUAAUAGCAAAUAAUUAAAACAAAAUGAUGCAAAUAAACUAUGAUUAAGCAACAAGGGAUGCCCCAAGAUCCAGGUGAAAGAAGUAAACACCAAGAGAAGUACUUCCUCUCUUUCAAACUACUCCUCCUUCCUCCCAUUUAACUUGUUAUCCUUAUUAAAACUGAACAAUUUAAAAUAAUUAUAGCUUUUAAAAAUCAAGAUAUAAUUAAUUAUUUAUUUCAAUCUCUACUUUUAUUCUAUAAAAGGGAAGAAACAUUAUUGUGGUUAAAAGAAAGUAAUAUUACUUUAAAAUCAAAAAGUAAAUGAGAGUUGUUGAAGUGGCGACAACUAUUGCAUUGUCUGCCACCUCACUAUGUCAGUGUGAUAAAAAUCAUCACUAGUCAUUUUUUUCAUACGGAAUAUUUUUAGUCAUUUACUCCAAAAAAAAUAACCACGCACUAAUUUGUAAUCUAUAUAAUCACACAUAUUCAUGUCAUACACUUAAAAGUUACAUAGAUAGCUAGGUACAAUACUUUUGCUAUUUUCAUGGUCGAUAAUCACGGCCAUCCAUUUCUUUUCUUUUGGACCCGUUAAUCACUCAUGAUAAGGAGAAUCACUAUGAUCCACCACUUCCUUCAUGUUUUUAUACUUGUAAAACCAAGCACAUAUUACAUAGUAACCAAAGUUCAAUAUCCCCCCUACAACCAAUAUCCAGUACACAUUGUCCAAUCUUCCAUUAUUUAUGUUACCUGGUAACCAUGUAGUUGUCCUUCUAACAACAUCAAUUAGAGCAGUGGUCAAGUAAAAUGACACCCCUACAACCACUGAAAUCAUCGCGGUCGCCAUGUUCUUUAAGGUUGUUGGAAAUUCCUGGUAAUAGAACGCGACUUGUCCAGGAAAAUGAAAUGCCUCUGAAAUACCAACGAUGGCUAAUUGUGGCACAAGCCAUAGCACUGACAUAGGCACAAUAUUGGAACUUUCAUUUGAUUUUGCUACAUUUAGCCUCUUUGACUCAACUAAGGCUGAGACACCCAUACACAAAAAGUUGAGAACGUGCCCAACCCCAAUUCUUUGGAGAGGCGUAAGUGAUUUGCCAGUCAUUUUUUUCCACGUAGGAAAUAGAAAUUUGUCGAACAGGGCGAGGAAUAGAGCAGUAGAGACCGUGACAAAAACCAAUAUAGAACCAGCUGGGAUUUGGAAAUUGGGGCCUAUGUGACGAUCCAUUGCUAAGGCUUGAAGGAUUGACAAACUUGCUUGUACACCAAUUGUUGUGCCAAGAAAAAAACUACUUGACCAGAGUGGUAAAAUUUUGAUUAAGGAUUUGAAAUCUUCUAUUUCUUGUACUGAACAAAGUUUCCAUGGCUUAGUUGUUGAGCCAUCCGGUUUAACAUCGCCUUCACUUUUAAUGGCUGCACGGUUCAAAAACCUGCAUAGUAAGAAAACAAACAAACUAAUAUUAUCAAAGGAAAAAUUACAGCGAAAUAUCAUUCCUAUAUCUGUUUUACAAAAUAUGUACGCAAUGUAUAGAUAAUGUAUAUUUUAUAAGUACUAAUUAUACAUGCACUAUACAUAAAUAUUAAAAUUUGAGUGUCAUCGCUAUCCGCCGACAAAAUAGUAAUAUCAGUGUAAACCCCCCAAAAUAAAAAGAUCAAUUUGAACCUAAGUGAGUAAAAAAGCACACCUAAUGAGUAGGCGUGAAAUCUCUGAUACUUUUAUUUUAAAAAUCACCUACCAGCCUUAAGAAAGUCAUCGUCGAAAUAGUAUAUAAUUAUAACAUUCCUAGUACUUAAAGACUGUUUUUAAAUAUUUAUUAGUACUAAUAACAUAUUUAUAUUAUAUAGUGCUCCAUGACAGUACUAAUAUCAAGAUUUACUUAAUAGUAAUUCAUCAUUGAGAUUUGAGACAAUAUAAAACAAACAUUAGUGAUGCAAAUUAAUCAUAAUUAAGCGACAAGGGAUGUCCCAAGCACGUGGUCAAAGACAUAGUAAACACUCAUGAGUGACGUUACUGUCGCAGAUUAUAUGGAAAAACUACGUGAUUAGACAUGCUCACUACCAUAUAUACUAUUAUUACCUAUACUUUUAAAAUGUUACUCUCUCCGUUUCACAAAGAAUGAUCUGAUUUGACUUGGUACGGAGUUUAAGUAAAUAAAGAAGACUUUUGAAUCUUGUGGUCCUAAAUUAAAGUUAUGUUAAAUGUACAAAAUUGCCCUUAAUCUUGUGGUCUUAAACAUGCCACGUGGAAAGCAAAAAGUAAAAUGUUACCAAAAAAGGAAAGAGGUCAUUCUUUUUUAAACUGACUAAAAAGGAAUGAAGGUCAUUCUUUGUGAAACGGAGGGAGUACAUAUUUUAUCACUAAUUAGAGUUUUCUACGUAUCUUACACGUCGUUAGAUACUUGUAAUUUUACUGUUAGAUACAUAAAAAUAAGGAGAGAGGCAAUUGAUAUUGGAGAGGGAGGUGAGCGAGAUUAGUAUGUAUUGUGAAUCACACUAGAUACAUGUAUCUGGAGUGAUUCGCUUGUAUAUGAAAUACCAAGUACAUGGGAGAGUGGCAAACAAGAUGGGAGAGAGGCGAGGUAGACGGGCGAGAUUUGUUAUGUAUCACAAAUACAUGCGAAACCACUUGGAUACAAUGUAUCUAGAACAAUUACACCUAAAUUUGACCUCCAUAUAUACGAGAUACAUGUAUCUGGACGAAUCUGAAGGCAUCAAAAUCUGGUAAGAUACAUAAUAUUGCAAACUAGAGUAUAUCUAAGUAAUUAUUAGCUCAUAAAUUAAUACUAAAAUUUAUAUAAGUUUCCCCUUUUAAUUGAAUCAAUAACACUGUAUUCUCUUUAAUAUUGAAAUGGUUAUUCAAUUAAGUACUCCCUACAUUCCAUAUUAAUUGAAUUUUUGAGACAUUUUUCAUUUUUCAAAUUAACUUAAUUGUUCAGUUUUCAAGACUACUUUUAAAGUCUUCUUUCAAUUUUACCCUUCAUUUGAAUUUUCAAUGUGAUGACUUCAAUAAAUUUGACAAUAAUUAAUAAAGGUAAAAAUGAAAAACUAUGUUUAAUUUAUGUCUUAAUCUACUUUUCUUAAAAGGUGUGAAACACCUCAAAACUUCAACUAAUAUGGAAUGGAGGGAGUAAUAUAUAUGGUCUCACCAACAUUCAUAAUGUAAAAAAAAAUCACGUGUUUUACCGUAAACAAAAGAAUUAACGGUUUAAACUUUUAUACGAGAUUGGUGUAAUAGUUAUAAAGUAUUACCGGAAGGUUUUUGAAGGCGCAACAACUAUUGCUUUAGGUCCGUGGUAUAAAUGUUCCCCAGUGGAUGGGAUUGACACUUUUCUUUUCCUAAUACUUGCAACCACAACACGAGCCAAGUUGGUGAAAGGACUCCCUUCUGGCUUAGAAUUGGUGUAAAAUCUGGUCCCCAAUAGAAAAAUUGCCGAACCAAGUAAAUUAGCUGCAACACAAAUGAAAAAUCCAGCUUUCCAGCUUACGUUAUCUUCAACAUAGACAAUAGCUGUUGUUGCUACUACAGAUGAACCAUAAGUGAAGAAAAAGAACCAAUUGAAGAAAAUCCCUUCAUCUUUUUGUUUAUCAAAUUGGUUGGCUCCCAUUGUUGAAAGGGUUGAUCGGAGACCGCCAUUCCCCAGAGUCGCCAGAACAAUGGCUGCAUAGAGUACUACAUAUUGAACUUUUGGCUUAGGGGUACAUGAAGUUGAACCAACUUCACAAGGUUUAGGCCUCAGAGAAUCAAGAGUCGCUGUUAAAGCUAAAAGGAUUGUGCCCUACACGUAGAAGCGACAAAGCAAUCUCUUAGGAAUGUGUAUUACUACUAUUUCCUCUGUUUUAAUUUAUAUAUAUGCCUUUGAAUUAAUACUUUUAGAUAGUUUUCAAAUAUAUAAUUUAUUUCAGAAAAACUUGAACCUUCUAUAAUAGGAUACACAAUUAAAUCACGAAAACACCACUGUGCCAUAUAAAUUGGAUAGAGAGCGACUCAUGAGUACCAUAUAUUAUACAACAAUAACAAUAAUAUAUUUAGUGUUGUCCAACAAAGUGAAGCCUGGAAAGGAUAGACCGUAGACUCAUUAUAUUAGGGUGAAACAAAACAAGAUUAGUUUGUACCAAUAAUGAGAUGAAGGAUGAAAGCCAGAUGAUAGAGAAGCAACCAAGAAAAGAGUCAGCAAUAAUUGCAGCAAGAAUAGGAAUUAAGCUUCCAGCACCAUUAACCAAAUUUGAUAUUUGAGCAGCAUCAAUACUCUCCACAUCAAAUUCUUUUAUGAGAUACACAAUUAGGUUGCUUGUCCAACCUCCAAAUGCUAGUGUCAAACAUGUUGAUGUUGCUGCAUAUUAUACAUAUAAAUCAUGGUAAAAUUAAUAAUUAAUACACAUUUCAUAUCAUGCAUGGAUCAUGGAUGGGCACACAAAUAUAUAUGAGACCUAUGAUGAAGGGGAAGGUGAUCCAGCCUCCGGUUCUUCUUGGUAACUGUGCUUCGCCGUCACCGGACGAUAAUGGUGGAGCUUCCAUGCCUAAACAAACAAAACAACUUCUUCUACUAAUAUAAUUUAGCAUUUACAAAAUUAUAUAUGGAGUAGUUCAAUUGUUGGGAGAGCACUAAUAAGUAGUAAUAUUUAUAUAUAGAGAGGUGCAAAGUUAGUCCACUAAAUCAUAAUUACUCAAUUCAUUUAAAUUUGGACGGACACCAUGUUUAUCAAAAUAAAAACAUGUUUUGAAGCUGAUGGUCACUUUUUUGAGUUAUAUUAAAAAAAUAAGUGUGUCACAUGAACUAAGACAUGAAGAAUAAUAGGUACAAAAGCAUAUUUGGGAGAUGGAAUCCUUUUGAUUAACAAGUUGCUCAAAUAGGACUUUGGCUCCUUUCUAUUUUUAUAAUUGUCUCCAUUUUUUUCAAGUUCUAGAGACACAUAAAAUUAAUAAUAAUUAAGAUAUAUUAACUAAAGUAAGAUACCAUGAUUAAGAUUUUACUUUAAUCGUUAAAUCUUAACCAUAUGAUUAUAAUCUUAUUUUAAUUAAUUAAAUUUUAAUCCUUAAUUUUAAUUUAUAUCAUGUGUGAAUUUGAGGAAAAUGGGCCAAAUCCUUCGAACAAAUAGUUACUCCCUCCGUUCUUAUUUAUAUGUCAUCAUUUUAAAUUUUACUUGCUUUAAAAACUACGUAAAUUUAAAUUAAAAUACAACUAAGGGAGCCAACACCGAACAACGAGGAAAAUUAAUAAAGUCAAAGUCUCCAUGAAAUCUAGCUACACUUCUUGUUGAUUUUCUGGAUACGACAAUCAAUCUCAUCUCGUGGUUCUCCUGUCUUUCCCUAAAUAUUAUUCCUGCAAAUUUUUAACAAAGUAAGCUAUUAUAAAAAUUAAUUUAUCAAAAUAAUACAUUUUUUUAAUUUUUUACAAAACUAGUAUAAACGUAACUCACCGUAACAUUUUAGGUUAUAUUUUAUUCAAAAAAAUUGAAUAACAAAAAGACAAAAAUCUGACAGAGUAAUCAGACAUAAAACGUUAUUGUCAGUAACGUUUUAUAAUUCGUUACUCUGAAACACGUUUUACAGCUAAAACGUGACUCACAAUAACGUUUCUCAAUGGUGAAAAUUGAAAUCCAAUCUUGUACAUCUCUCAUUCAUUAUUCAAAUUUCCACUAUUAAAAUGGAUAGAUAUAUUUUGUACAUAUCUUCAUUUGAAAUAUAUAUGAUUUUCUCUUUUCUUUCUCUUUUCAUAUAGACAAUACUUUUUUUAUACAAAAGGGGAAAAAAGUGAGGAUGACUGUACACAAAUUGGAGCUUGUCUUGUAUCAUUUCAAUUUCAAAAUUUGUAAANNNNNNNNNNNNNNNNNNNNNNNNNNNNNNNNNNNNNNNNNNNNNNNNNNNNNNNNNNNNNNNNNNNNNNNNNNNNNNNNNNNNNNNNNNNNNNNNNNNNNNNNNNNNNNNNNNNNNNNNNNNNNNNNNNNNNNNNNNNNUAUAUAUAUAUAUAUAUAUAUUCAUUUUAAUAGUGGAAAGUUUAAUAAAGUUGAAUGAGGCAUGUACAAGAUUGUUUUUUUAAUUUUCAGUCAUUCCAGAAAAAACGUUAUUGUGAGUCACGUUUUAGCUGUAAAACGUGCCUCAGAGUAACGAAUUAUAAAACGUUACUGACAAUAACAUUUUAUGUUUGUUUACUCUGUCAGAUUUUUGUCUUUUUGUUAUUCAAUUUUUUUGAAUAAAAUAUAACCUAAAACGUUACUGUGAACUACGUUUAUACUAGUUUUGUAAAAUUUUAAAAAAACGUAUUAUUUUAGUAAAUUAAUUUUUAUAAUAGCUUACUUUGGUCAAAAAUUCUAUUCCUGCUUCUUAAAAUACUUACGUAUUGAAUAAAACAAAUUGAUACUUAAGUAUUAUGUUUUAUUUUUAUUUAUACAUUCUCUUCAAAAUAUAUUACUAGUAAUUUGGAUGAGUAUUUGAUCAUUGGGUAAACAACACAAAUUAAAUUAGUUUAGGCUUUGAUUAAUGAUAUAUGUAUUUUACCAAAUUAUCCCCUAUUAAAUCAUAUCUUAGAAAAUAAUUUGGAAAAUAAGUAUUUAAUGUUGAGGGUAAAACAUGAAAAAAAAAAUUGUCUUUUCUUGAUAUGCCAAAAGUGGCCAGUAAAAAUGAAAAUUUAUUUUAGAAAUAAGUGACAAGUAAAAGUGAAUGGAGAGAGUAUUAUUUAUAUCAUAUUUUGGUCUCUAGAUAUACGCACCUGGUGCGUCUAGCUAGGUACAUGUAUUUGAUUUUCAGAAUGUAUCUUGAAUGUAUCUGGUAUCAAAUACAUGUAUCUGUGUGAUUUACAUGUAUUUGAGAUACACUGACUCUCUUUCACUCAUCUCCCUCCUAUCUCGCUCGCAUUUCUCCCUAUGUAGAGAGUAUUUGGUAGCAAAUAUACAUGUAAUUAAGUGUAUUUGACUUGAAAUCUGAUAUGAAAUUAUUAAUUAGUGAGAGUAUAUAUAAUUAUUUUAAACUAUAAAGAAAAUUAGUAAUAUGGUAGGAAUUUUUGUGUAGUUAGGUAGUUUUCCUUGAUUAUUUUACCCUUAUUUAUAUCUUACUAAAAUAUAAAUUUCUUUUCUACUAAAUAUUCAUUCUAUUUAUGUGUCAUAAUAUAUUGAUGUGUUUAUAUUAAUAUUAAGGAAUAAUUACUACUAAGAGUAUAUAAAAAAUAAUAAAUAAUUUUGUCUUAACUUUCUCGAUAUAUUAAAGUGCAUCUGAAGAUGCAUAUUUGUUCGAAAUAAAGAGGCUUACCAUUGUUGCUGGAUAUAUAGUACAGUAGCUAAUUUAGCAUUUAUAUAUAUAACAUUCCAGCAUAAGAUAAGAACAAUUUGAGUCCUUUUAAUUUGCAUGAAUUUCUUGUGGAAUGAAUAAUGAUGGCAACAUUAUCAUCAAGAAAGCACUACUGGACUGGUAUAAAGUCUGUUUAUCUAAUUAGAAGUCACAAUGACCUACUAGUAAUAUUAUCAUUACAAAAAGAGACUUUUAGUCUUAAAGUCAUAAUUGUGCUCGACGCCUUUUCAUAUGUUGAAAAUGAUAAAUAAUAGCAUCAUUGCUUACAUUUGUGAAUAUCUUACGCUCUACAUAGCAAACUAAACAACCAUUCAAAAAUUCAUUACCAAUACUAUUACGAAGUUCAUUUUUAAUGUACUUCAUGGAUGAGAAAGCUCAUUCCACAGAAGCAGUAGCAACAAGAAGAAUGAGAGUCAACUUGAUAAUUGUCUCGAUAUGUCAAAAGUGACCAGUAAAAAUAAAAAUCUAUUUUAGAAAUAAGUGACAAGUAAACACUACAAAAAACCCCUAAAUUGCCAGCAAAAUUAUCCGUUGCUAAAUUGAUUAAAUUGGUUGGCAAAUGAUUUUUCCAACCGAAUGCCAACUAAUGUUAAUCUGUUGCUAAAAAGCUUGUCACUAAAUUUUUACCAACCCAUUUUAGUUAGUUGGUAAAAUUACCAACUAAAGAUCAGUUGGUAAACACAUAAAAGACUUGUUGGUAAUUGUUGAAAUGUGCCCUUGAAAUUUUCGUUGGUAAAUUCACCAACCAAUUUUCGGUUGGCAUAUUGUUGGGAAGUUUAACUAACGAAGAGAAAAGAGUUAGUAAAUUUGGUUCUUCACUAUUCAAUUAUGUUAGUGAUAUGUUGGCAAAUAUACUAAAAUAAAAUAAAAUGUUGUUAGUAUUUGGUUAGCAAUUAUAUGACAGAUAACAACUUGGUUGGUAAGCUCGAUAGUAAAUUCACCAAAAUACAUUGGUAAUCAGUUUGUAAUUUCGGUUAAGAAAAGAAUGUGUUGGUAUUUCGUGGGUAAAUUACCAACGAAUUUUAAAUCUAUAACUAAGAAUGACUAUCUACUCAUGUAACUUACGUUACUAAUUGGUUAGUAUUUUAGAAACACAAAAAGGUCAUUAGUCAUUCGUUAGGAAGCUUACUAACUUAUUGUGAUUUUGUUGGUAAUAUAUAUUAUUUAUGGUCAAUAUUCAGUUAGUGAAUUGGUAAUGUAUAUUGCCAUAUUACUAACUAAAUGGUAAUUCGAUAGUAAAGUUUCACUUUAUAUAUUUAUAUUAAUCAAUAGCUUUUAUGAAUCUUAAAAAGUCUGAAAACAUAAUAAAAUCCAGUGAUCCUUUGAUAAAUUAUAACUUGACUAAAACAAUGCAAAAGCUAAGAUGAAGAGUUCAAAACAAAUCCAAAUACAGAAACAAACAAUGAAAGAUAUGCGUACAUUAGUUUGGAAAUUUUAAAUGACUCAUAUCAUCAUUUGAUGAUGGGUCAUGUCUAAGCUAAUGUGGUGUACCAGUUGGAGGUGUACCAGCGGGCAGUGUACCAGGGGUGGUUUAGGCAGCCCAACUAUGAGGAUGGGCAAACGUUCUUGGAGAAUCUUAUCAACUUGCUCUUGCAUUUCUAGCUGCAUUUCGUUUUUCAUUUCUUCACGCAACUCUUCUCUCAUCUCUUAGCUCAUCUCAUGUUUCAUUUCCUCCUUCAUUUCUUGAACGUAUUCCUUCACUCGAGCAUCAAAACUACAAUCUUGAGGUUGAGAAGUUGAAGCAGAUGAUGAACCAACGUUCUCAUAGAAAACAACUUGAGAACCAAGACCAUAUAUACAUUCC